RNAcentral lists this long non-coding RNA (95293 nucleotides) under Setaria viridis. Its description in RNAcentral is "long non-coding RNA (SVIR_LNC006317)". The stretch from base 91932 to 92070 matches the Rfam family "Small nucleolar RNA Z247". Lineage: Eukaryota; Viridiplantae; Streptophyta; Magnoliopsida; Poales; Poaceae. The record is from RNAcentral.
AACGAGCUCGGUGUCCAUAGCUACCUACCUACCUACCUACCUAGCUGAUGCCCCCUGUCGUACGUCCAUCCAUGGAUCCAAGCAUAGCUAGCCUUCUUGGGAGAAAUGAAAUGGGGGAAGAGGAGGAGGAGGAGAGAGAAAGAAGAGAGAGAGGUGUCAGUGAGUGUGCGGUGGUGGAGUAUUAUUGGUAGGUGAGGCACUAAUUAUGAGGAGGACAGGGAUGGCUACCUGCAUUGGAUCUGGUGAAUGCAUAGAUCCAUCCAUCCAUCCAUCCACUCCACUUCACCCUUCUCUUCUGCUGCUCCAAUUCACUCUCUCUUUUUUUGUUAAUUUUUUUCUUUUUUUUUUCUUUUUGAGGGCUCUCCUUGUUAUUGUUAACUUAAUUUGUGAGGGGAACCCAGAGAGAUGUACAUUGUACAUAGCUGCAUCCACUUGACAAUAUUGGAAGAAAUAAUCUGUCUCUCACAUGAUCACUCUCUUGUCAUUUGUGAACAUGUUUUAUGUUCAUGUGUGUCUAGCUACGUGCCUAAGUUGUGUGAUGUCAAUAGCAAUAUAAUUUGGCUGCUUGCAUAUGUAGUACAAGUAUAAUGCAUGGGUGGAUGGAAUCUCCAAUUGGGGUUCCCAAGAGAUGUGUUCCUCUCAUGUUUGGCGAUUAGGGGGCUAUCAUCAGGUACUGUCUGAAAGCACUGUGUAGGGGGACAAUCAGGAUGAGCCACCCUUGCUUAACGCAACGUGCAAGCGCCUAGGUAGUCACCACACUAGCUCCCUGGAUACGUAGGCAUGAUGUUACUAUAGUACACCUAUACAUCAGCAAAGCUGGUAAUAAGCUGCCUUGUGACUAAUAAACAAGGAACUUGUACAAAGGAGAUGUAAUGAGCUGGCUAGUAGGCGUUGAAACUUCAAUUGCCGCAGUUUAGGAUGUUGCUUUGCUCACUCGAAGCUCUUCCGAAAACAAUUAACAACACUAUUAUUUGGAAUUCAGGAUGUUGCUUUGCUUAGUGUGCGAUGACGCGAUGCUUCAGGUUGGUGCUUCGAAUGAAUAUGUUCCUUUUUCUCUCCCUGGAACUGAAAAGAACUUUAAAAUCAAUGAUGUGGCUUAAAAGGAACGGUUUCGGUCAUAGGCAGGCAACGCCCAAUUUUUAAUGUUUGGCCUUUCUUCCGAAACAUUUUUUUAAAAAAAAUAAACCUUUGGGGAAAUAUCCUUUGAAAGCAGUCCCCUAAAAAUCAUCUUUGGCGCUGUGGUGAUCUUGCACGGAGAGGUAAUUUUGAGAAAUUGUUUCUCUCUGGCUGCCAGUUUCUACCCUAAAAGAAAAAGAUAGAAAUGGUUAAAAUGUAAAAGUUUCACUUGAGGCAAUCACCCCCCGUGUUGGCCGUGUACCAGAAAAAGGUUGUCCACCGCCAUCAAUUUCUUGGGCCCCGUCCGGCCGGCCCGGCCCGGCCACGGACGCGGGCAAUUAAACACAUCUGCAGUCCGGCAGCCGUGUGCCGCUGCCGCUGCUGCUGUCUCGUCAGAACUAGGGUUUCGCUUCAGUUUUUCAACUGGAUCGGAGGCCAAGUUCCUCCCUCCCCCCCUCUCUCUCUCGAUCCACAGUGCCACGUAGUACGAGUACUGAAAGCACUUGGCCCCCCGUCGAUACUUUGAGCGCUGCGCGGACGGCGGCGUCACGCAUCUGCCGGACGAUCGAUCGAGACGGUGACGAUCUGCUCAUCAUCUGCACCCUGUUCUUGCGUUCCGUGGCCAAUUAGUGGAGGUGGAGUGCCUUGUUCGCUUGCCUGUGUGGUUACUGUCAGUCUGUCAUGGUUGUAAUCUCAAAGCGAAGAGAGAUGAACAUUCAGACGAAAGCGAUUGCAGAGGUUCGGCACUCAGGCACACGACGCACGGUGAUGUUUUCUGUUUUUUUUGCAAAGAACUGGAUCUUACAAUUUGAAAUUCAUGUGUCCACUUUGUUUGAAAAAUGAUGGUGAUAAAGUUGCAGUCAAAGGAAGGGAUCCUUGGCCUCGCAAAAGAGAGGAGGAACGGAGGUAACAACUGUGUCAGAUGCGGACUAGUAUGCAGUAAAGACCUGCCUGCUGCACAGAGAGCUUGUUGGCUCCCUUUUAGCAUGCGUGCGUGUUCUCGCUUCUUGGUGGCCCGGGGGUCUAUAAGCGGGAAACGGAUCAAAGUGACAGGCCCAUGUAGACUUCUGGCCUUCUCUUUUCAGGCAGCAAUUCAAUACUUCAUCAGUGGCAGUGCAAUGUUCAGUUCAGCACCGGAUGAGGAGCACUGCAGUGACUUAACGAGGGGUACUUGAUACUGGGUGCUAAACUUUAUCAGUGUCAUAUUGGAUGUUCGGAUGCUAAUUAGCAGAACUAAACAUGAGCUAAUUAUAAAACUAAUUACAGAACCCUAUGCUAAUUCACGAGACGAAUCUAUUAAGCUGAUUCAUCUCGCGAAUUAGACUCCAUCUGUGCAAUUAGUUUUGUAAUUAGCUUAUGUUUAAUACUCCUAAUUAGCAUCAAAACAUCCGAUGUGACAGGUGCUAAAUUUUAGUGGGGUGUAUCCAAACAUCCCCUGAAGCCAGCGAACCCAGCUACAGUUUUUUUUUCUUAAAACUUCAAAACCAGAAUACCAGAUUAGCUAUUUGAGAUUUUGACGAUGUUUUGGACCAAUACAUGUUACCACGGAACAAGGCGUUUCUCCAAGGAAUUCCGUUUUUGGCAGGUUUUGAGAACGAGCAGUACAAGAGAACGCACGGAGCAAGGCAAAGGUAUAAAAAAUAAUUGUACGGAGGGAAAAAAAAAGAGAGCAAAGGGUGUACAUAUGGGCCUCAGGAUUUUGGAUUGCGGUUAGUCGUCCUCCUCCUUGGGCCUGAUGUCAGCCACCUGCCGGUUCCCAUCACAAACCUACUUACAAAAAUUUGCUAAGGGUAUGUUUGGAUGUAGAUAUAUUGAGCUGUUGGAAUUGAAUUGGGUGCUAAUACCAAAUUAGUCUAGUAUUGGUAUUAGGUUGCAAUACCAAAUCUAUUGUUUGGAUGCAGAUGAAAUUGUCGGUUGGAAUUUCACGGGUUGCAAAUCCAAUUCACGUUUGGAUGUGUAUGUCCUAGAAUUGAGAAUUGAUCGCCUUGCUCAAAAAAAGAAUUGAUUGCUCCUCUUCGGAUCUAAAAAAAUAGCCACAUCUUCUCUCCAUGACGCUCUCCCAUAGUUGCUCUAUCCUCGAUGCGGGCACGAAAUCCCCCCCCUCUGCCUAGACCGGCCUGGACGCGGAGGUCUACCCCCGCCGCGUGCGGCCGCCGUUGCUCGCUCGGGCUGGAGCGUCGCUCAGGCCUCGUAGGAGAAGGCCGCACCGCCCGCAUCUGGGGCGGAGCUCGCCCGCACCAACCUUGCCUCAUUGGAGAAGAUGACAGGGAUCUUGCUGGAGAAGAAGAGGGGGCGGUGCAGCUCAUCGACAGAGGGAGCUAAGGAAAGGGUGGCGUUUCUUGAGCGGAGGAAGGAAGGGAGGGGCGGAGUAGCUUGCUGGCCAAGGGAGGCGGGAGGGGCCGCGUGUAGAAGAAGGAUGGGGAGGGGCGGAGCGGCUCACUAGCGGGGGGAGCUAGGGGAGGAGGGCACAGAUCGUGCCGACGCUAGCGGAGGUGCGACAGUCGAGAGAGAGAUAUGUGGGGAUGGGAGAGAAUGAUUCCAUCCAAUACAGAGGGGGUUGGCUCGGUAUCGUGGGUGAGCUGAAUACCUAGUUGGUAUUGAGGCUCAUUUCCAAUUCUGAAUUCUAGAGCAUCCAAACAGUCAGCAUUCGAAGCUACCACUACCAAUUCCAAAUUCUGAGGCUCAAUAUCUACAUCCAAACGCUACCUGAACGCCUUUGUGGCUUGGCUUGCACACACAAAAUCAUCUCUUCCUUUCUCAUUUCAACCUUUUUUAUUACAACAGGACAAGCCACGACACAAAGACCGGCGGUACUCGUGAUUAAGUUGUUAGAGCUUUACCUUUUACCUACUCUAAGAAAAGCUCUACUUACUUUUACUUUUUAUUAAAAAAACAUUUUUCGCAUCGCCCAGUCCGCUUCUUAUCUCCUUCAACCCCUAGAUGUCGCCGCACCGCUGUCUCGAAUCCGCUGCAUUCUUUGCUGAACCGUUUGUCAUCAUCCCGCUCCUUUGCUAAAUUUUCGCCAUCGCCGCCAUGUUUUUCGCCACUAGCUCGGAGUAGCUCUAACCGGCAUCAUAGAUUCCAUCUUUCUCCCUUCUUCACAAAAGAUCUAGGAACUCAACUUCUCCCAUCGAUGGAAGGAUCUCCAGGUCCAUUUGCUGAUGAUGUCAACCUCCUCGACCUCCAUGAUGGCACAAGCAACCAUAGGUACGCAGGAUUUCAACCUUUUUUGUUUCUAAUUUCUGAAUGCUUAAAAUUUAAAUUUUAAGUACACUUUGUUGUAGACAAAUCGAUGACAUACGAGGGAUUACAAGUUUUUUUUGGUAAUAUAUAGUCUAAGCCAUGCCACAAUACCAUACACAUGCACGAUUAGAUGUUGAACCUCUACUUGUGUUGUUCGAAAUAUGACUACAAAAUAUUACACCGCACAACUAUAUGAAAAUAAAAUGAGGAAGGACUUUUGUUAAUCUUAGGUAUAUCCUUCUAGUUGCUAUUAACUUAUAAAUACUUCUUCCAUUCCUGAAAAGUGCAAUUCUAGCUUUUUUUUUUUAUACAGGUUAGUGGUGGUGUGAAAAGAUUCCCAUACCAUCAUUUGUUGGCCACAUGCAGUUAGUUUUGUCAUGCAAAUCAAAUCGAAGCACUCAAUUAGGAGGGCGGUUAAAUCCAAUUCCUAAAAUUGUACUCUUGUGAUUUUUUUUAAACGGUCAGUAUUGCAAUUUUUUAUGGAAUGGAAAAAGUAAGUACUAAAUUUUAAGUUACCUUUGUACGAAGAUUGAACACUUAAUAAACACUUUUUAAUAGUUUCCUCGUAACAAGCAAAUAAAGAAACUGCUUGGACGAAAGUGUAAAAGACGCAAAUAAUUAAAUGCUCCAAAGCAAUCAUAUGCCAUUUUCUUGUUAACCCCACAUCUGUAUCAUGUCAAGCUAACGUUACCAACUCCUAUUCCAGAUAAGCCGUUGUCCUGCAAAUAACACAGAAGCCACCAAGUAUAAAUGCAAAAUCUUUCCCUGCACAAAAAAGUGUAAACGCUAAAUUUGAAUUGAUGUGCAAAUCCUUGCAAAAUUCAGCCAAAAUAAUUCAAACUUGGGGGCAGAAUCACAAGCGCUCGUGAAACAAAGCACGCCGCAAUCUCCCCUUCUCUUCCACCCUCGCAUCCGGCUCCUCGCCAAAUCGCCGACCACCUAGCGCCCCCGCACGCCGCCGCGCAGAUCUGGUGGAGUAGGUCCCGUGGGCUCCCAGCGCGCGGUUCUAGAAGCUUCUGCGGUGGCGGCGACGGAGGAGGAGUCGGGGGAGCGAGAGAGGUCAGAGCCAGAGGUGGCCGCGGGCCCGAGGUCCGUGCGCUGGGGUUAGGGUUCGGGCAAACCCUAGCCGCCGCGCCAUGGCGUCGUACAGGCCGUACCCGCCGCCGCCGCAGCACCCGCCGCCCCCGCCACCGCAGGGCGGCUUCCCGCCGCAGAUGAACCCGUUCGCGCCGCCGCCGCCGCAGCAGGCGCCGUACGGCCGGAUGCCGGCGCCGCCUUACCACGCGGGGCCCCCCCCGCCGCCGCCGCCACCCGGCCCGCCACCGCCGCACCAGCCGCAGUUCAAUUUCGGCCCCGGCCCCCCGCAGCAGCCACUGCCCCCGCAGCAGAUGUACUACCAGCCCCCGCCGCCGCCCUACGGUGGGAACAGCAACCCGCCACCUCCUCCCCCUUCGGUGCCACCCCCGCCUCCGUCCCCUCCCCCUGUGGCUCCGCCCCCGCCCCCUCCGCCUCCGGCCCAGCCGCCGCCUGCCCAGGCCCCGCCGCCCCGAAAGGAGCAGCAGCCUAAGGCAGCGCUGCCGAGGGCAGAGACCGAGGAGGAGCGUCGUGCGCGUAAGAAGCGCGAGUUCGAGAAGCAGCGGGUGGAGGACCGGAAGCAGCAGCAGAUGAUGCGCGAGUCGCAGGCCACCGUUCUACAGAAGACGCAGCAGACGCGCCCUGCGCAUCAGCAGCCAUCGCAGAGCCGUCACCACCACCCACCGGGUGGCUCUCGGGCAGUGGCAACUGGGUCUCGCCCAGCAUCAGCGCCCAAUGCUGAGAGGUUUGAGAAUCGGCUCAAAAAACCAACAACGUUCCUGUGCAAGCACAAGUAAGUCGAGCCAAGUUUUGGUGUUUGCUAGUGCUAAUCCGGGGACAGUUUUGCUCAUUUAGGUUUUAAGUGUGUGCGCCCGCCAAAAUUUCAAUUCCCAGCAUGUGGUUGGGUAACAUCUUGAUUGGCCAUGCAUGCUAGGGGUGUAGAACAUGGCCACGUGUGCAAUCCUUAAUUAGUGGGAGUGACACAGGCUGCGUGUUAGAAGUUUGUGCGUCAUCGUUGAAUUGUACGGCUGUUGGGAUUAAAGGCUCAUUCUUGUCUGAAUUUGUUUCAUAGCUUCUUUGGAUUUUGUGCUUCUCUAUGUGUUUGAAGAGAUAAGCAAUUCAGCUUACUUCUGGAGAACUAUUGAGAAUAUAGUGCUCAAAAGGUUGAUGAGUUGUUCUACUGAGCAAUUUCUUUGUUAUGACUUGUAGCAGGGCAGGCACAUCAAGACUUAGUAAUUGUAUGAAAAGUGUUACUCUGAUAAAAUAGCAGUUUUCUGUUCCCUGUGUAUCUAAAAGUUUCUGAAUAUGUACAGGUUUUAUAGAGCCUUAAACAGAUCCCAAUUUGUCAAAUAUUUAAGUCUCGGUGAUCUAUGUCUGUUUCGUAAUAAUUGUGCACUUGAAUGAUCCUCUAUUACCUUUUCUUAUUGGUUAACACAGGUUUAGGAAUGAGCUUCCAGAUCCAAGUGCUCAGCUGAAAUGGCUGCCCCUGAAUAGGGAUAAGGACCGGUAAGCAUUAUUAGUUGUCUACUCUCCUUUUUUCAGGGCUGUUCUGUUCUGUUGCUACUUUUAUACUAGUAACUGGCAUAUCUGGAACGGUACAAGCCAUAUUCCAAUAUUGCUUGUCUACGGAUAAGGAAAGCCGUUUUUGCUUGUAGAUCAUAAAGAAGAUAUAAGCCUACCAUUGUUUUUGUUUUCCGCUGGCUGCCAAUGUAUCCCUUAUUUUGCUGUUUCAAAUUUUUUUGGUCAUUUCAUACAUUAUGGAAUGGGUAAGAACACACAUUCAUCCCUGUUGCAUUGAUGCCUAAUCUAAUUAUUUGUGCGGGUGAUGGCUAUACUGAUUUGAAGAAUUAAUAUAGGCAGGUGGGUUUUAUACUGGGCUAAUAUGGGUAAGCCAUAUGCCUGUUGGAGGGUUGGUGCUACUGUUAGCACGCUCAUUUCACCUGACCAAAAAAUUGAAAUCAAUUGUUUCAUUAUUUCUGCUACUCAUACAUAGAGAUGGUACCAUGAGCUUAUUGCUUCACAGGAGAUGGUAAACUUACGUAUAAAGUCAUAAAUAUGACAUAAUUGGAUGUCCUUUGCCACUGCCACCAUGGCAUGUCUUUUGCGCUAUGCUGCUUUAUUAUUGUAGAGUUUUUCCCAUAGCUAUCUGCUUCCUUGCUACCUGUAGUUUGCUGUAAGCUUAGUAUACCUUGGAUCUUUAUGCUGCUCUCAAUUAUGCUUAACUCUGGCAUUUUAAAAGCUUUUCAAAUUAUCUUGGAGGCCACUAUGCUCACUCUGUUUGGCUGUGUACUGCCUUUUCAGAUAUACCAAAUACAGGAUAACUUCAUUGGAGAAAAAUUACAUGCCUAAAAUGAUUGUCCCUGAGGAUCUUGGGAUACCUCUCGACCUACUUGACAUGAGUGUAUACAAGUAAGGAUUAUACUAGAGUAACUUAGACCAGUUUUCACGAGUCUGAUCAGUCUCUGAGGAUUUAUUGUAGUAUCCCUAAUUCAUACUGAUCAUGUCCCAGCCCCCCUGCUGUUCAGCAGCCUUUGGCUCCUGAAGAUGAAGAGCUAUUGCGAGAUGAUGAGGUCCUCACCCCUAUUAAACAAGAAGGUAUAAGGAAAAAGGAGAGGCCCACUGACAAAGGUGUUUCUUGGCUGGUCAAGACACAAUAUAUAUCUCCACUGAGUACUGAUGCAGCUAAAACGGUAAAGCAUAUUGAGUUUUGUUUGUUCUUAGUUGCAGUUAACGAUAUAUAUUAAAGAAAUUGCUUGGUUAUGUAUGCAGUCCCUUACUGAGAAGCAAGCAAAGGAAAUACGAGAAUCAAGGAUGGGUCGCAAUGCUUUCCUGGACAACCUUAAUGAUAGGUUUGGUUCUCUUUCUAUUCGUGCUCCUCUUUGGUUUGUAAAGAUUAUCUUGUGCUGCAACAUGCAUACCUUGUGUUCUGUGUAGUCAUUCACACUAUGUUCCCGUUCAUGUGUAUAUCAGAGAGAAACAGAUCAAAGCCAUCGAAGAAUCCUUCAGAACAGCCAAAUCACGACCUGUUCACCAGACUAAACGUGGGAUGCAAGUUGAGUGGGUUAUGCCUCUGCUACCUGAUUUUGAUAGGUAUUUACUUCUCAGAUGUUGAUUUAUAUGUACAUUAUUCAUUUUUUAUACCAGAUGUGGUGCCGGUAGUUUACUGAGCUAUGCCUUCUUACCUCUUUAUUUGUGUAUCUAUGAAAAGAAAAGGCCCUUGCUAUAUGACCGGAAAGUUCAUUUUCUUUAACAGUAAUUUGUGAAAUUUCCCCUAUUGCUUCAUUACCCUUUUGAGGUAUAACUGCACAAAAGUUUACCUUAAGAGCCAUAUAGAAAGGUUGGAUAUUAUGUUACUCUUAUCUUGACCUCUGUUCACCUAAACAGGUACGAUGAUCCGUUUGUUAUGGCGAAUUUUGAUGGAGAUCCGACUGCUGAUUCUGAGCAGUACAACAAGCUUGAGAGAACUGCACGAGAUGAAUGUGAAUCCCGGGUUAGUUCCUUUUGCUCAAUUUUCUUCUGCCCUAGGAUUUCUUAUUCAAUUGCAAUCCCCUCUUGGAUAUAGGUAUAUCUAGAGUUUAGUGGAGGUACUGUAGUAUAGUUCAAAUUUAUGGCAUGCCCAUAUCAAAGUGAAUUCUAGAGUCUAGACCAAUGUUACCGGGGCCUGCCAUGUCUUUUGCUGUGUCGACUCGUAUUGCUGUGUCUCAUAUCAGACACCUCGGAGCGUAUCAAAGGCAAAAGCUGAAGGUUUGAAGCUAUAUGGGAGGGCCAGGGCUGGGAAAGAAGAGUGGAGAUAGAGAAGGGAAGGCAAAGGAUGCCAGUGCAGGAGACAGAGAACUGCAGCCAUGGCAGGGCCGUGCGCAGGGGCAGCCAGAUCCACUGAGAGGGCUGUUGGUAAAACUGAGAGCAUUGGACAGGCGAGGACAUGGGCUAUCAUUUUACGUUGCUAGCCCUUGUUGUUGGUGAUGGCUGGCAGCGAGCAAUUUAGAGUGGCCGUAUGAGGGUUUAGGGUAAGUCAUGGUUAGAGGUGGCCUAGUGGGCCGGAAACGGCACCCCUAAUUUAUUCUCUUUUAUUUUUUCCUUUUAGAUGCAUCAUGCAUGCUUGGGUCGAUCAAUGGCAUAUUUAUCAGUAGGACUCAGGAGUGUGAUAUUACAGCAAAUUCUAUAAAACAAUUUCUGAUUCUAUUUUCUGUUUGAAUUUAUUUAAAACAAAACAUAUAUUAGACAAACCUCUGAAUGCUCUUUUCUAGAGUUUGUGGAAUUGGACACCCGCACCCGAGUUGGACUUCAAUGCAUGCACAUAUUUUUGGACAUGGCUCCCAAAUGACUACACCUAGAUGACGGCCUUGCUUAUAUUUGAAACGUUUUUAUGUUUUCAUGGCAGGCUGUGAUGAAAAGUUUUAGUGUCAAUGGUUCAGACCCUACAAAACAAGAGAAGUUUUUGGCAUACAUGGCCCCAGCACCCCAUGAGGUAUGAAUUUGUUCGGGUAUAUUUCUAUUCAAAACGUUAUGCACUACGUGAUUCUGAUGGUGACUAUUGUUGUUUCAUCAGCUUGCCAGAGACUUGGAUGAUGAAGAUGAUAUACAGUAUUCUUGGCUAAGAGAAUAUCACUGGGACGUAUGUGUUGUUUUCCUACUUAUUCUUUGAUUGUGUCUAUUAGCUGGUGGCAUAAUACUUAUCCGUUCCACAUAUGUACAUACGUUUCUUGUUUCUGAUUCAGGUAAGAGGAGAUGAUAAAGAUGAUCCUACAACAUACCUCGUCACGUUUGAUGAGGAGGAGGGUGCAAGAUAUUUGGUAACUUGUUAUGUUCAUUCUCAAUUAAUUUUGUAUCUGAGAAUUAUUCUUGGCACAUGAGUGUAAACUGAUGCCAUUUUAUUGGUCCUUUCUGCAGCCUCUUCCUACUAAGCUAGUUUUGCAGAAGAAGAAAGCUAAGGAGGGGAGAUCUGGGGAUGAAAUUGAGCAUUUUCCUGUACCUUCCCGAAUUACUGUGAGCAGAACAGCUCAUGGUGGUACCAUGGAGCAUGGAGAAUCUUCUGGCAUGCAUGUAACGGUUCAGUCUUUCUUGUAGUUCAUCAUGAAAUCUCUCUUUUGAGCUAAAAAAAUUAUUAAAUCAGUUCUCUGUUUCUCUAAGUAUCUUAUGUAAGCAUUUUUCUCACUGAACCUUAUGUCUAAUCGCUUGACUUCUUGCUAUUAAUUCACAUUAUUGCUGUCACAAUCACUACCUUCAUGUGAUCACUAGAGCAUUAUUCGAUUUCUGUUCUCCUUUUUAUGCCAUGUUUUACAUGAGAGCACACUACUAAGAAAAACACGUGAUGAGCGCACCCCCUAUUGAAUACCAUUCUCUUCCUCUUGCUGUCUCAUAGACCAUUCAUUGUUAAUCCUAGUGAUCGAUGAACAAAAGGAUGCAAUCUUAAUGUAACAUACAUUGAAUGAUAUGGGACACUUUAUGCAAAUGUACAUUUGCCUCUUCAAAGUCCUACAACAAAUAAAAUAGAAUGUAUUGUCACUCCUAAAACAUGAAAUGAAAAGGAAUAAAAAGCAGUUGUUUUAUGCAUUACAUGUACCUUUUAAUUCAAGGUUUUCUUCGUUUAUAGGAGAAUUCGAAGCGCCGAAGAUCUCCUGUUGAUGAUGAUCUUGAUGAGCAUCCAAAGCAUUCUCGGGGAGAAGAUAUGGAGCAAUAUAGUGGAGAUGAAUAUUCUGAGUGAUUAUCUGAUAAAUCGUAAUUAUCUUGCACCAACAAAUUUGAUCAGCACAUAUGAAGCUCUAAAGAUCUCAUGCAUAUACUGUGGGGCCUUCAUAAGUGGUUUAUGGUGCAUGGUCAUGCAAUGAGAUGGUGCCUGACAGAGUGAGGGCAUUCGGGCAUUGAUGGUUUUUGAAGGGCAGAGUAUAUGAAAGAAAGCUGAGUGUAACCGGACUUCGAGACUUUGAUCUUUGUAGCGAUGGUAGAAAGUGAGACAUCAUUGUAAAGAAGUCGAAUCUUUAACUCUUGAAGUGGUUCUCAACUCUUUGUUUUGAUAAUAUAGACUUCCCAUUUUGCACAUUUCUUUUUUCCUCUUUCCUUCCCCAAUUGAUUGUGUAAGUACAAAACUUAUUUAUCUUAGACUGGACAGAUCAUAUUGUGCUUGCUGCCUUUUCUGGCAGUCCUGAUGAUCUGCAUAUUGAAGUUCAUACAUUUCUGCACUAUGAACAUCUAAUGAAAAUUGGAGAAGCAUGAUGAGAAGAAUAAACAGCUGGUCCACAUGUUCCAAGAUUGAGAAAUUCAUGGUCGUCUGGUAUAGUCUGUGGGAUUAUAUUCGUUUUAUUAGUAAUAUGCCUUCUUGCCCAAAAGAUAAUGGAGAAGAUAGAAGAGUAACUAUCAAACAGAUCUUUGUGGCCCGUGUGUUGCAAUUUUAUCCCAGAACAUAAUGGUGAGUUGUGAUGACUAACUGUUGAUAGUGUUUUAGUGGCUGUGGUAACAGCUGAUAUGCAGGAGAUGGCUAUUUAUUUCCAUUGCUGCGUUUGCCUCAGCUUCAGCGCUUAAAAUUGAAAAGAUUACUGGUCAUUAUCUUAGCAUGCAGGACCAGUUUCUUUGCCGGCAGCCAGGUAUCCCUUGUCCUUCAUCUAGUAUUAAUGUAUUAUUGAAUGUAUUUUGAAGUUUUUAUGAUGACAUUCAACAUUGACAUAUUUUUUCAUUUGCUGUUAGGUUUGGCGAAUUUUAUGGAUGCUAAUGUAUUGGAUUCCCAUCAAAUUACAGCAAUUGUGUUAUGUAUGACAUCCUGUUCUCCGAUGCCCUGGUUCCUUUCCAGCAAUCAUUUGGGGGCUUCAGUUCUCCAUGUGUUGUUUACAUCAUAAUUUGAUCCUAGCUGUUGCAAGGAAAAUCGCAGCUGUAGGGUGAACGGACUGUAAGUCACAUGUUCCUUUGACAUUGUUACCAGUUGUUCACUAUGGGAUUCUUGCAACCUCUGUAUUAUGCAGUCUUUUGAGAUACACGUUGCAUCACAAUGGGAUUCAAUUUCGUAUGGUCCAUGGAAGUAUAUUUAUAGGUUCCUAGAAUGCUGUCCGCGUCAUUCUAGACUCUCGGAAGUUUUGGAGUAUCUGAUACUUUCGGGAAUGUUCAUGUUUAUGUGCCUGAUUGGAGAAUUUACUUAUUACCACUUACCAGCUCCUUAAGUAACUUUUGCAGUUAAAUUUGUGCUGAUAGUUAUUGGCAUGGCUAAAGUUGCAGACCACAUAAUUUCAUUUUCCAUACUUUUUAGUCCCAGCUGGUCAUAUUUUCGAAAUUCAGUUGUGUAAUUGGACACACUGCUAGUUCCAUUUGGAUUUAGUAUCUGAAAUACAGGAUUAUUUAAAUGCUACUUAUGAAAUAUAGGAUUAUUUAAAUGCUACUUUGUCUCGCUAGUGCUUAUUGGCCUUUCUGUAUGUUUGCUGGAAGUCGUCACAUGUUGUUUUUGGCUACAUGCUCUGGAAAAACAAUCCAAUUUAUCAGCGGCAUGAGAGGUGAGAUAGGACCCCUGUGAAGCGAUAUGCACAGAAGUCAUGAUGUGUGGAGUACAUAAAAGAUGCAAGUACUGAUCGGUUUGAUGUUUUAUUGUUUCACUUGCUGGGUCACCCAAGUAGCAUGUGUAAACAACGAGAUAGUAACUUUAUUUUAAAGAAGACAUCAUGUCGUUGUAUCUGGACAGGAACUUUAUUCAAUUGAAUUGUCUUUUAUGUCAGCUAGGCCUUUCUUUUUCUUAUUUCCUUUUCCCUUUCAACUGUUUUUGAUUGGAUCACCAAGCAUGUGUAAUCAUUCGUGUUCAUCCUGCCAGGAAAAGAGUUAACAUCAUAUGGACAGCUUUGUUGCCCGCUUGUCUCGUUUAUUUCUGAUGCAACGAUUAUCAGUUUUAUUUAGGUACUAGAGCUUGAUGUGAUAUCUCCAUAGUUGAACAAAUGCGUUGCUACUUCUGUGGCCUUGUUGAUGCUACCUGGAAGCUUUUGCGUGUAAACUCUUAUCAUGCUCCUGGUUUGAAGAACAUGUUGUAUUGGGAAUGUUUGUGCAAGAAUGGUGUGAGUUUCAGGAACAAUGGGAAUAGUGCGUACACAUUAUAUCAUGCGAUUUUAUGUUCAUCAACAUUUUAGAACAUAACACGAACUGCUGGAAAGUGACAUGAGCUGCUGUCUGUAGAGUGUGUGGUGAUUGUAGUACCAUAGUCCUGUCCGUGGGCAGUGACAAGCCCCUAGAUUUCUUAAAGCAUACAAACCAAAGGAGAUAGAUACAACCUAACAAGAUGCAGAUAGGCUGCCAGCUUUUGCCACUACAAAUUAUUGAUCAAACUUGUUGUUUCACAAAUGUCCAAUGUUUUCGACGUCAGGGUGUCAUCAUCGACAAGCCAUGAGAUGAGAUGAUGAGGGGGUGGUCACUUGAAGUUCUUGCUGUUGCCUCAUGCCUUCCUCAUGCAGUGGAUACAUAUGCAAUCCUUGUUUGCUCGUGUUUACAUGGGAGCUAUUUAGUGGAUUGGAUCAGGGUUGAACUUGAGAGACUCCUUCCAUAUGAGCUCCUUGAUAGCUUCUUCGGUGAGCGAUGGUUGCUCAAAGUCGAAGCUGAAAGGCGCUGGGCAAACGGGUUCAUCAUUUAUCUCAUGAAGGGAUGCCAGGUACGGGUGGCAUAGAGCCUCAUCAACUGCAAUAGCACAAAGAAAGGAAGCAAUGUUAGUAUCUUUCAAGAGACUACUGCUUGUUAUCUUUUUCAUAAUGCAAUAAUGAUAUCUGCAUGAGUGUUUAGUUCUGUCAGAUUUUUUAGGGCAUUUGGGACUGAAACAAAUAAAGCAGUUAAGAUGAUAUUCAUACUUUCCUGUCUGGAUGAUGGUGAUUGAGAUAGGAUUUAGCUAAAAUUUGAACUAAACCCUCAAAAUCUUCCUCAUCCAGAUAGGUUUCUGACACAUUUUACAAUGCAGCAAGUUCAUGUAGGGCUGCAAGAUUACCAGUAAUCCUUUUGCUCGGAUCAAACACAAGCAUCCUCUCAAGCAAAUCCAUGGCACCACUAGACAUAGUGGGGAACCGCGCACGGAAGUGUUGCUUGGGGUAUUGAGGAAGGGACCUCACAUAUCUGCGGGCGUUAUCGCUUCGGAGGAACCCAAGGCUUGUGUCAUCAGGUGAGCCUACCAGCUUUUUGAUCAAGAAUGAACAGAGUUACAAAAAUAUAAUAGAGAACAAUUCUGAGACAUAUUAUCAUUCAGGUAUUAUAAGACUCUUUUCAUUUUUCAUCUACAUUGUGCCACUUAUACUACACUGAAACUGAAAAAUGUAAUCUCAGACCCUUAGCAAAUUCGCACAGAAGAUUGCACAAAAAGGGGGAGAGUGAAAACAAAUUCUUUGAUUGGUGAAAUUGGAACCGUACCUCGGUUAUUAGCCUCAGCUGAUGAACAUAAUCUUUUCCAGGAAACAGAGGCUCUCUUGUAACAAUCUCGCCAAGGAUGCAGCCUACUGACCACAUAUCAAUAGCCUGAGUGUAUUCUGAGCAGUUCAGCAGGAGUUCGGGCGCUCUGUACCACCGCGUAACAACAUACUCCAUCAUGAAGUCAGUUUCAGUUGUGGUCCUUGCAAGGCCAAAAUCCCCAAUUUUCAGAUCACAUUUGGCAUUCAGCAGCAGGUUGCUCGGCCUGAGGUCUCUGUGCAAGACAUUCGCCGAGUGGACGUACUUCAAUCCUCGAAGCAGCUGAUAGACGAAAUACUGCAAGAAGGGAAAUUAAGAGUCACAUUACUAGCUGCAGCCUGGGGCGUGCGAGAUACAGUGCGAAAAAAAAACCAGAAAACAUAAAACAAUUGACAAUUGAAAUUUGUGGGAACAAUAACAUGCCACAAGGUGAACUGCAUCUCGGAUCAUUUGUCGAGACAAAACGUUGUACCUGACAAUGAUCAUCAGUUAGUGGCUGGUUUGAUCGUAGAAGGUGAUGAAGAUCAGUGUCCAUCAACUCGUAAACGAUAUAGACAUCGUUGAAGUUCUCCCUCCUGGGUGGGCGUAUGAUGUCCUUCACUGAAAUAACCUGCAGAAAAGGGGGUAGAUGUUGUUACAAGUCACCAGAAGUACGAGACUACCGAGUCAUCAUUAUAUAAUAUCUAACAAUGCAUUAUAUCUCUAACUUAAGAUAAACAAGUUUCCAUGCCAUAAUUAGGAUUAUAAUUGCAGAGACCGAUGAUAUGCAAGGUGGCACAACUCCAAGCGAGUGGCAUAUUGAAAAAAACAAGUGAGGAACAUUAAACUAAAUAUCUUUAUAAAAAGAAGGGAUAUCUACAAAGAUAAUCAUUAUGGCAAACAUUCCAGUGAUUUCAACGAAUUAUUGGCAAUUUCUGCCUAGAUGAGAGAAAUGAAUUAAUGGUUUUGCUUCGAGAGAGAAUCACCAGAAAUUUUGGCAGAUCUCCUCAGACGGCUUACCUUUGCAAUGAACUACAGGGUUAACCAUGGUUAAAUACAAUGAAAACAUAAUUGAUAUGGAUCUUGAUCCGACAAGAGUGGAGCAUCUCAGCCACAUAGAUUGCCACAACUCACAAGCUAGAACCAUAGGAGGAGAAGAGGGGAUCACUUACAUUUUCAUGAUUCAUGUGCCUCAGCAACUUAAUUUCUCGCAAAGUGCGUUUCGCAUCGAUCUGAUUGUCGAACGCGUUACCGAUCUUCUUGAUGGCGACCUCCUCGCGAGUCUGCGCAUUGACAGCAGCACUGUGCAAAGGAAGGCAUGCAAUGCAAGCGUUAGAAGGUGAACGCAUGCUUGAGGAUAUAUAUUGUUAGAACCGAGGAUGAAGAAACCAUCAUCCAAACUUAUGAUUGCAAAAUGCAUUUCUUGUCUGCACUCUACACACUUGUUACCAUUGGAUAUUAAUGUCACAGAAAUUAAAAAAGGGUUGAUGUUUUCUCAUGUCACACUGGAUGAUAUUUUUUUAUCAGUAGCGUCUAAGACAGUGACACCUAAGCCGCCGGCCCUCCUGUGACUCAAACGAGCAGGACCCAUGUUUCAAUUAGGCCAACUUCAUGAUAGAGGGAAAUUAAAUUUGAUGUUUAGCAUAAUAUUACUGUAAUUGGUAACCCUUAAAUUCAUAUGUAAUAUGUGUGUGUGUGUGUGUUAUUUUUAGUUUGAUAUAGUAUCUGAAUAUCUGAUACUAUACGUAGGCCACGCAACACCUAGAUGCGAAAGUUAUUCUUAGUUGGGGAUGGUCGGAUGGAGAUGGAGCCCUUUGCUUCUUGCAUAGGGCGAUGCACUGCCACGCGGGUCCCAGUGCAAAGCCUUGACCAAGAAGGCAAGAAGGUUUCCAUGCAAAGCUUUCUUCGUCGUUCAGAGAGCUAGUUGAUGAUCAAAAUAAAGCUUAAAAACAAGGCAACCCGGCUGUGGAUCGAUCGGCAUGGCCGGAGAGGAAGAGGAGCUAGAGAUAGAUGGAGAUGAUGAAGAUGAACGCACCAGAUGAUGCCGAUGGCGCCGCGCCCGACGGGCCGGAUGGGCGGGACGUACUUGGCGGAGACCUCGAAGAGGUUGCCGUAGACGUUGUACUGCACGUAGCGUCCGCCGUGCGUGUGCGUGCCCUUGAUCUGCGCCUCGCCGCCGUGUCCCAGCCCCAGGCACCCUCCCACGCCGCCGGCGCCGCCUCCGCCUCCUCCCGGCCCCUCCAUUCGCAUCGACCACUGCACGUACCUCUCCGAUCUAGGCUCUGAUCCGAUCGCCGGCCGGCGGCGCUCCUCACCCUCCCUCUCCCUCUCUGAGAGCUAGCUAGAAAGAAACACACACCAAGCUCGAUCGAGACGCCGGCCGCGCAGCAGCAAGCGAGGACGGCAGGAAGAGGACGGAAGCUGGAGGGGAGCUGCCGGCGCGUGCGUGGUUGGUUGCGCGGAGGCCAGGGAGGGGGAGGAGAUAAGGAGGAGCGUUGGGGAAAGUGGAAAAGGCGGGAGCUUUUCGUCGAGCGGAAAUCGAAGUCCCGUGACGCCCAAAGAGGAGUUGGUUCCUGUUGCUGUUGCUGCUGCUGCUCUCGCUCCAUCGCUCCCUGCCUGUGGCUGCUGCCUGCGCACGCCACGGAUGCAGCCAGGGAUCUCCCUCUUCGAUCUUCCAGGCCAUUCCUCUCUCCUCCACCCAUCUCUUUCCUCCUUCUUCGCCCUUUGCUAGCACAGCAGCUAGCUGCCUUUUUAUUCACAGCAGUUCGCUGCUGCAUGGCCUGAGCUCCAUCUAUCUGUGGUCUGGUUUCAUGACACCGAGAACAUGCAGUCAUGUAUGAUGCAUACUGUAGACACUAUGCAGGACAGCAGGAGUGAGCUAGCUAGAAUGGUUAACAUGUGGAGUUCUUCUCUUAAAAUGUUCUCUCUUUCAAAGAACAAAUAUAGUACAUGUGUUCAACCUGUAUACUCAGCUGGAGACCUGAGCAGAUUGGAAGAAAUGUGACUGCGUGUCUGCACUCAUAAUAGACUUGUGCACUAAUCAAAUGACCCAUCCAUGUCAGACCACGAUGUUCAAAUCCAAGUUGCAUUUGCAGCCUCGGUACGUACGUGUAAUGCCCCUAAUGCAUAUGGAGGGAUAUCAUGCAUAUAAUUCAUUAAGGAUGUCCCACGCGGCAGUCUCUCAUGUAUUAACACGCUGUGGGUGGCUUAAAAAUUAGAGAUGCCAUCUAGGUCCAUAAACUUGCAGAUUGCUUAUUAUGUAAACCUUAAACUUAUCUUGAAGUGCCAUCUAGAUCCAUCAUCUUGCAAAAACAUCCGUAGAAGUCCUUGCAGUGUAAGGUUAGACCUCUUCAUCAUUUACCACAUUAAAAAUUAGAAAACUACAAUGGUAGUGUCAGAAUUGUGGGGGCAUAUGCCCUCCUUAAAUAAACUAAAUAACAUAGGUAGUGCUUCUUCCUUUUUAUCGUGCUAAUAGUGAAAAGCUGAUCGUGUUAAUAAUACUAUGAUGCAGAGGUUUGGAGUCGGGAUGAUAAAGUAAAGAAAUUACUGACCAACUCCUUUCCAAGAAUAAUUUUAAGAACAUAAAUGGAAAUUUGGAAAGAAAAUAUUUUGAAAUGGUAAUGGAAAUAUAAGAUCAUAUUUCGUGUUGAAUUAUAGAUGUACCAUACUUACAUGAUUUGUUUUCCAUUUUUUCACAAAAAUUUCGAGUUAUCAGGCCCUAGUCACUCAGCUAGUCCAGCUAAGCUAUGUCAAAUCAUAUCCUUCUGCGUUUAUAUAAAAAAUAGAAUCGUGUUGAAUGAAUUGGUUUAAUACUAAGAACAGAUACUUGUGGUACGUAACUAACAACUACGAAUGUUCAAACCUAUGGAACAAAAACCAUGAUUACGUCGUUGUUUAUCCCAUCACAUAUAUUAUUUGGGAGUUCUAACCGAUUUUUAUAUUAUUUUCUUUACCGACCUUACCGUUUUUUGGGGGAAAUAUGGUUUAGAAAAUGAUACUACAAAUUUUCGAUCAUUUCCAACCGUUUUCACCUCUUUUUGGAAAUGCGCUUGGGAAAUCCAGAGCGUGCAUAAGCAGGUGGAACAGCUCGCCACGCCAUGUCAGGCUACGUGCCUGCUGGAUUUCUCUGAAAGCUUCAGGUAUUUUGCUUUUUAUUUUAAUUUGUUUCCUUUUUCUGAAGAGCUCUGUCACCUCUAGCAAGUAGAGGUGGUACAUAUUUGAAGAGUGUAAUAAUUGAAGUAAUGAUGUCAAAUAGUAGUUCCAUUUGUGCACAUCUCAUAAAAAAUUAGGGCCAACGGUGCAAGUACAUAAAUGUUUUGAGCACUGACUUAACAUCUAGGGCAAAGAAAAUGUUCAGUUUGAAAAAACUAAUGGCAAUUUGCAAAAUAAAAAGGGCCAAAACAGUGAUUAGAGCGCAAGUUUGGGGCAAUAACAUGAUCGCCCAAUUAAACAAACAUAAACAAAAAGAUGGAACACUUUAGUUGCUGAGAAACAUAAACAAAAAGAUGGAACACUUUAGUUGCUGAGAAAAUAAGGAGAAUAAAUAUACAACCGAAACUAAAGAGGAAGUCCGUCGCGGCCCAUCACUGCACGUAGAAAAGGAAGCGUUCCUCAAACACAUGCACAGCCUCAAACCAUCAGACAACAUAAAAUGGAUCAUUUUAGGGACUUCAAUGGUUCAGCCUCAUUUACCGAGAAAGAGACAAAAGCAACCGAAACCUAAACAAGGUUCAGGACGCAAUAAACUUCUAAGGUCUCAAAGAAAUAAAUCUGCAGAACAAAAAAUUCACAUGGAGCAACGAAAGGCGUAGACCGACACUCGUUCGGCUUGACAGAGUCUUUUGCAACCAAACUUGGGAUCUUGACUUUGAAAACUGUCUCCUUCACACACUAUCGUCUUCACACUCAGACUACUGUCCCCUUCUGCUAACAAACCAAGCAGGCCCGAGACACCCGACGCCUUUCAAGUUCGAAAAUUUAUGGGUACGACUGCCUCACUUCUAGGAGGUCGUCAGCAGAGCUUGGAAUGCUCCUACUCAACACACUGAACCAUUCCACAAGCUGGGUCACAAACUCCAUACAACAUCCCAGGCCCUAAAGCAAUGGAGCAUUUCCAUGCUCUCUGAGGUCAAGAUGAAGAUGCUUAUAGCUCAGGCAGUCAUUCUUCGCUUGGAUGAGGCACAGGAUGUGAGGCCCCUCUCACCGAAGGAUUCAUGGUUGCACAGAAAACUAAAGAAACGAGUCAUGGGAUGGACAGUUAUUGAAAAGGCUAGGAAAAAACAAUGCUCUAGAGUAACGUACCUGAGGGAGGGGGACGCUAACACGAGGUUCUUCCACUUAAAGGCAAAUGGAAGACGUAGGAAGAAUUUGAUUCAGCAGCUGCGCAAAGACAGUGGUUGGGUUGUCUCACACAACGAUAAACAUCAAGUCAUACAGGAACAUUUUGAGAGCAUCAUGAAGGAACCACCACCUCGUUCGAAAGACCUCAACUGGUCAUCGUUGAGUUUGCUAGCGCUGGAUUUGUCCUCCUUGGACAGCCCUUUCACAGAGGACAAAGUUUUGCAAGCAAUCUCUCAAACACCAAAAAAUAAGGCACCAGGGCCGGACAGCUACACCGGGUUGUUCUUCAAGCACUAUUGGGAAAUAAUCAAACAUGACCUAAUCGCGGCCAUCAACUCUCUACAUGCCUCCCACUGCGCGGACCUAAACUUACUCAACAAGGCCAACAUCAUCCUUAUCCCAAAAAAAAGAAGGAGCGGAGGACAUCCGGGAUGUUAGACCAAUUAGUCUGAUCCAUGCCAUAACAAAGAUUAUAACAAAGAUUCUAGCCCCGUGCCUAGCUCCGUUCAUGAACGAGCUCAUCUCGCUCUGCCAAAGCGCCUUCAUUAGGGGUCGAAGCAUACACGACAACUUCCUAUACGUGCAUAACCUUGCGCGUUGUUUCCAUAGGAACAAGACACCAGCCCUGCUCAUGAAACUCGACAUAUCAAAGGCCUUCGACUCCGUGCGAUGGGACUAGUAGAUCUUGCUACAAGAGAGAGGAUUCCCAACAAGAUGGAGGGACUGGAUUGCGGCCCUUCUCACCACAUCGACAUCGCAUGUCUUGCUUAAUGAGAUCCCCUUGGACCCGAUACAGCACGGCAGAGGACUGCACCAAGGCGACCCGUUCUCACCGCUGCUCUUCAUCCUAGCAAUAGAUCCUCUACACUGUCUACUCUCCAUAGCAACCGAAAGAGGGCUUCUUAGCAAGCUAAACGGCCGAGCAGCAAGAUUGAGAGUACCAUGUAUGCGGACGAAGCGGUAAUCUUUGUCAAGUCAACGAUGCAUGAUGUAACCAAACUAAAAGACCUGCCACUCAAAUUUGGGGAAGUAACUGGUCUAAGCACCAAUAUACAGAAAACAAGCAUCACACCCAUCAGUUGCACAAACAUUGACCUCGAGGCCAUACUAGUCAACCUUCCAGUCGCACGGAAAAACUUCCCUCUCAAAUAUCUCAGGUUACCGCUAACGGUCAGAUGACUGAGGAAGUUGGAUUUCCAGCCGCUAAUCGACAGAGCAGCCAAUAAGCUUUCAAUUUGGAAUGGCAAGAACUUGACCUAAGUGGGACGUGUCAACCUUACCAAAUCGAUGUUGUCUUCACAACUGGUGUACCUAUUGAUGGUACUCAAAAUGCCAAAUGAGGUUUUGGAAGAGAUAGACAAAAUUCGCAAACGCUUCUUGUGGGCUGGUGACAAGGAGCUCUCGGCGGGAGAGGGGGAAUGCAAGGUUAACUGGACAAGGACCAAUCUACCAAAGGAGCACGACAGAUUUCGAGAAAUUUGCAAGGGCGCUGCGUAUAAGAUGGUUGUGGCAUGAAUGGGUAUCCCCGGAUAAGACGUGGAUUGGAGCUGAAACACCAUGUGACGACAAGGAUCGGCUGCUCUCCGCCGCAUGUAUGACAAUCGAGCUUGGAAAUGGAGAAAGGACUCGGUUCUGGUCCGAUGCAUGGAUACAAAGAUCAAAAGACAUUGCACUCGACCUCUACGCCUGAUCGAAAAGAAAAAAGAGGACAGUGGCUGAGGCGCUGUGAAACAAAAAAAGAGGACAGUGGCUGACGCGCUGCGAAACAACAACUGGAUAAGAGACAUAAACUACUGCUCAGGCUUCACAACCGCACACCUACACGAAUUUGUCACGCUAUGAAAUCUAACGUGAGCAUGUGUACUACAGCCUGUACAGGAAGAUCGCAUCACAUGGAAACUCACGCAGAGCGGGCAAUACACAACGACUUCAGCCUACAAAGCAUAGUUCAUCGGGUGCACCAAAGCAUCCUAGAUAGCCAGCAUUUGGUAGUUGUGCCUCCCCCUCAAAAUGUAAAUUCUUUGUAUGGCUAAUUGUGCAUAACAGGGUGUGGUUGUCAGACAGGCUAGCAAGAUGAGGGUGGGACGACAGCCUAACUUAUCCACUUUUCAGAUGCACGAUGGAGACAGCAUACCACCUCCUGGUGGAAUGCCGAUUCGCCAAAUGUAUUUGGACAUUGGUGGCAUCCUGGACCUCACAGGUGAAUCUUGCGCCGGACGAAUGGCCUCAAAGCAUGACAUGCUUGGAAUGGUGGUGCAAUAUUACAACAACACCAGGAAUCUCACGGAAUGUCACACGAAGCAUAUCACUCCUGAUCAAAUGGGAGAUUUGGAAGGAAAGGAAUGCAAGAAAGCCCGGUUGUCUUUUUUUGGUUGUCUUUUUUUUUCUUCUUUCCAUGUUUAUUGGUUUGUCGGCUGUAACUAUCCCUCUCUAUCAAUGAAUUAGGCAUAAUCUCGUGCCUGUUCGUUAAAAAAACUAAAGAGGAAACAAGGACACUGAAUAGAUGCUUUAAGAUAGAGACGAUAUGUAGAAAGAUUAACAGACAACUCUUUUUUUCUAAAGGAGAUAAAAAAAAUUAGAGGGCACACAUACACAAACCAUGUUUCUUUUCAUUUUGGCGAGGAAGGCCCUGGUUUGUUUCUUUUUUUUUUCGAGAGGGCCUGGUUUAUUUCUUCUAACUGGGCAAAUCACAUGGGCUUGUUCUUUUGAUGGGCUAGAAAAUAAUAAUGCGGGGCUUUUCGUCGUCGGGCCCUGUGCAACGUUUUUUUUUCCUUUCUGUCAUGUGGCCCGACGACGACGGCGGACGGGCAGGUAUAGAGGCCCAAGCUACUUCCGACCAGACAGACCAGAAGAAGAGAGAGACCCAAGCUACUCCAAGCGGAGCCAGAGCCCAACCCAGCCCAGCCCAUUUACCACUGCCCGCACCAGUGGCGGCUCGCCUCCGCCGCGAACCGCAGCGCCUUCAUCGAUGGCGGAGGCGGAGGCGGACGUGGCGGCGGCGUCGCUGUUCGGUGCCGACCGCCGCCUCUGCUCCGCUGACAUCCUCGCGCCGGCUGAGGUCAACGCUUUCUCCUCCUCGCUCGUUUCUUCGGCCGCCCUCGAUCGAGUCGAAAAUUUUGUGGUCACUGACCUGUCCUCUUUGUCGUCGGUAGGUCCGGGCAAGGAUCGAGGUGGCGGUGCUUAACUUCCUCGCCGCACUCGCUUCGCCCACCUCGCCGGCCAUCUCCGUCCUCCCCCUGGUACGCUAGGUUCCAAACCGAAACCCCCAUUCCUUUCUUGCUGCAGUAAUUGGUUCUGCGUGCUUCAUCCAUGGGAAUAAGCACAGGGUUUCGAUUCCCUGUCAAUUAUUGCAAUUCGUAAUCAAUUACUGCGAGCUGUAGCAUUCCGUUUCAUAAUUUCAGAUGACCAUGGCAAAAUGUGCUGGGAAUAGUAUGUUUACCACUGAUCAGUGAUCAAUUCAGUGUGCAACACUGCAACUGCAAACCAUUCUGAAGGAAUUGCUUUUUUGCACGGCAGAUUAGCCGGAGCUCUGCCAACUGCAGCCUGCGCAGCGGGUUGCUGAGUGAUGUUUCGUCGAUUUACCUCUCAUACGCCUUCUGCAAGAGGUCCCUGAUGAGAGAAAGCAAUGGAAAGGCGUUCGUAAGAGGUGGUCGAGUACUCCUUCAGUGUCUUGGGAUACAUUUAUCUGCUUUGCCAUGCCCAUUUGUUCCGCUGAAAUGCUUGUAUAUUUUUCAAUAGUAUGGAAGGUCAUGGAGAUGUGCUACAAGAUCUUGGGGGAGGGGAAGCUGGUCCACCAACGGGAGUUGUUCUACAAGCUCCUCUCGGACUCGCCCAAGUACUUCAGUUGUCAGCGUCAUGUCAACAGAGCCAUUCAAGGUCAACAUUUUGCCCCACCAAUUUGGUUCUUGCAUGAUCGACGCAUACCAUGAUCCUAAUCAGAUUCCAUACCUUCUUCUUAUGCAGAUGUAGUUUCCUUGCUCCGGUGUACAAGGCAGAGCCUAGGAGUCAUGGCAUCAAGCAGAGGGGCACUGAUUGGGCGCCUUGUGUUGCAUGUGUGCUCCAUGAUAUAUUUAAAUAUGUCCUAAUUAUUGGAAUUAUCUGCUGAGGGAAUACAUGAUAAACUCUUGUUUAUCUUUUCGCAAAGCACCUAAACUGCAUGUUUAAACUACCUUAGGAACCAGAUGAAGAACAAAUUGACUGUUCUAUUCUUGGAGCUUCAGGACAUGCAAUUACUGGAGACCUGAAUGUAUUGAGCAAAUUAAAUUUGUCUUCAGAUGCCCGGUAUAUCAUUGUAGUGGAGAAGGUACCAAUAUUGCUUUUGCAGUCUAAUAGUGAUUUGUCUCUAUCUGCUACCUGCUGAUAUGUCACUUGUUUGAAUAGGAUGCCAUAUUCCAGAGGCUAGCUGAAGACCGCUUGUAUAAUCAGCUUCCUUGUAUCCUGAUCACUGCAAAGGGAUAUCCUGAUAUUGCCUCAAGGUUCUUUUUUUUACCUCGAAUGUGCAUGAGAGUUGCAUGUCAUUGAAUUAGAGAAAGCAUAAGAAAUGCCAGUUUGUUUACAAAGACCCUAGAGGCAAAGAAAACUGGAAGAACAAAGAAAAAAAGAAGAAGAAAAACAGCUCAUCUAGUAGAGCACAUUUUCUUCGAUAUAAUCUCCAUCUUUUUGUUGAUAAUAUUUGGUUAUUUGGUGUACUUAUUCCAUUUAUCUUUGCUGUUAUGAUACAGGUUUAUCUUGCAUCGAUUGAGCCAGACUUUUCCAAAUAUGCCGAUUUUCGCAUUAGUGGAUUGGUUAAGCCAUUUCCUGUGCUGAUCACUAUAUAGUAGAGAUGACAGAUAUUCCUUUAACCAUUUCAGAUAACAUUUAUUUUCCAAUUUUCAGGAACCCAGCAGGGCUUGCUAUUCUGUGCACUUACAAAUAUGGAAGCAUAUCAAUGGGUUUGGAGUCAUACAGAUAUGGUAUGGUACUUUCUCUGAGUUAUCAGACCCUUAUGAUGCUUAUACCACUGAACAAUAUGAAUCUUGUUCUCCAUUUCCAGCUUGCAACGUGAAAUGGCUUGGGCUAAGAGGGGAUGAUCUGCAGCUUAUCCCUGAUCGUGCAUUUCAAGAGCUGAAGCCACGUGAUUUGCAGAUUGCCAAAAGCUUGCUGUCAUCAAAGUUCCUACAGGUGUGUAUUUGGCUCCUCAGACUUCAAGUAGUGUAGUGGUGCUGGAAGCUGCGUUUUUUUUUUUUUUUUUUUUUUUUUGGAAACAAACCAGCAGUAGUGUAGUGGUGCUGGAAGCUGCAAAAUUUAAAAUUAGGUACAAUUGGUGACACUGAAGUAACAUGUACAAAGGAGACAUUUUAGCAUCAAUUGGUGCCAUAUAGCUGCAUUAUGACUUUAUGAGAAUUACAACUUCUUGGUUUGGCCAAAAGGUGGCAACAUAAUUUCUGUAUAAGUGGCCAAUGAGUGUGGCUAGUGCAAAUUUUGUGUCAAACUAUGACAUAAUCUUGUUAAUGUUGGCAAUGCAUCCAUUACCAGUUACCUGAAAGUUAAUCAGCUAUGGGAAAGAAUAAAUUCCCAGUUUUUUUUAAAAAAGAAUAAAUUCCCUGGAAUGUUCUGUUUGUAGCUGACCAUUCUAAAUAUGAAACUAAUAUGCUCAUGUGGAACAAUGUGACAUGUUUUUGCAUUAAGGAUUACCUGAGAUCGUUUAAAGAUCUUCUGAUCUUCAUAGUACAGCUGCUAAUCCCUGAUGCUUGAUCAUUUAAGUUGAUCUUGUGACUUGAGGCCAUAAACUCUUUCUUUUGGUGGGAAAGUAUGCUUAUAGCUUAAGGGGCUAUGUGACAUCUAAUUUAUGCUGGUUUUUGGCUGCAGGAGUCUCACAGAGCUGAGCUGAUGCUGAUGGUGGAGACGGGCAAGCGUGCGGAGAUUGAGGCCCUCUACUCACACGGGUUCGAUUUCUUGGGGAAGUACAUUGCGAGAAAGAUUGUACAGGGCGAUUACAUCUGACACUACCGUGUGCCAUGUUGUUUGUUUCUCUUUUUGUACUGAGCGCUGAAAUGUUAGCAUGGUUGCAUGGUCUGCAUUAACUAACGUCCAAUGCCUGUAGAUUGAUACAAUGAUGAUAUUGAACUAUACAUAAAUAGAAAAGAUUUUUGCUUCUUCUUGUUACUCCUAGUCCAAUAUAUACUUGCAUCUCCAAACAAACCAGCUUGUUGUUGGAGGCUUAAUAAGCUUGCGAACUCCAGACGCUGUUUUCUGCAGACUCGUAUGAAAGCUGCUAGUCUGUAAAUCAAGCUCAUCUGGUGAAACGGUGAAAUCUGAAUGAAUUUGAAGAGGCUGGUGACAUGCAUUCAUAGGCGGAUUACGUGCUGGUCGGUUAUGAACUGGAACUCUGGCUCGGCUGUUGCGGCCCCUCUCUUGAGUUUGCGAGUAUAAUGAUUGCUUUAGAUUGGACCAGUUCCAUGGUCCAUGGCUGUAUUUACAGGCGCUUUCGUUAUGGGUAUUGACAUAAAUUACAUAACAUAAAAUAAUUGUACUUACAUAAUACAUGAACUACAUGUCGAUGGCAUUUUGCAACUUCUUGUAAUAUAUCCCACCACAAUCCUGACGAUCAACGACUUACAAACCAACAAGGUACAGAAGUAGCACCCUUUUAUAUUUUUUCACCGCCAACCCCAAACAGAGGCUGCAUUUUAAGAUAACAGAAAUGGAAACUAGUUUGUGCAUGCAGAAUUUUCUUUGCAAAAUUUCACCGAGGAGCAUAUAGGACUGAUACCACAGGUGGAUCUGAAAACUUGGACUCACCAACUUGUACAGUGACUGCAGGACUUAGAUCGAAGAAGUUGUAAUCCAAGUUCGAUUCCACACUCCUUUCUCCUUCCAUAUCCUUCACAACCAUUGACAUUGCAGGCCUUCUAUUUUUAUCACUCUGCAAACACCACCUUGCAAGCUUUAUGGUCUCAAUCACGUCUUCCUUGUGUAAACUCAUGUCAUCACUGCUCCUGUCAAUCAUAUCUUCCAGGAGAUCAUUCUUUGCCUUAUCUUGUAGCACUAUGAUGACUUGGACACUACUUUCGUGCUGGGAGUAGUCAAGGUUCUUCCUUCCACUGAUGAUUUCCAUUACCACAAUGCCGAAGCUGCAAACAUCAACCUUCUCGGUGAUUUGUGAUGUCAGCCAUUCAGGUGCCAUGUACCCCGGUGUUCCUCUCAUUCGAGUCAUCACAUGACUUUCACCCCUAUCAAUCAGUUUAGACAGUUCAAAAUCCGAAAUUUUGGCAUUGAAAUUUUCAUCUAGAAGGAUGUUCUGCGGCUUGAUAUCUAGAUGAGCAAUCCUCUGUCUACACUCCUCGUGAAGAUAAGAUAAGCCCCUGGCAAUGUCGUUGAUGAUCUUGCGUCUUGUGUGCCACUCAAGAGGAACAAACUUAUCUCUCUGAUAGAUCCACUUGUCCAGUGAUCCCCUGGGCAUGUAUUCAAAUACCAACAACCUAUAUGAUUUCUCUGAGCAAAAGCCAAUCAACCUCACCAGAUUGAUGUGAUGAAGGCUACCAAUUGUUUGGACUUCAGCCAAGAAAUCUUUCUUUCCUUGACCAGCUCGAUCCAAGCAUUUAACUGCAACUCUUUCAUUGUCUAACUGUCCCUCAUAAACUGAGCCAAAUUCUCCUUGCCCGAGCUUGUUGCUGAAGUCCUGGGUUGCCACUUUCAAUAAUUUGAAAGCGAGCCUCGUAGGCAUUCCGGCUACAUCACUAAAAUCAUUAUCGUCAUCAUUUUUGUGGUGUCUCCUUUUAUCUGAUACUAUUGUAGUAAAGGUUAUCAUAACGAGAGAAAACAUUACCCCUGCAAUUAUAGAACCCAAAAGCACCUUGUGAUUUCCUGAGGGUGGUGUGUCAGCUGCACCUUCAGGUACGCACCAGAUUUAAAUCCUGCGUUUGCCUGUAGUGAAAAGACACGUGUGAGCAAGAAGCACCUAUUAAAAUUACCAACAAACAGAGCAGCUUUGCAAGAGCAGUUUCUCAAGCAGGCUAGCUUGCAACUCUCUUCAUCGACCUGUAUUAGCUCUCCUGCGUACUCUCGUAGGAAAAAAUCGGCAUCUAUUAAUGAUACACCUGGAUUAUCAUAGCAAUUCCUAUGAGUUGAUGGUGAUGUAAAGACUGGCAAGAAAUUGGGUUCAGCAGUGUGCAUCCACGAUCUGGUCUCUGACUGACAGUCUGGUUGAAGUAUGUUGCACCUGUAUCGCUUGUAACCGGGCAGGAACACUGGCCAUUUGAACAGACACCAUAGUCCCCGCAGACAUUCGGGUAAUCACAAGCAUCCAAUGUGAAGGCGUCCUCUUUCAGUGACCACUACUGCUGGUCAUCCUUCCACUCAUACAACCUGAGAUGCCCAUCAGACUCCAACCUCAAAAACUGAAAGGACACAGCCGGUGUCAAGGUGAUCAUAUUUCUUGGUUCUGUAAGAGGGGAAACAAACCAAGUUAGACUCCCAUUUAUAAGAGAUACAUAUGGCUGUCCUUUCUGUGUAGUGUUUUCAACAUCAAUGUAGUAAAAAUAGUAUGGUUGAGGUGGGUUAGAUCCAGCAAACGCGUACAAACCAUCAGAAAGAACAGUGAGAUAAAACAGAUUGCUGGCAGUCCAUUCAGUGGCAGAUGUGUUGGGUGUUAACCUCAUACCUUUCUCUAGCCGCUGCUUAGGAAGAAGGAAAUCCGUUGGAUGAUCAAAUGACUGCCAGACUGAGGUGUUACGGUGGUCGAAGAGCACUAGAUACCCGGAGUUAGUGAGCUUAAUUCCAGCAACAGAUUGACCUGACGUAUUAGUGGACCACACGAGGUUCCCAUCAAUGUCCUGCAACAGAAGAUUGCCGUCGGUAGUAAAGUUGAGGGUGGCAUUACUGUGGAGGAGGUGGUCACGGUUUGCAUACCAGAAAACUGUGGUAUAAUCCACGUACUCCAGGUCACUGGAGUAGAUAUUAACACUUUGUUUAAAAAAAAAAGAGUCAGGAGAGUUGCGGGAAAGCCUGACGAGCAAAACAAAAUGAAGUUAUGUACACUCACAUCCCCAGCUAGGAUCUAUGGGAAGGGAAACAAGCGACACAAUAGACAAUUAAGCAUGCCUCACGACCUCUAUUAACCGCCCUAGCUGUUUAGCCCCUGCCGCGACCCAUGUAUUUGCCUCCUCUUUUAUCUUGUCCACUAAUCGGUUAAGUGAUUAUUCCUGGUGUUGGAAAAUUUGUGUAUUGCGCUCCUUCCAUAUCUCUCACAACACGAGGAUGAUCAAUGUUCUCAAGCCUUUCGUAUCGACGACUUACCCGCCCGUUAAAGUUGACCACCAGUUGUGGAGCGUGCCGUGCGAAAUCCAACAGUUUGGGUCCAAAACGUCGCACCUUGUCCAUGCACUCACCCGCGACUAAAUAGUCCUCGCGAAACUACAUUGAGUGAACAGGUGAAUUCCAGUCUCCUGAGUCACGUCGCAGAGAAUGCAACGUGGACUACUCGACCAUCCCGGCGCAAGAAGAUAUUAACACUGAACACUCCAAAGAGAAUGCGGUCGUCUGGGUAGUUACCGGUAUGGUAGAAUCCUGCAGCGAAGGCUAGACUGGAAUUGCCUGGGAACAUGUGGAGGAGCGCAACACUCGAAGGAUAAUUCCAGACUGUGGACAAGUUUGCAGUGUGGCCAGGCAAGCUGAUGGAGCCGGUUUCGAUAGCUAGUUUGGCUAUGGUGAGUAUCAGUAGAAAGCUUGCCACGUCCAUGCAUUAGGAUUCAGGAUCGGAGGGUAGGCAGGGAGAGCACUUGGAGAGAGUCUGUGUAAUUGUAUAACCUGUUGGUUCAUUCAUUUGCCACUUGUAGCAGCACUUAUAAUUCUUUGAUCCACAGGAUUCCCUCACCAUCAUGGCAGACUUGUAGGCCUUCUUAGGUGAAAUGCGUGCUGGAUUUUGCCGUCAAAAUGGACACAGCAUCUCCUCUUGAUAGGAUGAUAACUGUGCCUUGUGGGAUACGGCGAGGACCAACAUAUGGUUCUUAAAACACAGCCACACGGUAUACCUAUCAAGAAGUGAUAGACGCGGAAAACUAUUGACAAGGUGGCUCAGCUAGCCAGAUUCGUUUGUCCAGAGUCCAGACUGGAGGAUAGUGGAAGUGGAACUGGUCAACUCAAUUCUGCUUUGUUUUUGGCUGCAGGAGAGUCACAAAGCUGAGCUGACGCUGAUGGUGCAGGCGGGCAAGCGUGCGGAGAUCGAAGCCCUCUACUCCUACGGGUUCGAUUCCUUGGGGAAGUACAUCACGAGAAAGAUUGUAAAGGGCGAUUACAUCUGACAUUGCUGUGCAGUUUGCAUCUCUGCUUGUAUUGAACGCUGAAAUGCUAGAAUGGUUGCACGGGACAAAUAGCUGCAUGAAUUAUGUCCAAUGCCUGCAGAUCGAUACAAUGAUGAUAUCUAAUUAUGCAUAAAUAGAAAAGAUGUGCUUCUUCUUAUUACUCCUAGUCAAAUACUGAUAUAGAUGACUGAAGGGAAAUGAGGUUGGUUAGCUGCUAUCAUCACCACAAAAUGAAUAAAUAGAAUCGCUUGAACAGCAAUAGAUUACACCUUCGCUCGUGCGUGGUGCAACGGAGGAUUUGUCAAAGCCGAGUGGUCCAUGUAGCCAAUAUCAGAGUAGUCAUAGGGCUUGACGAAGUGUGCAAAUAAGCAGCACGUCUAUAUAGAAGUCCAUACGUUCGGGAAGAGUAACCGGUAACGGUGUGACGCUAGCACUCGACAUCAAGCUCGGCACAGCAAAAGCGCCUACAAUUCCCUCAUGCAGAGCUUGGCCAGCCACGCACGGGCACAGCAGCCGGCGGCCAGCACGUAUCAAUGGCGGCGGCCAGCUGGCCAGGAGGUUCAGGGUGGCUUUGCUAGGUGUUGGGGACCGCCCCACAACACACCCUGAACGAUGCUGGCGGGGACCUUCUCUCUGGAUCGACUCUAACCUCAUCGCUUCCCCCUUUUUACGAAGCUAAUAAAUAAUCGAAGUUAAUUAUCACGAAGGUGUCCACCUUGUUGUUUUGUAGGCAAGGACUCACGAAGUCAAAUCCCCCAUGGAGCUCUCAGCGAUUUGGCUUCGGAAAGACUCCGAGACCAGAAGCCGAAGUUAGCUGACUUCGACCUCAAGAAGACGGGAAGUUUGCAGAAGUUCACUUAGUUUCAACGAAGCUGAAGAGUAAGGAGGAGGAUAGUCAAGACGGUCCUGGAACCACUUAAUAGCAGGACAACUCCAUAACAAGAAUCUAGUACGAGGUUGGAUAUGUAAUUUUACCGUGAAAGCAACAUCUUGAAUAGGAACCAAGUUACACGGAAUAUUUCUGGGAUGUAGUGGUUGAAUAUGGGUAUAACGGGGAUGCGGAAAUGUAACUUUAUGGCCCUGUAAAGGGAGACGAACCGUCCCUCCCGGGAGAACGUUAAUCAUCGAUAGGACAACCACUGUAAUAUUUGUCUGAACGGUUGUUGUCUUCGUUCGUCAUAACAUUCCUACUAUUGUUUGGGGAUCCCAACUAGGGUUAAUCAGGUGAUUGGCGCCUGACCGGGUGAUUAUUUUAUAUACGAGCUACCUAAUGGGCCAGCCUCAUGGGCCAUAUGGGCCGGACCUGAUGCCCCUGGGCAUGACAUGUUGUUGGGGGCCUGUUUGCAUAACCAAAGAAACCACAAGCUGCUUGCUGUAAUAGGCCUAAUUUACGAAUGGGUUGUGAACUCCAGAGGCUCUCUCUUUUCUACUGAGUACCGACUCAUCAUAUAAAAAGCUGCAAGUCUGCAACCAAGCUCAUCUGAUGAAACGGCUUGAAGAGGCCGUUGAUGCUCAUUCGUCGACCAACAAACCGCAUGCUCGAUCGGGUGCUCGGGGAGGGGCUAAAUUUAGCCCCCGUUGCAUCGAAGGUUCGGACACUAAUUAGGAGUAUUAAACUUAGAUUAAUUAUAAAACUAAUUAUACAACUUCUAGGUUAAAUCGCGAGACGAAUCUAUUAAACCUAAUUAGUCCAUGAUUUGACAGUGUGGUGCUACAGUAACCAUUCACUAAUAAUGGACUAAUUAGGUUUAAUAGAUUCGUCUCGUGAUUUAGCCUAUAGGUUCUGCAAUUAGCUUAUGUUUAGUCCUCUUAACUAAGUAUCCGAACAUCCGAUGUGACAGAUGUAAAGUGUUGCACCCUCCUCCCAAACACCGCGAUCGCUGAAGUCACACGAGCCUCGAUCUGCAGGCUGCAGGUAUGGCGCAGGUUCACAUGGCCGGAUGCAGCUGCAGUGAUCCCCUUCUCCAGAAGCCGCUGCCCGCGUGUCGCAUCCGCGAGUGGAUGCAUGGCCGCCGUGGUCCGUGGGGCCACGCCCGCGGCGCCACGUUGUGCCACGUCGGCGCUUCCCGCAUGCACAUGUGUCUGAUGCUCCCAGGCGUCGCCACCAAUCACGCUUACGCCCCAGCAGCAUUUCCCAGGGGCGAAGAGAUUUCUGACAUCCAAAUCCAAGUUUUCAUCCAGCUUCUGCCAUUUCUCAUCCUGCUCGCUCAUUCGAGAAGCAGAAGUUAUUUUUUUAUCCUUUUCAUUGUAUGGUCCUGCUUGAAAUUAUCCAUAUUCAGUCGGCAGAGUAGUCUCCUGCUUGCAUUAGUGUUAAUGUUGCUUUCUCCUGCACUCGAUGCAGCUGCAUGAUCACAAACAUGCAUAGAUGAGUGUAUUAUAUAUACUCAUCCUUGCACGAGUACACUCACUGACACAGCUGCUGAAGCUGAGAAGUGCAGUAGUCGAAGCUUUAUUUUGAUCGACCAAUCAGGAGAGAGGAUUCAACCGAUCAAGAAGAAGCAGCAGCUUUUUUUUGGGACUUGAUUGAAGAAGAAGAAGAAGAAGCUAGGAUGUCGUGCGGCGGCGUGUCGAUGUCGUGGCCCGACGUGCUCACCAUCUGUGGCCUGUUCGCCGUGCAGUGCAUCUUCGGCCUCUACAUGAUGUUCCUCAACGGCCUGCUCGCCGCCGGCGUGCCGUCGCUCUUCAUCAUCGUCGUCGCCUGCGCCGCCUCCUCCGUCGUCGUCCUCCCCUUCGCCGUCGUGCUCGAGAGGUUAGCUUUGUCACUAGUAUUAUUAGUUGCAAUGUAUUAUAUUCCUUGUUCAGCUUUGGUUGAUGUGUUGCCUUCUUGCUUUUGCUAAUCGCCUUCAGGAAGAAAUGGCCCAAAGUGUGGAGCCCCAUGCUGGUUCUUCAGCUCGUUAUCAUUUCGCUAGGAGGGUGAGACACUUUUUUGCCCAGUGAAAAUGUUUUUCUAAUGGUAUUGGUUUAAUUUAUUUUUUAAAAUAAAAAUGUUCAGUUCCUGUUCAUUACUGUUGCAUUUGCAUCGGUAGCUUGGUUAGCAUCUUGGAAUGCCGUUGAAUCCUUGUGGCACAAAUUUUUAUGAACUCUACCAACACAUAGCCGGUUCGAUCUGUUUACCUGAAUAUCUUGAUUGAUCAGCUCGGUGCACGUAUAGGUUCCUCAGUUCAUUACACGGUGAACAAUUUUAACGCGAGAUGCUGCAAGCAAUUCAUAAGCCAAAUCCCUUUCCAUUGUCUAGAGUGUCCAUAUAUCAAGUCUUCAUGAUGCUCGGUGUCGAGCGGACCUCACCGGCGAUCGCCUCUGCUAUGCCUAAUCUUGGCCCUGCCUUCAUCUUCGUCAUUGCAGCCUGCCUGAGGUACCGAGUUACUGACACGAUUACUGAAACACAAGAAUAAAAAUCAGUUCACAAAUUAUAUGUAUAUAUGGUGCUCAUUUAUCGAUCUCUACAGAUUUGAGAGGUUUAAUUGGAAGUGCCAGUACACGAGAGCAAAGAUCUUGGGCACAUUGGUGUGCCUCAGUGGGGCAAUGUGCGUGAGCUUCUUGAAGAACCCCACUCCCAGCGUGUCUCCGAAGUCCGUUCCCGACGAAUUAGAACUCUCCAACGGCAAAAGCAGGAAAGAUUGGAUCCUUGGAUGUUUCUACCUUCUGACAGGAGUCACAAUCUUCGCCUGCAACACUGUCAUGCAGGUUACUAAAUUUCAUAUGCUGUGAAGUGUUAUUCGGUAAAUUUGUCAGACAUUUGGGGUGUCUGAAAUUUAGCUUAAUCUGAUGCUGGUGUAGGCUGCGGCCCUGAAGAGAUUCCCUGCGCCGUUGUCCAUCUGCUCGAUCACCGCCAUGAUGGGGUCCAUCUUCAGCGCUAUCAUCCAGGUCUUGAUGGAGGGGAAGCUCACUGCAGGGACCUCAGACAACAUCACCAGGAUCAUUGGUGAAAUUGUGCUUGUGGUACACUACAUAUAUCUAUAUGCCACAUUCAGAAUUUUCAGUUGGUGAUGUUACCAUCUCUCAACCUGCAUUGCAAUGGAAGACUGAAUGAAACUCCUGAUCCUCCAGGGAGGCGUGGUGAUCGGCCUGUGCACGACGUUCCAGGUGUCAAGCAUUGGGCGCAAGGGGCCUGUCCUCGUGUCGAUGUUCAGCCCAUUUCAGACAGUGUUCUCGUCGUUCAUCUCGCUCAUCGUCUUCGGACAAUGGAUCGGCCUAGGAUGGUAAUGCACUUUCAUUGCAGGAAUGCUACUGCAUCCUCUAAAAUUCGCUGAGUUCACCUGAUCUGAUGAACACAUUUAUUGACACAUAAGAGUGUUUAUAUCACUUCUUUGCUGCAGCUGUGUCGGGAUUGUGCUCAUGUUUGUUGGACUCUACGUGGUGCUGUGGGCGAAGAACAGGGAGGACAAGAUGUUCACCGAGCUGACGGUGCCAUCUGAAACUGAAUGCGAUAUAGAGGCGCCAUUGCUGCAAUGAUAAGUCAGGCAAAAUCUUGUGACCGCGCUACCAUGGGUGCAAUGAUCUUUUAGUGUCAAAUUGCAUCUGAUUUUGUUCGUGCUUGCAAUCAAAUAUGCUUGGAAUGGAUUUAAUGAUGUUUUUAGAUUGUUGGUAGUUUUUGUCGGAUUUGCUACAGUUUCUUGCUUUUACUAUGCCUAGCUAGUCGAUGAAGUGUUUGGAAGAAACUCCGGCAAAGCUACAAGUUACAAACCUAAGCAUCUGGGCUAAAAUGCUUGUUGGUACCAAGAGUUCCUCCAAACACUUCACAUUGGUAUCAGGCUAUCGCUAAUACAACGUAACGUGAAGUGCUUGAAGGGAACUCUUGAUAACACCAAGCGUAAUUUCCGUUAUCAGCAUUUCCCUAUACAGCCUUGAAACUAUUGGGUAUCAUCUCUGGAAUUAAACUUUGUACAAUUGCACUAGGGUCUAGCUGCUUGUGAAGUGUUUGGAGGGAACUGUACAGCCUUGAAACUAUUGGGUACCACCUGGAGUUUCCCCAAACACUUCACUAGCUGGAAUUAGACUUUGUGCAAUUGCACUAGGGUCUAGCUGCUUGUGAAGUGUUUGGAGGGAACUCCAGAGGACAACCAACCAAGAACUCAAAACCCUAAAACACUCACAGAACUUCACUUUGGACGAUGAAAACACAUAGGUGAUGUCUGCUAUUUAUAAGAUGGAAUAGCAUCUCACCAUCUACACAUCAUUCUUUUCGUCGUACGCUCCUGGAGGCACAUGCAUUCGUUACGGGAGGAGUUUGAUCGAUGGAUGCACCUUGCCGGGAUUGCAGCAGGAUUAAUUCCCGAGGGAGGUCAAAGGCAAAGGAAUCUUGGGUGUGCGCGUGGAGAUAUAUCAGAUAGUGCUGUGAGAGCUUGAUCGAAUCAUAGAAAGUUCAUCAAUACUUGUGGAGGGAACUUUGCUCCUCCUGUUGUAACCACGCACAGUCCUUUCAUAUCCAAAUGCACUUCAGCACUUGGGCAAUAGAUCAUCAUCUUGAUGGUUUGGUCUUUUAGAAAAGAAAAGGGAAAAUUUGAUGUCAAUGUCAGAUUUGUCCAAGUGUACUAUUGAACAAUUGAAAGUUUGAUACACAUGAAAACUCUUCUUAUGGAAGGAACAUGUACUGAUCAUCACCACCCAUAUAUUAUUGUUAUUGAUAUUUAUUUGUUCUUGCUAUUAUCACUGUGAAUUGCCUUUCAGCCUGCUAAGCUUAUGGCUGAAGUAAAGAAAACAUGUCCAGGUUCAAUGCAUAUAAAGAAAGUGACAAAGAAGAGAAGGUGCCAUGUCCAGAAUAUAUAGCUAAUCUGAAGAAUGUUCACAAACCACAUCGACAAACAAAAGGAGACUAGAAGGCGUCCAGGUUCUACUUAUAUACAACAGCAUCCACCAUCUAAUCAGGCAUCAGACUCCAAAUAGCAGUGAAGCAGUUAGCCUGGAAGACUAUAAGAACCGCAUCUACGAGAUGAAGAUGUAUAUCGUGUAUAUCGGUAAAUGUCAAAGGAUUAAUUCAUGCCAUGAUAAAGAUGGAGUUCUCCUAAGCUAGUUCACUUCUCCUUUUUUUAAUUCUGUAUUGUAUUUUAUUUUCCUGGUACCUCUUACUGCUUUCAGUGGCUCUUGAGGUGUUUUCUAAAUUAAAAGGACAACAGUGCGACUGGCAAUAGAACGGUGACAGUAACUGAAUCCAAUAGAACGGUGACAGUAACUGAAUCCAAUAGAACGGUGAUAUAACUGUGCGACUGUCUUUUUUUUAUCGUAGAGGAAAUCAAGAUAACUUUACCAUUUAUGGAAUUGGAAUUUCAGGUACACGCAACGGAACUGUUUAGAGGGAUUUGUAUACAAAAGUGCUUAUCACCGCUUAACCCUGUGCUACCACUUUUAUAGCUACUCAUUCAGGUCAUUUCCACGCUCUGUUCUGGUCUAAAAUCGACUUGGUGACACACGCGUAUGUUGGUGAUGUGAGAAUGUGUGCUGAUUCAUUGACCGUGUAUAUGCAUUUCACACCUUAAAAAAACUUACAAGCGCGCGCGUGUGUGGUGCAUUUGCGUGCCCUUAGGUGCAAGUGUGAGCAUAGCAUUUCCACUAUAGCUUAUACUUCAAAAAUACACUUGAUCUUAUCAUUGUGUGUAGGGCAUAUAAUCGAAGCCGUGUGGCGCUGGAUGUUCUCUCUCCAAAGGAGUGUCGGAGUGUGUCAGCCAAAUGUUAGUGCUUCUUAAGUUGUGCAGAAGACAUUUGCCAUGCAACAUGCACUAGGUGAUCCGCCCACUAUCAUGUCAAGCAGCAUGCAUUCCCCCCUUAUCAUAAUGCAUAUGCGCAAAGAGGUAGAGAACAGUGUUCCCCGUUGUCCUCUCUCCACCACUACCAAGAAUUGAGCCCUAGCACGAGUGGCAUUGCUCGUAUAUACAUAGACACUUCGGAAUAGCGUGAUUCACACACUUUCUAUCUAUGGAUUAAUGUGUUUUACACUGGAAAAAUGAGCAUUGGUUCUAGCCCUUAGUAUAGGUUAGUUUUUGAUCUGGUACUAAUGUGAGCAUUAGUACCAGGUCUAACGGCUAGUCCCCUAGGAGCUCCCCGUGACCCCCUUUAGUACCGGUUGGAGCCCCCAACCCGUACUAACUUCCCUCUUAUAAAUCAAGCGUCUUCUUCCUCCUGCCCGAGCCAUUUCCUCCAGCUUGAGCUUCAUCCAUUCAUGGUGAAAUAGGGGAGGUGUUGCCGGAUUUUUGACAAUUUCAUGGGGAUUUCACUCAUUCAAGUGUUCUAAAGGUUAGAAACUUCAUCCUCCCUUGAUACAUGGCUAGUAUACUAAGUUUUAUGCUUUAGAGCUAGAUUAAUUUAUGAUUUUUAGAAUAAGGUACAAUGGAGAAAACUUUCAUUUAUAUGCAUGUGUUAUUUAGAGCUCAUAUUUGUCAUUUUUAGAAACAGCUACAAUUUUUAGAAACAGCGCACGUGGCCGAGGCCAAUUUAGUACCGGUUGGUAUAAACAACCGAUCGUAAAGGCCCUCCUUUAGUACCAGUUAUUUGACUCGGUACUAAAGGACCUCCCUUAGUACUGAAGUAGCAAUACCGGUUGCACAACCAAUACUAAAGAGGGUUAGGAACCGGUACUGAAGGUGCUUUCCCAGCAGUGCACACAUACGUGUGCAAGCACAAGGAAGCGAUCCUUGCCGGCUAUCAUAGAUCAGAUAUAAUAUUGUGAAUGUAGCGUGACAGGAUGAUAGGUGGCCAAUCACCUAGUUGCUCUUUUUUCACAUGUUUUCAUAUUCAUUUGUAUCAGCUCAUAUGUGUCCAAUAAUGCACUAGGUGACUGAACAUUUGUCAUGCAACAUUAGGUGAUCCGCCAGUUGUCAUGCAAAAUUAGGUGAUCCACCACUAGUCAUGCAAUAUUACGUGAUAUGCCACUUGUCAUGCAACAUGUACCAGGUGAUCUGCUACUUGUCAUGUCAUGCAGCAUGCAUUCCUACAAGCAUCAUUGUGUUUGUGAUCUAAUACCAAUGCUUCCAGCUCUUCAUGUAUAAAAGGCACAUAGGGCAACAUUUACUUGAAAAUAGCAAGUAGUCAAAGGGAAAAAAACAAUGAGUGAUAAGAGGUUCAAUGGAGAAGGAAGACGACUAGAAUAGAGCUCCAGCUCCAGCAGUCACCCCCGCCAUCAAUGUACUGCAUGUGGUCGUGUGUUUGCAUCUAUCAACUUUUUUUUUGAAGGCACAUCUAUCAAGUUGCUCACACUGCAUAUGCAAAACAAGGCAGUUGUCGCGCUUUGUGCUAUCCCAAUGGUGCCCAUGGAACUAGUUGAUGAGGAUCAGUUAGAGGGCAUAAGUGCUUAGAAAAAGGUCAUGGAGAUCCUUCUAUUCCUCUCAAAGCAUACUUAAACUCGGAUUUGUAUCAUGGCCAUGUGAAGUCUCACUGUCAUGGGUAAAACCUCAAUAGCACGUAGUGUCACCAUGAUAGUAAUAAGAGACGAUGCAUGUGCAUAACGAGGUAGAGAACAGUGUGCUACCCGUUGUCCUAGCUCCACUACUUUACAAACCCUAACCUCAAACAAUAAAACUCGUCAAAAUUGAGCCUAUCUCGAGUGGCAUUUCUCAUAGUGGACAACACACACGGACACUUUGGAAUAGCGUGUUUGAAACACCCUCUAGAAUGAAUUCUCCAUAUCUAUGGAUUAAUGUGAUUUACACACAUGAGCGAACACAAGGAGGUGAUCCUCGCCGGCACGUGGCAUACAUAAUAUUAUUGUGAAUGUAGCAUGACAAGUGGCCAAUUACCUAGUUUCUCUUUUACCACAUGUCGUCACAUUCACUAGGUGACUCAACCACUUCGAUCCGCCACUUUCCAUGUAAUAUUAGGUGAUCUGGCACUUGUCGUGCAAUAUUAUGUGAUAUGCCACUUGUCAUGCAACAGGUGAUUUGCUCCUUGUCAUGUCAAGCAGCAUGCAUUCCUUACAUGCAUCAUUGUGUUUGUGAUCUAAUGCCAACGUAUCCAGCUCUUCUUCAUGUAGAAAAGGCACAAAGGACAAAAUACACUUGAACCAUAGCGAGUAGUCAACGGAAAAAACAAGCAGUGAUAAGAGGUUCAAUGGGGAAGGGAGAUGACUAGGAUAGAGCUCCAGUUCCAGCAGCAAUCCUCUCAGCCAUCAGUGUAUUGCCUGCGGAUGUGUGUUCCCAUCCAUCAACUUGCUCACACUGCAUAUGCUAAAUAAGGCAGUUGUCGCGCUUCGUGCUAUCCCAAGGGUGCCCAUGGAACGAGUCGAGGCUCAGCCAGAGAGCAUAAGUGCUGAUGAUGAGGUCGUGGAGAUCCUUCUACUCCUUUCAAAGCAUACUUAAACUCGGAUUUGUGUCCUGGCCAUGUGAAGUCUCACUCACACUAGUAAAACCUCAAUGACAUGUAGUGUCACCGUGAUAGUAAUAUAUAAGAGAUGCAUAUGCCUAAUGAGAUGGAGAACAUUGUGCUCCCUUUUUCGUCCUUUCUCCACCACUUCCAAAUCCCAACCUCAAACCAUAAUAAAACUCAUCAGAAUGAGCCCUAUCUCGAGUGGCAUUGCUCAUAGUAGACAACACACAUAGAAUGUGCUUUACACACGUCAAGCACAAGGAGGCCAGUACAAUAUCAGUACAUACACAACAACAAGAGCAUACUCACAGGAGCAUGGCAUGUAUACAUAUGCACAAUAAUAGGGAAAAAAAGCAUAAAUGUUUUACAGUUUCGGCUAACUUGCACAAACAAAUCCAUUUUCUCUUUUUCUUUCCUUUUCACAGUCACCCACCCGUCGGAUAGUGUAUGUGUACAUUAGAUCUAAGAUAUCAUGAAGGGCUAGAUGAAACGGGUGGAUCUCUUGGUUUCAUUUUCUAGGACAAGUUUUUUAUUUGUUUCUUACGCAUCCCUAUAUAGUAUCGGCAUAUGUUAUGUUUUUCUUCAAUUUAUAUAAUUGCAUACUAAUUUCUGUUCAAUCCCUUGUGAAAGGUAAAUAGCUAAAUUAAAGCUUAUCGGGUGAUUCAAAGCCUCCCAUCAUCAUGGGUAUUUUUGACCCAAUCAAUACAUGCCAUGACACGAUAGUGAUGUUUGGGUUCUAGGUUGGGAAGGGGGCAUAGGAGGAGGACCAAGGGCGGCAAGAUGCUAGCACUAGUGGCAGGCGAGAAGGCAGGUGGUGCUGGGUAUCCGGUUGGACGAUGGAGGCAGCAGGCGUAUCGAGCUUCAAUUGGUUAGCCUCGGUGGCGUUGCAUCGAGGGAGGCGGGAGGGAACCUGUGGUAGUAAGGGAGCUUAGCUGGAAGGGGACUUGUGGCAGUGAGGGAGCUUAGCUGGGAGGGUACCGGUGGUGAUGAUGGAGCGUCGUCAGUGGUGUUGCGUCGACGGAGAUGGGAGGGGACUAGCAGAGGAGUCAUGGCGAUGACAGGUUAGCAUGACGGUGGUGGCGAAAGCAGAUCCGGGGAUGAGGUUGGAAGGCAGCAACCGCGACUGUGAAGAGUGGCAACAGGAGGGGCAUCUAGCAGCACAAGGAAGAAGAAAUAGGUUUAUGAUGGGAUGAUUAUGGGUCGUUGGAUCAACUAAGUAAAUGGCCAAAAAAAUUGAGUGAGACACUGGGUUAACUUGUGGAAAAAAUUGUGGAGAUGGUCCCAAAGUACCCACAUGCGAACCUGCCCCAGAUUCUUGCUGCGUGAUGACUCAAGCAAACUGACAACUGCUCGGGUGCACGCUCAAGUCGGCUCUCUCCAACAGCCCACUGCGCGGCUCAGCUCCCAAGCUGAGAUGAACACCGCAGCUUGGCACCCAGAGGAAAUGCACCCUUAUCCGCUCGUUGUGGCCUCCAUCAUCCAUCGUCGCAUCCUCCGUCAUCAACCAUGGCAUUCCUCAUCUAUCGGUGCAGUUGCCUCAUUAUGCACCUCUGUCCGCCUCAAUUGCUGGUGCCUAAAGCAGGCGUGAAGCUCAGCACUCCUGCAUGUGAUGGAUCUUCAAUCUUUACUUUAUGCAUCAAAAAAACACUAUGCCCCCAGACCAUUUGUGCUCAUAGUCAAAACAUAUUUGGGUCGAUGGUUGAGGCACUCACCAGCAACCUUGUGCCAGCAGGAAUGAUGAUUUUUGUUGUCAAGUGUCCUACCACCAGUGUAAAUCUAUUUGUGCUCGUGGUCCAUUAGAGCUUGUUUGUUUGAGCUGCAACUAUUGGAGCUUUCUGAAAAGUUGUUGAUAGCUUUUUUUUAUUCUAAAAAGUCAACGAUAGCUUUUAGAAAAUGUAUUUAGCUCAAAAAAACUACUUUUUAAUUUUCUGUAUAAACUCAUCUUUCACGGGUUUUUGUACUUUCGAAAAAGUUAAACGAGUUACGUGGAGAAGCCAAAUAAACAAGACCUUAGAUUGUCUGCUAACACAAAUAUUUAUAUGAAACGAAAAAAAUUACACGGGCAGCGACAAUCUCACUAUCGUGCUUCGUCUGUAGCGGCUGCAGUUUUGUGUUGUUGUCAUUCGCCUGCAGCCCCACGCCGCCGAGCCCUUUCAUCCGCCUGCAGCGCUGGGAUGCCAGCAGGUUGCAACGACACUCGUGCUACCUCCACGACCGCAACGUCACCCCGCACCGUCGCGCGCUCGUGUCGUCCUGCUCACGCCGACCACCGCGCUAGAAGGUUCGCUACGUCGAGCCCGCGCUAGCAUGCCGCCCGGCCCGCAUCAGCACCAGCGCCCACCCGCGCACCUCGGGCCUCACGCCGGCUGCUAUGAUCGCCGCUCGGGCGCGUCAGCCCUAGCGCCCGCCCAGAGGCCGCUCUCGCGGGGCCACCCGCACCAGCCCGCGCACACGGGCCAGCCGGCACACGCAAGCAUGCCGGCCGGUCACUGUACCUGCUACCCAGACGUGCCGGUCCUAGUGCUGGCUGGCCGUCCGCACCGGCCCCACGCCCGCAGACAAGUCACCGCACCACCAGCGCCUACAGACCAGCCGCACUCGCCGGUAAUUAUUAACAUUGUAAUUAACAUUUCCGUUAGAGGUGGAAGGCUCUCUAGUUUAGUGGUUAAAACACUUGAGUAGCAUCUAGCAAGUUCGGGUUCGACUUCCGUAAGAGCAAAUUAAAUGAAUAUAAAAUAAAAAAUUAUAAAAAAAAUAUGUAGGGGUUCCUGACUUCGGUAAAAAAAAACAUUUCCGUUUGAGAGCAAUGUAUAGUCCACUUGUCUUAAAACGUAUUGAAAUUUUUUUAUUUGAGCUUGUGCCAUCAUAAAAUGAUUUAGAUAUUAGCAAUUUAAAACGUAUUGAAAUUUUUUUAUUUGAGCUUGUGCCAUCAUAAAAUGAUUUAGAUAAAAUUGCUAAUAGAAGUUUGAAUUAUCCCUACCAAACAUGUGAAUCUUUCAUCUAUUUUCAUGAGUUGAGCUAAAGUGGAACAUGGAUCCUUAAAAAUAAUAUUUCUACAAUUUUUAAAUCAUAUUUAAGAUAAAUGUAGUUCAAAAAAGUAGUAAUUUUCGAUAGGCACAUAUAAAUUCAUUUCAACUAUUGAAACAGUAAAUCAAUUUGAAAAUUAUUGAAACCCUUAUACAAGAACAUAUAUGUAGUCUAUUACAUGUAAAAAUAAAUCAGGAUAUACAAGUUAAAUGUCUUGGCAAGUUACUUUAAAAAAUUGGAGCAUUUGUGCUGGUGGUUCUUUAAGGCGUUAGUCUCGUGGUCUUUUGUGCUAGCGGUUGGUAACUGGAUCCGUCAGUAUAAAAAAUAUGUAUCAGCACAAAUUACUUCUGACAUACUGAUAUAGACCCCAACAGAGAACUUUUGAUGCCCUGGAUUCCACCAACACACUACAAGAAAGACACAAGUAGAUUUGGUCGAUGUGGCAACUCCUGAGGUUCCAAGAUAAAAGCUCAAGCCAUGCUCGUAACCAUGAAACUCCCUUGGCCCAUGCGAGCACUUCAAGUUUAUCAGGCCACAAUCGACCCCUACCGAUGCGAGCACGUCGUGCAUACGAGGCAAAAGAUGCCUCGGGCUCAUGUGAGCAUGGUAUGCCUCCCUGUGCUGUUUGGCCCGUGCGCAUUGUUGAUUGCAGUUAACGUGCCAAUUCGUGAACCGUAAGUGUAUGGAUCACUUGUAGCUUUUUUCUUAGAGUAGUCCUCCAAGAUUUGUCACCACGAAUUCGGUGAUUCCAUGAUUCAAUUUAUAGUAGGUUGUAACAAGUGUCGAAUCUGAAUUUUGCAUCUCAAAGUCCUAUGAUGAUGGCAUUACUAACUCCCCUAGUGACUUUUAUUCGUUUUCCAAUGGUGUGACAAAUAGAUCCAUCUAGACACUGAAAAGAAAAAUAAAAACAAAAAAAUCUACACAAAAAUUAAGUAUUAGCGGGUUAGCAAAAUCAAUACAAAGAUCAAACACAGCAAACUGACUUGUUCCCCGUCAACAGCGCCAGAAAAGCUUGUUGACGGCAGUUAGUGUGCCAAUUCGUGAACCGCAAGCGCACAUAUCAGUUGUAGCUUUUCCCUUGAAGUAUUCCCCCAAGGUUUAUCAAUCCGUGGAACAAGUGAAUUGAUUGCUCUCACUUUAUACCAAUCUUGCUAACGAAACUGAGUGUAUGUAUUGUGUAGAGAGACAAACUAAACUAAUAACAGAGAUUGAGAUAAUAUAGCAAAGGUUAACACAAGAUAGGAGAUAGAGAUAGAUAUAAGCAUUCCCUCCCUAGGAUCUAGGUUCACAAGAAUAUGCAUCUACUACACAGAUGGAUGCUGCCCUCACUAGCUAUCACAGCGGUUACGUGCUCGCUCGGUCUUUUUCCCACUGCAUACUAUCACUACUCAGGGAUAAUCAAUCACCUCGCUCACACACACUAUAUCGAAGCAUCCACAGAGUUAGCUAAUCACCACGAUUACCAAAAAUUCUACUAAGAACAUAUGUUGUACAAGAUAGAGAUCUCACAUAUGUAAAUGAAGCAUUGCAACGAUAUAGACCAUGAUGCAUUAAUGGGCAUAAAGAACAUGUAGCAGUUACAUAUCAAGGACCAUAUCAACCCUAGGGAUGAACAGAGGAUUUACCCCAUGAUCUUACACGAAUAAAGGGGGUAAGGAGCACCUGGAGAACACCCUAACCGAAGACGAAGACGACAGGAGGCACGAGGGCCUCAAGCCGAUCGGCCUGGGGCACCCUAGGACGAUCGGCCUAGGGAUUUUCUCCCUCCUUUGCAGGUCCCCUUCAACGACGAAGCUCCUAAUCAGAUCUAAUCCCUAUUUUUUUUCUCUUGUGGCGCCGGCGGCUAGGUCCAAACUCGUUGGGAUCCCUCUCCUUGCUUAAUAUCCUGGGUAUUUAUAGUUGGCAGCGUUGGUUUGGGUGCCUUUGAAGCUAAGUUUCUGGAAAAUAUCCCUGGGACGUUGUGGGCAACCUCCUGGUGAAAGGGCGCGAUGAUCGGAGCCGAAAACGGACCAGGCCGAUCGGCCUGGACCCAUGUAGGCCGAUCGGUCUGCCCUGUUGGCCUCCAAUGCCUAAACGAUUCAUAUGAAAGUUGUAGAUCUCGUUGAGCUAUGCAAUUUUCUUUAUAAAUUCUCCCCAAUCGGAAUUCGAAUGAGGAAAAUAUGACCUAUGUAAGUUUCAGCUCCUCCUGCAUGCCUGUAGUUCAAUAUUCGUGUUUGGACUUUCCAAUAUCCAAAGUCUGGGCUCAAAUCCAACUUGCAGGAAAAAAAAACCUUUAAUUAUACCGUAUUAUGGUCCAAAACACAACACGCGAAUAUAACGUUAUUUCAGGUGCCAGGUGGCGGGUUAGUACAAGAAUAUACCUAAAAACACUAAAAACACUAGUUAAAUGGUACUAAAAGUUUACCGAUAACAAGCGUUAACAAUCCCAUGCUUAAAUUGAAGUAAGGCUGACCACCUUUCUGAUUGGUAAAUAACAAGCGUUAACAAUCCCAUGCUUAAAUUGAAGUAAGGCUGACCACCUUUCUUAUUGAUGCUUUCUGAUUGAUGGUGUGUGUACGCUAAGAGAAUUCGCCAUGUGUAAAUAAAGAAUAGAACGAAUGAAGUUUUUUUUAACCGAUAGGCAUGCUUUAUUCAAAAGAAAUGCGAUGCUAAACGUAACGAAAACUCAAAACAUAUUCACAGUUAUGUAUGACGGGGUUAAAUAGACCGGGAUCACAUGAACAAGGGCAAAAUAUAUGACAUCCUCAUAGCCAAGCGAAAAACAUUCCACCGAUCUUAAGUUCCAAAAGUUAAAAGGAUUCGCUCAAAAUUCAAUCACUCACAUCGAUCUGAUACUAGCACUAGAACCAGGAUUUCCAGAAACCACGAGAAAAUUUCAUACUGAAACAAAUUCGAAGAGAAUUAAACAUGGUGGCAAAUGCCUAUUGCAAUUGUGACUAGCUCUUGGAGGCCUUGUCCUUGGUCUUUUGGAUUUUCAACACCUUCUUCACGAUCUUCUGCUCCUCAACCAAAAAUGCCCGAAUGAUCCUGCAAGGUAAGAUGGCUUAGUUCAACAUUAAUCAAUGCGACACAUGAACAUAUGAGAUAUGAAAAGAGUAAUCACCUCUCCCUAACUGCAGUACCAGACAGAACACCACCAUACGGACGGUUCACAGUCCUCCGGUUCCUUGACAACCUGGACCUCUUGUACUCAGCAGGUCUGAGGUGUGGAAUCUGCAAUUUAAAGCAUGUGCAAUAUGAGGACACGUUCAUACUGUAGGCUUGAAAUGCCGCUUCAUACAAAGCAAAUGCAACAAAAACUUGUGAUCCAUGAACUUAGGGCAUAUUUGGAUUGUGCCUGUGUCUGCCCCGCCAAAGCGAGGGCUUGCCAAUUUGGCGCAGGAAUUCACCACCAUCGUUUCGCCGUCGCGAGGGUGCAGAAAACAACUACGAGCGGCAGCGGGCGCAUGGGCACGCCAAAAAUUGGCGCCUAUCCAAACACGCACAGAACAAGCAGUCAACUUCCAAAAAAUUGGUAGGGCGCCCUAUCAUGGGUAGCCAUCCAAACAACCCCUUAAACUGCCUAUUUCCAGCAAGCAGAAUGUGGUACAAGCUACCCAUAUAUGCCAAUGUAGCAUGCAGCAUAAAGCUAUUAUGGCUGUGAAGCCGGAGAACAAUUUUGUGCAAAUUCCACAGAUGGAGUGCAAAGGGCAUUGUCAAAUCUUUAAAAUAACACGUGCAGUUGAUGUAACAAAGUCAACAACAAGACAUGCAAAUCCCCCGUGUGCCGAGUGAAUUAUAAGAAUCCCAUCUUAAGAUUAAAAAAAGAUAAACUUCCUAAUCAGCGCAUGUUCUUGGGAUAUUGUGGUACACAAGUAUCCUCUAUGAUUAACAUGCAAAAGUAGUUGGUCAGAAGGUUGUCAGUUAGGAGCGAAAGACAAUUCAGUGUAAUCAUAGUCAUUACAAAUGUAAUCAUUUGAACUAUGCAACUGAUCAUCAUCCAACCUCGCCACCUGAAGAGUGCACAACCGAAGAUAGCAAAUGCAAGGCAAUAACAAAGGAGCAAACAGAUGGACUGCACAGUUAACCUUGCAAUUCAAAGAUGAAAACAUGGGGGAUAAUAUACAGAUGCGAAGGGCCUCAUAGAGAAGAUUAGGCUUCAUCCACAUGAAAGUUUCAGAUAUAUGCUUGUCUUGUUUUUAAGUAAUCAUAGGCCCAGUAAUAAAACAUCAGAAACAAAAAGGGUAGCAAAUGGGUUGAAACUAGAAAGGCAAUUUUAGAACUUAACAACAGAACAAGUUAAAGAUCAAAAUCAACAAAGAAUAUCUCAACAACCAAAAACACCCAAGGGAUCCAAAAAUUGUGUUCCAACAUUUCACAAUAACCAACUUACAAAAUCACUUCCAUGCCAGUUCAUAAUCACUAUUCCUAGCUAACAAGCAGGUACACUCGGUAAUUAUACUAGUUGAUGCUAUGAACCCGAUAAACAGGCAUCCCAGCCACUUCAUAACAUGAACUAGGUCAGCAAUAUAUAAAUCCCAGAGCAAGAGAAAAGGAGUGGGCAUCACAAUCAAAAUAUAAAAUUCUAAGAAGUAAUUGGCAUCAGAUUCCAGAUAGCAGUAUCUCUGCCAUCCUGACUUGUUCUAUACAAAUUGCAGACGAUGCUACAAUCUUCAUUCAAUGAUGACGAUUGUGUGCUCUGGCAGUCAUUUAGAACAAGACAAACAGCAUAUCCAAUAUCAUAAUCUACCGACAUCCUUCAGCAUGCAAACAUGCAAGUCUCAGAUCAAUUCAUCCACUCUUAAUCCUACUGCCAACUCCUCACAGAAUUAAUAAACUAUAUAGUAAAGGAAAAAAUGCCAGCUCUUUGGGGAAGAGAACUACAGAUAUCAUAACUAAAACAAAAAAGUCCUCAGAGAAGAUUAAUAUUAAUGAACAUGAAACUUCAGAAAUAUGCUUAUCAUUUAUAUCACUAUAAUCAUAUGUCAACAAAAUAUAUCAAAACAAAAGGAAAUGUAAAUGUGGAGCAAAGACCUCAGGAUCCAACCAAGUUCAAGAUCUCAGGAAAACAAGCACAACACAAGAUGUUGCAACAAGAACAUGCGCUUGCACUGUGAAUAAUAAGGCAUACAACAGAUACAAGCAUUUAUAGAUAUGAAAUGCAAACUAACCUGGAAUAAUAAGACAUACAACAGAUACACGUAUUUAUAGAUACAACAUGCAAAUUAACCAGAUAUUGCAGCACGCUUUACAACAAGCUAAAGAAAAAAUCAAUGUAAGACCCAGAUAAAAACAAACCUACUAGACCUAUGGUCCGAAACUACUAGGAAUAUUCUACAGUUUAAUAAGAGUCCAAAGCAUUUUUAGAUGUUGCCAAGUCGGAAUAAAGCAUUUUUUUAGAUGUAACCAUGUCGGAUUAAAGAUUAUUCAAGCCAAGAGACCAAAGCACGAUCUCAUCAACAAACUUUAGUCUCCCGUUUGUAAUCACACUUCAUUAGAAUAUGAGCAAGACCAGAAGCUCCCACAAAACUACGCCAGACAUGUUCCAUCAGGAACUGCUAGGUUGAAUCCAGUUGAUCAGGUAGUGUUCAAAUGAAUAAUAAUCCACCUAUAACAACCGGCACAACCCAAGAUGUAAAACAGAAAGGUGGGCGGCACAUACUCCUUGGAUCUUCUUCCCGGUGACCGGGCACUUCGGCCCACUCGCGCGCUUCUUGGUGUACUGGUACACAAGCCUCCCACCUAAAUCAACAACAGCACGAGUAAGAUCCGAGAAAAACAGUGCCCAAAAUUAAACGGCAACAGUGCGAUAUCUGACGAAUCGCACGGCGCAACUAAAAAGAUACUAAUUUCCACCCGCAGAUCCAUCUAAUUCCCAACCCAAACAUGAGCGGUGCGGCGAAAAUCCUAUCUUCACAGCCCGCAAGAACAGGAAGAAACAAAGACGCCGAUCCUUACCAGGGGUCUUGACGACGCGGGUCUGGUUGGACUUGGUGGCGUAGCUGUGCCGCUUCCGGUACGUGAGCCGCUGCACCAUCUUGCCGCCGGCCGCCGCCUUCUCCCGGGCUUCCGCUCUCCGCGCGCGCUCUUCCUCUCUCAAGCGUGGCGGCGGGGAGGGGAAUGUGAGGGUAUGGAGGAGACGUUUUAUAGGAUGGCCGGUGUGCCGGGUGACCUAAAUCUGACGGCAGAUAUGCGAUCUGGUCGGUGAGCGGACGGUCAGAUCCGUUCCGCCGAUUACCAGGCUCGCUCGAGAUGAAUAUUGGUUGGGCCGAAUUUGGUUUACGGGGCUACUAUAUAUGGUUUGAUUCUCACUGGACGGACUUUGGUUUUUGAUUCCAUUGUAUUUUCUUGUCUGUUGUCAUUUAGUUUUUGGUAGGUCUACGUUUUUUUGUCUUGCCCAAUGCUAAAUUUAAACUCGUGAUUUGUUUCAAGAGAUACAAGAUGGAUUUUUUUCAACUUUGUGGAAAGGAAAUACACAACAAAGCUCAAGCAUCAUUACAUGGAACAUAUACAAAUUAUUUGCUUCUCCCUUUUUCUUCAAAACACAAACACUUAUGCAGGUGCACACUUGACCUUAUGGUAUUGCUCUGUUUUAGAUUGACAUUGUUGUUGAGUAGCAAUACUCAAACAACUAAAACAAAAUUGCUUAAAGAAGCAACCUAAGAAAAUCUUUUAAAAUCGUACGGUUCACAUUUUUUUUGUGAAAUCUAAAAUGUUCAACUAAUUGUUUCUUUAGAAAAAUUCAAAUUAUUUGUAAAAGUCUAUUAUUGGACAUCCUAGAUGCGAACGAUUAGAGAGGGGAAGAAUAUUGCAUCAUUAGGCAUGUGUGUAGGGAAAAUAACCUCUCCAAUAUAAGCGGGUGCAUAAAUAGGCUCAAAAACUUGUUGGCACACUUUAAUCACGCACGGCAAUCUUAAGCAUAUUGUGCUUUUUAUUGCCAAAUUUCCAACCAACCACGAUACAUACUCUCCAAAAAAAUGUUUGAGCAACCGCUUCUACAACUAUGGUUCAAAUUGUGCAGGACUCAAAUACAAAAGAUGAUGAUUAGGAGUAACAAGAGAAAUUUAAUAAUCUAUACAUAAUAUUAAAAUGCAGUUCUUUCUUCCAACCAUCGUGGUUAUUUUUAAAAAAAGUCUCUCAACUUUUUCGUAAUCAACCUGCAGUCCUAGGAGUUAAACUGCCAUAGUUCAUUGAUGAUUUGCAAAAAAAUCUCUCAGCCUUUUUUAAUGGCUGCUGAGCGCGAGGAUGGGGACAAAGUAGCAGUCGAGCGCUUGGCGGAGCAGCACGGUCAGUGCAGGCAUGGCCGGUGCCGGGCUCGAGGGCUGGUCCUGACGCAGCUACACCACCGCACGUGGGGAUGGGGUGCCGCAGCUUCCGACAAGGGUGGAUUGGCGGCUUUCCUGACGGUGGCGCUAGGACCCCCCGCAGUGGUGGCGCAUCGCAUUGCCAUCACCCUUUGCUGGAACUUGAAUCUAACCCCGAUGGGGGAGCGUCACAGGCAUGCAUAGUGGUGGAUGAGCUCCCCCAUGACGUGCAGCAGAUCUCGCAUGGCCAUAGUGAUGUAUGCCACCACCCACCAGUGUGGAUUCGCUCGCAUGCCCAGCAAUAGUUCUCAACUAGAGGCAGCGCUAGCUGAUGUCGUCUUCGUCAGCAACACUCACCGCCACCUGCCAGAAGAGCUGCCGCUUCGGUCUCAGCAAGAAGCUCCACUGCCCACUGCUGCAUCACCAGGAGGGCAAUCCACAACUGGGAACCAUAUGCAUAGGAUGACGAGCAACUAGGCCAUGAUGUUAGGCUGUCAAGGUGUAUACACUCAGGCAUGAAUUGUUGAGUAUAUUAUAAUCAAGGACUGAGCAUUUAUUUUAGCCUCGCAAUUUUUUUCUUUUUACAGGCUGAAAGUUUCGUGGAGAUUCUCUUAUAUUCAUAAUAACUUGUAUAUUCAUAAAAAGGGCCGUUUGGUUCCCAGGCUAAAAUUUAGCCCCUGUCACAUCGAAUGUUUAGAUACUAAUUAGGAAUAUUAAAUAUAUACUAUUUACAAAACCCAUUGCACAGAUGGAGGCUAAAUGGCGAGACGAAUCUAUUAAGCCUAAUUAGUCCAUGAUUUGACAAUGUGCUGCUACAGUAACCAUUUCCUAAUGAUGGAUUAAUUAGGCUUAAUAGAUUCGUCUCGCCGUUUAGCCUCCAUCUGUGUAAUUAGUUUUAUAAUUAACUCAUAUUUAGUCCUCCUAAUUAGCCUCCGAAUAUUCGAUGUGACACGGACUAAACUUUAGUUCAAGAAUCCAAACGCCUCAAAGUUAAGAUAGGAAUUGCAUUAGUGCUGAAUCUUACCUGAAGCUUUAAUGCAUGUUUGAACUAGUCGUAAGACAAAUUACAUAUGUAUAAAAAUUGAGAUUCCACUGUUCAAAUAGGUAAUGUAGAAUUCAAAAGAGUUAUCUUCUUAUUAUCAGAGAUGUAUAUAAAUAUUAUGAAAUAUUCUGCACCCGAUUAGGAAGUGAAACAAGUAAACUAGAAGUUUGUAGAUGGGAAUUUAGAAGUAGGCAAGAAACCGUAGCACCGGACAUUUAUGCUAGUCCUGCCACGAGGAGAACGGAUACCUGCUGGUAUUACGAAGACCAAAGCUGGAAAACCAGAGCCAAAUAAAUAAUUGUCUUCUUCUCUUGCCCCUUCGUGUCUCUCUCUCUCUCCUCACCCACCCGCCCCGAGAUCUCCCCCCUCUCUCUCCUCGCGCCCGCUCUCUCUCUCUCUCUCUACCUCUUUGAUCCGGCAAUGGCCGCCUCCGCCCCUGCCACCGCCGGCGAGCUGCUACGCAUCGACCCUCUCGAGCUCCGCUUCCCAUGUACGUGCGCCUCCCUGUCUCCCGCUCUGUUUUUUCUUCGUUCUUUUUGUGGGGAAAAAAUCCCUUUUUUCUUGUUUCUGCCGGCGUGGAUCGAUAGGCUCGUGACCUUGUUGAUGUUUUCCCCUGAGCAGUCGAGUUGAAGAAGCAGAUCUCGUGCUCCAUGCAGCUGUCGAAUCUCAGCAACGACUACAUCGCCUUCAAGGUCCGUUUGUCCUUCGCUGUUUCUUUUUCCUUUCUUGGAUGCUCUUUCCCUUCCCAUGUGAAUUAUCUCAUCUUAGAACCCUAGAAACGGAUUGAUAUCAUGUUGUUUGGGCCUAUGGUGCUGCCUGAUGGGUUUGUGGUUGACAUUCCUGCAAGUCCGUUUUACAUGAAUUGAAACAGCGAAUUUGACCCAAAAAUUGGGGCCCGUUAUAUUGGUCUGUGAAGACGUGCCUUCAAUUUGGACGGUUACUGCAUCAAAGGGCGAUUUGCGCGAUUCAGAUAAACUUUAGAUUGUUUGUUCUCUUGGUGCUUGCUUUUCUGUCGCUCACACUUCUGAGGUAUUAGAUAGCUAAUGGUAUCAUUAUAGGUUUGGGUCAUGGAGGGGUCAUUAUUUUCCUGUGAUACCCAACUGUUAUAUGAUUGUUAAACGAUGUAGUCUCUGCAGUGAGGUUAUUCUUUAUUUACCUUGCUUUUCUAACAAUGGUCAGUGUAGCGCCCUUUGUAUUAUUUAACUGCCUGUAGUUAGUCGAAUAGUUAAGGCUAAUAGCGAUGCAUUAGUGGUUUAAGGCUAAUCUUGAAAAGGCAGCAUACAUUCAAGGAGUUCUUAUUGCAUUUUAUAUGACUGUUUUCUUUGUUGAUUCAGGUGAAAACUACUAGUCCAAAGAAGUAUUCAGUGCGACCCAAUACAGGGGUUGUCUCACCACGGUCUACUUGCGAUGUCGUUGGUCUGUGAUUCUUAGCAUUUCCCAACCUUAUUUAUAUAUGGGCAAAUCAUCAUCUAACCUUGUGCUGUUUAUUUGUUUAUCUGUGCUGUUGCAGUGACAAUGCAAGCACAACGGGAGACCCCCCCUGACAUGCAGUGCAAAGAUAAGUUCUUAGUCCAAAGCGUUGUUGCACCUGCUGGUAUUAUUACUAUGAAGGAUGUCACGGCGGAUAUGGUAAUAUUUCUUUCUUAAUCACUUUUUACAAAGAAUCUGAUGAAACAUUAUAUACAGAAGGGAAAAGGCACGAGUUAUGAACUCGUUUUUUUAUGGAGAUAUAAUUUUCCAUGUCUUUUAGCACUCUUUAUCCAAAUUGACUUUAGAGUGCAGCUAUGAUAAAACUUUGGCAUUAAUUGUUGUGCUGCUGGCUUGACAGUUUACAAAGGAGUCAGGGAAUAAGAUGGAAGAGGUCAAAUUGCGAGUGACCUACGUUCCUCCUCCGCAGCCACCCUCUCCAGUUCCAGAGGAAUCUGAAGAAGGUUCACCGUCUAGGGCUUCUGAAUCAGAAAAUGGAGAUGGCCCUGCUGGGGGAUUCACCAGAGUGAGUUACUAUAUAUUUUUUUCAUUUUCCAUUUUGUUCAUUGGGAUGAUAAUAUAUUUUUGAAAUAAUUGCAGGCACUGAGAGAGCGCAUGGAGCCUCAAGAAAAAUCUUCAGAGGUCUGUUAUUAUUUUGAUUAGUAUAAGAUUUCAUAAUAGAGUUGGCAUCUUUUGUAUUCUGUUUCCUUUAGUUUUGUAUUUUUCUAUAUUCUCUCUUAUACUCUGGGAGUGUUGGCAUUGCAGGCUGGAGCUUUGAUUUCCAAAUUAACUGAAGAAAAGAACUCUGCGAUUCAACAGAAUCAUAGGCUUAGACAGGAACUUGUAAGUGAAGCAUCACAUUUUAUCUUUCUAUCCUAUUGUACUACAGCUUCAUACUGCGAAUGCUGUAAGUUCAUAAAAAAAGGAAUUUAUGUCGAAUAAUCCACCUAUUAGAUGAUAAUGCUUUGAUCCCUUUUUCGUUAUCUCAUCAGUACAAAAGAAAAAAAAUCACAAAAUAGUUGUGGCGGUAAUCCUUAUAUCAUAGGAUAUUUCACUUCAUGCUUAAUUUUAUGAGAGAAGCAACAAAGGGAUUUUCACUAUGGUAAUUUUUUCCCUCUGGUGAUGAUUUGAGUGGACUUGAUUACUAUAAUAAUAGAUUAUGAUGAUACCAUAUAAGCAAGUGAGCCCCAUAUGCUGGUUUGCACUUUUCCUUUCACAUGAAUCUACAAGCACAACCAGCAACAUGAAAAUUCAAUGGCACAUGAUUGUUAUGCUUUCGAUGCUAAUAACCAGCUGUAGGGUAGGGUGAAUAUAGACAAGGGAUCUAUCUCUCAAUCUGUUUGAACUAAUGUACUUGUUUAAAUUAAGUAUAAAAAUUAAGAUCCCUAUUGACUAUGUUUUAGUGUUAAAAUUUUAUUGCCAUGUAGGGCCAAUAGGUCAUACUCACAAUAACAGAUUUUGACAUGGUUACAGUCCAAACUUUAAAUGCUUCCUACUUUACCAGAAUUUGUCCAUACCCUAGUUUUGGCCAUGCCCAAAUUUUGGCUUGGCACACUAGAGUCACAAAUGAUGAAAUGAAGGAUGGGCCUAGCACAAUGGUAUGCUGCCUGUUUCCUGGGUUCUAAUUAGCCUCCUUGCAAAAUAAGCAUGGGUAAGGCUGAAAUUGGCCCCAGGCUCCCACCAGCACUGGGUGCACCCUUUCUGAAACAAAAAGGGCCCUUUAAGAACAAAAUCAACUUCGUUUGUGAGAUAUAACAUUUGACAGCGCAAAAAAAUACACCACACACCUUUUUUUUUAUAUUUUUCAUUGUCCUUUCCUUCACUCUGUCAUUUUAUAUUUCUGAUAAAACAAGGUCUAGUAUGACCCUGAAAUUUUAUAUGCUUGCCCAUCACCAAUUCUCUACAUGUACGAGUUUUUCAAAGAAAAGUCUUCUAAACAUGUUUAAUGAAGGGUUUUGCACAAUUCUAACAAGGGGGUGGUUUCCACUGAGUAUAUCCUUAUAAAAUGCAUCCACGUCAAAUACCAAUCCAAAAUCAGCUUUUCAAAAGCCACAAUCCAGAAUUAGCUUUCCCAAGAGUCAGAGCUCAAAGAAACAGGCCCUAUGGUCAAAAGAAAGAAAGAAAAAGAAACAGGCCCUUGGUCAAUCUACACUCAAAUGUUUGACAUUGGUGUGUCCAUGUUAAUGCUAGCAGCAUGAAUGCAUGAUGUGCUCCAUCUGUUAAUGAGCUUUGAAAAUGCUGCUAAUCUUUUUUUAACUAAUUCAUGAAGCAAUAUUUGGAGAUUGUUGUUGUGUUGCUUGCUGAUGCUACCAUAUACUAGCUUGUCAGUUCAGUACUAGUUGGCCUCCACAAGCUUCUUGUACUGCUUACUGUUUUGCUGUUGCUACUGCCUACAAUAUACAUUUUUAUGUUCUAGUUGCUCAUUAACUUUUGUAAUUUUGAAGCUUGAAGUUGUUUCCAAUUUGUAUUUGAUCCAAGAUGCAUUGAUUUUUUUUCUAACAUUUUUUUUUCAAUUCACUGAUUCUGCGUGAGUCUUACAACAGAUCCUAUGUUUAAAGUUCAUGUUUUGGCCAAUGAUCUACCUAGUAAAUUGCACCAAGAACCUCCUGAUGAACAAUUAUUGUGUCCUAAAAUGCAGUAAUAUCUAACCAUUUAGGCUUAUGCUACAUCUACUAGAGAGUAGAAACUAGUCCUUUAUCGUCCUUCAUUUCUGUUGAAGCUGUAAUUCAAUGUUGUUUGUUUCUGUUCAUGUGGCAGGAUUUGGUUAGACGGGAGAUCAGCAAGAGGCGAGGAGGCGGCUUCUCCUUUAUCAUUGUCAUAAUUGUUGCUUUGAUUGGCAUAUUCCUGGGUUAUCUGAUGAAGUCGUAAUUCUUUCAGCCAUAUCAAAGACAUUCAUGCAAGUAAUGUUUGGGAACUCAAAAGGACCAUUCAAGUCAGAUGUCUUGCAGUUCUCCGUCCUGUUUUGUCGAUAUAGGAGUGCGUAUGUGAGGAAUGAUGAGCCAGUUUAAGCUUUUCUUCUUUUGUUGUUAACUUUCAUUGGGUGGGUCGUGCGCAUUGCUGACACUGUAACUUGGAAAAUGCAUCAAUUGCUUUUGUUCACCGUUUAUGUUGUCAAAUGCGGUAACUGCCCAACCUUGAAUUGUGGCAUUACAUAUGUGCUGGAGUUGGUGAUCUUUUUUUGCCACAAAGUAAUCUACCGUUCCGUUACUGAUGCAGUGGAUCAGAACGAACCAGUAGAUAUACAAGAGGCACACGAACUAGGCAGAUAAAACUAGAUGAAAUUGUAACUCACAAUUCCCGUCUAGUGGUCACUAAUGAUAGUGAGUAAUUUUAUUAUCCAAAACUGUUCUCCUUCCCAAAUCUCCUUACAUACAUAUACAUACAUACAUAUAUAUAUAUACACACACACGCAAUGCCAUUAAGAUAGCAGCUGAAAAGCUUAGAACUGAUGCAUGUAGGACUCUUAAGUUUUAUUGGAAAAUAAAUACUAUAGCUACUUGCCCAAGGAAAGUAACUGACACAUUAUUUGAGUUUAUUUGUCCGCAUCAGUUACCUGGAAGAAUAAUAUGAUUUUGCCUCGUUUAGGAAAAAAGAUGUUCAUCAUGCAAAAGCUUUGAACAAAUCUCAUUGCACUUAUUGCCUUCAAUGCAAUUUCAAGUUGAUAGUAACUUGUCCCAAUAAUUAUUCUGCAAUGAAUGCUGUUCAGGAUAGUUGCAAAGAUUGGUAAUUGGCUGUGCGACCACUGCCCAACGUGCAAUGGUGUGAUAAAUACCAUAGCAAAUGAGCGCUGAGAACUUUGCUAAGUAAAGUAACAUAAGAGAAACUGAUAACUGAAGAAAUAUGUACGCCAAUGUUUCUUGAAUCAGCACUUCCCUAGAGCUUUCAAUCAAAAUUUUCUGAACCUUCUUCACACGCUGUUUACACGUACAAAAGGAGGCCAACGUUCCCAGUAAAUGCAGAGUUGGCCAUUCCAGUAUCAUCUUGUACAGAAGGGAGAUUCAUCCCUUUGAUCUACCCUGAUCUAAACAACAAUCACAUACAGUUAUAUAUCUAGAAAUGCAACCAGCACAGGCCUGACCUUAUUGCCCAAUAUAUUUACAAGGCGCCUAAAAUGUGGCUAUAUUUGGGCUCUAGAGCUUUUGAGGUGUUUUCACCUUCUUUUAAACCUGAAAACUAACCUACGCACACACUUCUAUGUUCUGCUGCCUCUAUACCUGAACAUAAGAAAACUAUCAUCUGAAGCUGCAUUUGAGCAAGUCACUCAGCAACCACAUCUCUUUGCCUUUUUUUUUUUAAGUAGAUCCGAAGUGACCGAGAAAGGUGGUAGGAAGCAGCAAGCUGCCAACUUCAGAGCAAGCAUUCACUGGAAAUCUGGAACAACUUCCAUGGUGAAACCAGAUUGCACUUACACUUCAUUUGAGUAGGUAUCUUGUGCAUCAGUGGCGUCCUUGCUAGCAUUGGAAGGCACUUUUCCUUUCAGCUCAGCACAUACAAGCUUUGUCAAGAGGAGCCCAGCAAGGAGAGCUGCUGCCAUCAGCAUUGUGAACACAGCACUCCAACUCUUCGAGGAGAUGUAUCCUGUCAGCAAAGGCCCGAUGGCAGCUCCGACAGAUCCUGUCCCAUCAAUGAUUGCUGUCACAGUGGCCAGUGCUCGGGAAUUGCCAUUUAAAGAGCUGUGGGUGCCAAGGUCAGCUGACACUGCAGUUGUGAUCAGGGCAUAAGGUCCGUUGACAAACAUGCCAGUGAUGAACAUGAGGCAGAUAUUCCAAACUAUCGACAUGCUUCCAUAUGUGCGGUACAAGAAUAGGGCAGGUAUCGCACAAUACAUGAAGCUAGCAGCUGUGAUUGCCCGCGCAUUUAAGCGAUCGGAGAUGUGACCAGCAAGAACUCCUCCCAAUACACCACCAACAUCGAAGAUUGUCGAUAAGCUACCAGCCAUAGCAUCAGAGAGGUACUCACCACCAAUACCUGAAACAAGGGAAGGCUUUUUAGGAGGCACACUUCUAAGAACAGUUCAGUUAAAAGAAAAAAGAGGAUUCCAAUAUGUACUGAAUCAUCGAAUGAGAAUGAUGUCACUCAGAUUUGAAGAUUGAAUAAGACUUACGUGUAUGGCUGAUGUAGAAUGGUAGCCAAUACAGGAAGGUAUAUGCAACCAAUUUGGAGAAGAAGAGGCAGAGAGCAAAUGGUGCCACUCCAGGAAUCCUCCAUGCCUCUAAGAAACCUACUGCCUUAUGUUUCACUUCUUGGCCUGGUUCCAAAAGGGGCUCCUUCACGGUGUCUUUCACACAGUUAGAUUCACCACUGUCAAUGUCUAUUUCCAUUACCUCAGGAUUAACUGGCAGGAAAAUAUACACUAUCAACCCAACAAAAGCCAUUAUCAGGCUGGGGAUGGCAAAUGACCAACCCCAGCCAAACUUCAGCAGGAAUGCAGCAAGUAAUGAGCCAGCUAUGUUCCCAAUAGACGUGUGUGCAUUCCAUAUACCCAUGAUCAACCCCCUCUUGCUCUUCCCAAACCAGUUUCCAACAACUGCAACCACUGAAGGCCACCCAAUUGAUUGAAACAGACCAGAAAUCAUCUGAAUAACCAAGAAGUAGUAGAAGCUGUGAACAUUCAGCCAGUAACCAGCACCAAAGAGAGUUGUGAAUAUGGCGGUCCCAAGCAUGCCAAUUGUCAGAAAGAUUCUUAAAUCCAUCCGGUCACCAAUAUGUCCAGCAAAGAACAUUCCAACAGAAUAUACGGCAAGGAAUGCAACAUCAAUCUCACCAAGCAAUGCUGAGCCAUCAGCAGUGUUAAAUGGCAACCAGCCAAUGUUUAAGCUGUUGCUUGCGUGCAAGCGUCCCCAGUGUGAAAACCCAACCUUCGUCUGGGGAUCAAGUGCACUCUUGACAAUGCUUGUGAUCUUCCUAGUCAUAUGAAAGCAUGUGUAUGCAAAGAAUGUCAGGACCAGGACAAGGGUUUGGUAUGUUCUCAGAGAACCAGCACCUCCAAAUAACCGAAGACCAGGAGGUCUCCUGCUCAUCAUGUCAUGAGACUGAGCCAUGAGAACACAAGAUUGCUUGCAGAUGUCACAGAGCAGUUAGUGCCACAGCAGAGACACACUUUUUUGAUACAGGAAUAACCACCACCUGAAAACAUCAAAGGUCACAGAGCAGUUAGUGCCACAGCCAUGAGAACACAAGAUUAAAUGUUAUGUGAUCAUGAAGUAGAAUACCAAAACCACGCAACAAUUGAUCCAAUUGCAAUUAUGUACUAUUUUUCAGUCCCAAGCAGACAAACAUGGGGACAAUUGAAGCAUCCAGUGACUUAAACCCCAUCUAAGAAUAUUCCGUGAAACAAACUGAUUCAUUUGUUUACUACUACUAAUCCAGCUCAGUGGUCAGAUAGUGCACUGAAAUAGUUCCCUACAACAACAAAAGCCACGCCAAAUCAACCUUGAGUCAGGCACAGGCUGGUCAAUUUUGUAUGUCCAAUAUCACGACAUAAUCGAAAUUUCACCAAAUUAAUUGGUCCUGUUAAUCGUCUAAAUUAGUCGAGCAUCCCGUACCAACCAAUCAACUUAGACCUCACUCCGAAGCAACACCUUACCUUUUAAAACCUGCACAGGAAAGAAGUUUCCGUGUGGAUGCAGGUAAAAAGGCGAUCUUGACAUUUCGGGCUCCAAUGUCCGUGCAAAGGUUUCACAAGUCCAAUCACAGAAGCCACCCCGCUAUUUCAACACCUAUAUGAUGUCACAUCUGACGCCUCCCAAAUCAGGGAGAGAAAAAUCGCACCUUCUCCCAUCAAUCCCUGACGAACACCCUCCCUCAAUUUCCAUCCAAAACCUCCCCCGAACCCAUUACAGUAGUAGUAGUGCACAAUAACACACCACCGUACAAACAAAAAUCCGAUGGGUUUCCAGAGGCAAGAAUCGACACAGAGAUUAAUUAAGAACAGAAGUCGGCGCUCGAACAAAAGCACGGACCUUUAUCCAGAGCGCCGAGGGGGCUCCCGGUGUCCCGCCGAUCUGCGGCGGGCGGCGGGUCGCCGGAUCGGAGGCGCGGCUCCGGCGCGGGGACGGAUUGGACGCAGCGCAAAUGCGCACGCGACGCGGCGGAAUCACUGAAUCACGCAAUGGGGGGAGGAGGACUGCAGGAGGAGGAGGAGGAAUCAAUGCGUUUCUUCCUGGUGUUAAGCUCGUUUUGGUUGGAGCGGAGUCUCAGAGCGAGGGCGCAUUUAUUAGAAGCUACGUUGAGUUUUCCCUGGGUAUUUACGUUGCUGCCCUUGACGAAAGUGCCCUUUGCUUCGGUGCUCCUUUGGAAGGAGACAAGUGGUGGCUGGCACCACAAAGAAAAUGCUUCGAACUGGCCUCAUGAUCCACGAUGGCAUUAGUUUAGCACCGACAGGUUUUGCUAAACCGAGGCCAGGGCAAUUUGGUAAGAAUACAGAAAGCUAUUAGCAAACGGGUUCAAAGUCAUUUUUUUGAAGCCUCGCGACCAGCGUGAUUAUACUGAUUUUUCAUUUGUUGCUUUGUCAUACCUUUUCUUUUGAAAAUUCAUUGCGACUUUGAACAUUGUGGGCUACAUACACGACCUUUUCUUUUGUUGCGCAUGUUUUAGAGUGGUGUCAUUCUAAAGAAACCGUGGUUGCUAAGUUUUAAACAGCAAGGUGUAACGCUUUUUAAUUAGCUUGAUAUAUAUUUUAUACUACCAUUUUGUAAACACAAUUUUCUAACAUUAGCUAUUCAACCAUGCAAAGUGAACUAGGCGUUCUCUUUGGAGAAAACCAACUAGAAAGGACCUAUUGAAACAAAUUGUGCAGGAGGUGGUCCAUAUCUCACGACACGUAUAGCUUGCAGUGCACGUGAUGCCUAAAACUCAAAGAUUAAUUGUGGAGAACUGGACAACAAUCCUAUACGAUACAAAUCUUGCUAAAAUGGUGAGCCAACCAUUGCAAAAAGUUAAAAGUUUGAAAGGGACACACUUUUCAUCUUCGGAUGUAAAACAAAAACACCGUGGGACACUUGUCCGAUCAUUCUAGCCAUCAUUUUAUUUAUGGAUAUAAUUUCUACGGUGCUGCUAGCGUCCGGACGUCCGAUGGAAAAUAUUUCAUCGGACGCUCCGACGAAACAUUAAAAUUAACUAGUGCGACAUCAGCUAUCACUAUUUGCAACAUGAAAAAUGAUGUGUAAACGUGACUACGACGUUCGAUUUAGAAUAGAAAAUUUCAGCCGCAACAUGAACACUAUAUUUCAUGCAACAUUCAUUGUGAAACAUGUAGAAACAGUAGUUGCAAUAAUCGAUGCUUAACCAUUGCAAUAUAGAUCGAAGCGUCCGAUUUUUUUUAAAUUCCGGAAGUCCCAGUGUAUCAUCACCGUAAUUUCUAUUCCAAUUAUAUGCACCGCGAGGUAGAGGAGGGCAACGCAGUAAUAAACCGCAAAAGGGCGGGGUAGCGUGAAGGCAAGAGGAGGGUUCAGUCCACAGCCAGACCGGCGCGGGGGCGAAGCGCUCCGAAUAUUCCAUUCCCGCCACGGGAAUUAUCCCUCGCGUGCCGUGCGGGUCUUCCCCCUCAUAGCCCGCCGCCCCGCCGCGUCAAGUGUGUCCGCCCCCAGCGGGCCGCCGCACCACCGGCCACACGGGCCCCGGCCCGCACGCACCGCGCAAGUCGGCCGACUCGGGUUGCGCCGCUGUUUCGCGAGCGGGCCCCACUUCAUCCUCCGGUGCGAGACCUCGACGGUUCCUGCCCAUGGCGGAGGUGGGCCCGGACGAACUGUCAUGGAGACUGGGAAACGAGGCCGUAGCUUUCCGUUCGUCGGAUCUUCUGCGCAGCGCAUGUCGAGUCGUCGACCACGCGAGCGGCGCCACAAGUUUCAGGAUCCGCUGCCUGGAGUAUAUUCUGGGAAUAAUCCAAGAGAGAUGCGUUCAACCACGCAAAUUCAAUAAUUGGCAGCGCAGCCCGUGCUUUUCAAGGAACUGGAUUUGUAAUUUUUUUAAAAAAAAUUGUAUUUGCACUGUGGUACCGAGGCUAUUUCCAGUGGCGAUCCCACCGGUGAGUUUCAUCUCGUGGUUUCCAAAAUUAAUAUGUCACCAAAAAAGUUUAAGUUGAUGAACAAAACCAAUCCCCCAAUGCAAGGCAUGUGAUUAGAUAUAGUUAGAUGAAAUAAAACUCUCUAACCCCCAAUGCUAGUUUCAUCAUAUUUUAUAGUUUUGGAAACAGUGCAUACAUAGUUUCAUCUUGAUGAAACUCCUUCCCUCUCUCUUCAUAAUUAUGUUGCCAUGUCAUCACAUAUGCUGACGUGUCACCGUAUUUAAUAUCCAUAGAACAUCUAUGAAACUCCCACCGAGAUUAGCCUUACAUCUUGUUGGCUCGGAUGAGAUCAUGGAAUGUUUUGGACAAUAGCAAAAGUGACCACAUGGGUCGGGGGGGGGGGGGGGACUGUUUGGUUUGGAGGUCGAACUGGGUUGGAAUGGGUUCGACCUACAUUGACCCGCGUUUAGUUGAAAAUGCAUCUGGGUUGGGUCGGACCCAGGAAGGAAUAUUCCUCCUAUAUGCGGGUUGGUCCAAAUUGGUCAAACCACGCCGACCCAGUUCCGUUGGCUCGUCAUUUCCUCUGUUAGUGGCACGGGGGAGAUGAGGAGGAUGGUGCGGCGUCGGCCACCUACGGGAGCACCGCGGCCAGCUGGGCAGCGCGAGCUCCACCUAGGGGAGCUCUGGCCCCGGCCGAGGCAGCGCGAGCUCCACCGCUGGGACGGUGGGGGUUCCGGCAGGGGUGGACAACGCCGCCGGCGAGGAGCAGAGGCGGGGUCAGCGGGGAAGGAUGAGGCGGGGCCGGCGGGGAAGGAUGAGGUGGGACCGGCGGGGAAGGAUGGAGCACAGGAGAGUGGAGGCUCGGGUGGAGAAUGAGGAAGAAGAUAAGGUAGAGAAGAAAAAAUAAUACAAGAGAAUGACAAGUGGGGCUCACUAUUGACAUGCGGGCUUUACAAUUUACUGUAGCUAAUGGUGUUAAAAUGGCAUCCAUCCUAACCCUCUCAACCCCUCCAACCAAAUAAAAAACUGGAACGGACCCAUCCCUCCAAAUCAAAUAAGAGAUGGGUUGAACCCAACCUAAAAAAGUAGGAUGGACCUAAUCCAUUCCACUUGGUCCCAAAACCAAACACAUGCUUAAAUUUAUUGAAGUAUAGUGAUCAUCUUUUUUCUGGAAAAAAAGAGAUAAAUGUAAACCAAAACUUGAAAUAGAAAAUUGCGAGAGUAUGCACCUAAACUAUAAACCGAAAACUUGAAACAGAGAAUACGAGAUUCUAUCUUAAUCUUAUGUGGCCAUGUCCUUCCAUAGUCUUCUUUUCCCGUGGCCUUGGUCGUACAAUUGUUAGCACCAAGGGAACGGGGGUACCCGAGAAGGCGCUGACAAGUAGGGCCCGCCUGCAGAAAGAGAUUUCCACCACGCAGAGCCCAAUUAAGAAAGGGUCAGGAAAAUACCACCUCUACAUUAUGGGACCCACCGAAGGCUCCCUCAAAGGGAGCAGGACGCAACCGAGGAGGCCUCCCGGGAAAGUUUGCUUCCAAGCUAAGCAAGCAAUGGCACAUCCUGGUGAAAGAAAGGCGUGAUAGUCGAGGUAGGCUGUCAGCAGGCGUCCCGUCCCCGUAAAAACACCAUCAUUACGGUUGAUGGGAUGCGCCUGGAUGCCUCGGGGAAUGACAGCCUCACCUGUCCCAUCCAACAGGCGGCGGACGCCGCCCACGUGUUGAGGGCGCCCGCCUGGCUCCAGACUGCCUCUGCCAAAAGGGUGGGUCCACUGCGUGAACCCGGGAACUCUACUAGGAGGUGAGGCCACCUCGCAGACCCGGGAAGAGGAGAAAACCUCCCGGGAAGGAUCUCAGGAGCCAGAUUCAUCGCCCACUAUCCCGGGAUUAAGGGUUCGGACUGAGAGAAGCAAGAAUUACCAAAGUAAGAUGGUAAAAUGUGGUGAUUGACAUACAGAGGACUUGGACGGGGUGCUCCGGCGCCGUGCGUACCAAAGCAGGAAGGCAUCAGGGCAAAUGGAUGGCGCGUCAGAAGAACUGUAGCAAGGGGGCGGCCAUUAAGCCACCGCGUUCACAUGAGCAAUGUAAAGGGAUGGAUUGGGAUGCAAGGCUCGCCCCAACCAGUCCCCCCCUUAGCCCUAGCCUAUAAAAGGCUAGUUCUUGUACAAACAAGACAGACAACUCUAGCAACACAAUACACAGGACGUAAGGUAUUAUGCUUCCGAGCGGCUUGAACAUGUCUAAAAACUCUCUUAGCAAAACCAUAUACUAACUCCCCUAAACGCCUCUCGAAUCCCUACAUACGAACUAACCCUCAGGUUGGAUCUCUAAAAGGGGUCCCUCCGGAUCCCUGCUCUCGAUGCUUAACCACCGUCAACAAUUCUCGACACCCAAAACAUUAGAUAAUUGGAAAAUCCCAGAUCCAAACACAUCUAAACCACAUCGGCAGUUGCGUCGUGGAGUAGGAGCAAAUGCAACAUCUUCAACUCUUGACUUGUUAAGAUAGAGGCCUGAUUUCCUCUACAUGGCCAUUUGACGGAGGUGGUGGAUGACCCAAACUUACCUACAUGGGAAGUGUUCGAGAGCACAAAUCCCUUCAUGUAGAACAAAGAUUUAUUUCUCGCCGAUGAAAUGAGUAAUGACAACAAUGGUGACCUCGUCAUCGGGUAACAAGCUCCAAGGCUGAACAUCGAUGAUGACUCUAAUGAUGAUUUACUAGGACUAAAAAUCUAAUGGAAUACUAGAUUAUUUGUACUAGAAUCUAAUGGACUACUUGACUUAUUUGAGGGGUGAGUUCCCGCUCCUUUGUUGCAGCUAGUGAGCUCAUUCCAAGGGAAGAACUAGAGGGUCCUAGUAGGUGGUGGCGUUGGAAACCUAGGAACGACAUUGAGCCUAUAAGGCAUCCUUCUCUAGUAAUUAGAUGCGCAGAACUAAUUUAAUGGUUUUGCUUGUGAAUAUCCAAACUUUGUAACAAUUUCAAUUCUAUCAUAAUUUAGUGUCAUGUCACAAAUAUGUGCCAGGUUACAUUAGCUAAAUAUUAUGAAGGAACAAUAUACGUUGAUGACCAUUGUGCGCUCAAUCUUUGAGGACCCGUUGACUUCCUUUUUUGAUAAUAUUUUUUGGAUGACUUUCUACUUUUAGAAAGUUGUAACUUGUUUACAUAACUUUCAUAUAAAACUGUUCAAUCUUUGAAUAACUUAUGGAGACAACUUUUCUCAAGAACUUUUUAAGGAAAAUUAUAACUGCUCGAGUAAUGUUACCAUGAAUGUUCCUAGAUAAGUUAUACAAACACAUUCUGAGGGAAAGUUGAUCCCAAGGAGCUUGCCCUAGGAAUGUCGAUCCAUGUUCUUAGAACACCAAUCUAGAUCCUACCAAUCUAGACCAUUCAUAUGCAAUAUUCCGUUUCUUGACUUGAUUAAUAGCGCAGUGGCUCCUUCAUUUCCUCAUUGAAUGUCACCUAAAGGCAGCCUCAUCCAAGAUGAGUGUCCGAAGCCAAUAAAUCUAUCCAAGUUAGGAUUUCCAUGUGGACACAAAGCUAUCCUAAGAAAAAGGUCCACCUUCCUGUGCCGCCAGCGUGGAUCGGCCAUGUGAAAUGACCAUAUUACCCCUGCAUCUAACUCACAGAGCUAGUACAUUGCUCUCUCCCUCCUUCUACCUCUAUGACUUGUUGGACCCACCCAUCUUCUUCCACCUCCAGCCAUAUAGAAAAUUCAAUCUAUUCUUGACCUUUUUAAAAACUGACGUGCAAACCUUUCAAUUUAAGAAAGAUAUUUCUCCAUUUAGCCCCUGUUUAUCCGGAUCCAUCGGAGAAUGUGAAUUUUUUUCUUUUUAAUAUUUACGGGCAAGAAGAGAGGGAGGUUCUGGACAUAUACGAACAAGGAGAAGAGGCCGAUCGAAAAUCAAAGAUUGGUAGCGUACCGAGCCGGAGCCGCAACACGUAAACAGCGACGUGUUCCCCGAUGCGCGCGCACCGGAUAUGGCGUGUGCGCACGGGGUUCGUCGCUUCUCGCCGCUGCCUUUCUUCCAUGGACGGAAUUGAAAGCUACAGCUACAGAAGAUGGCAAUUUACAACGGGGACAAAUUGCCCGGUGCUACCUGGACAGGCAGCCCCGGUAGACAGGGACGGAUGGAGGCGUGCAGUGCAGGCAGAGUCCGCGCCUCAUCUGAAUGUGAUCCAUCACGUAUAGUAGAGACACUGGAAACCCGGGCGUAAUGCAUGGCGCACACGUAUGAGCAAGAUCAGAGAAUUUUUCCGAGUCGGACUGUUACGUGACAUCGCUGUAGUUCACCGGCCAAAGACUAGCUUAUUGAAGCUCGAUUGCUCGAGAGUGAAGUGUGUGAUCACACUUGACAUUUUCAGAAAAGCGCGCAGGACAGGAGGAAAAUGCUGCGGCGAUAGAGGUCUCGUGUAGGUGUGGCCGUUUCGGAAAGUGACUAUGCGGGGAGCUGAGCUGACCGAGACAGGCCACGGACAGUCACGGAUCGUUUCAUCUUCGUAUCCGGGUGCAGAUAAUGGACGAUUAUUGAUUGCACGUCGUCGUAUCUGUCGCCGGUUAUACUACAGCAUUGAAUACUGCUUCUUCUUCAUUCUUUUUCCGGAUAAUAGUGGGCUAUUAAUUUUUUCCGGAUAAUAAUAGGCUAUUAAUUAGGGCCUUUUUGGCUGACAGGGGCUGUCACAUCGGAUGUUUAUACUAAUUAGAAGUAUUAAACACAAACUAAUUACAAGCUAAUUGCACAGAUGGAGCCUAAUUCGCGAGAUGAAUCUAUUAAGCCUAAUAGUUCAUGAUUUGACAGUGUAGUGCUACAGUAACCGUUUGCUAAUGAUAGAUUAAUUAGGCUUAAUAGAUUCGUCUCCGAAUUAGCCCAGGACUUUUCAAAUUAGUUUUAUAAUUAGUUCAUGUUUAGUUCUCCUAAUUAGCCUCCGAAAUAAGAGCCAGCCUUAAUACUGUAUACGUAAUGUCGCUGUCGGUGAUGAUUCGCACUGUCGCCCUGUUGCAUCAUGCAUGGCGUUAAGUUUGAUGAGUGCACCGGUGCUGUGGUGCUUUCUCGUGGUGGCGUCCGAAGGAAUGGUCAAUAGUGAUUGCAUUACUAGCCCUACAGUUUUGAGUGAUGUCCAGGACUAGCUCAGUCAGGAUCAGGAGUCAGGACGUACGGCUCCUCGAUCGUACAUGAUAUGAUCUCUGUUGUUUCCGCUUGCAGAUAUUGAAGCGAGGUCAAGGCUUGCAAGGCUCGCUCGCGCGUACACGCGCUCGUCGAUCUCUGUUUCAUCCCGCUUUCAGAUAACGCACGAUCGGAUUUGCGCGGAACGUGUUGCUGCUGUCGGUUCUCUUCUCCAUAUGUUCUUGCAGAUAAUGGGCUAGUUGUUAACUGCCACGUAAUAUCAUGUCGCUGUCGGUGAUGGUUGCCUCCUGUGCAUCCUACUGUAGGAUCGAUACGAUGGAGCGAUGUGGGGUGCGCGUGCUUGCUAGCGCUUUCUAGCUCGUGGUGACCUGGCAGGCGUCGAUGGUGAUUGGGGAAGGUAACGUUACGUGGCGACUUGACCGGAGAAGAAGAAGAAGAAGCAAAAGAGCCUCGUUGGCCGGGCCAGCUAGCUAGAGGUGAACUUGGCCUUCGUUUCUCGGGCUGUCGUCGACCACGCUGACGUGGGCAUGCAGGGCGAACACUACCGGCCGGCGGGUGGAGGAGGACGUGGCCACCGACCGGAGAAGCCGCCGCUAGCAUCGGUGGCCACUUGGUUAAAUUCGGCAUGCAGCAGACGGUUUUGGGACAGGGUGAUUCAGCUCGCGUUUUUUGAUCCGUCGGUCGAGCUCAGCCAAGCCUUCUUUUGAUCCUUCGAUUUGGACUGAAUACUUGGAUAUAUGUGUAUACGAGCAAAACAAGUGGGCAGCUACAUGGCAGCAGGUACAGAUGGAUCGACGCCCAGCCAAGAACCAAAAGGUAGCGACUCGCGAGCGGGGUUUAUUUUCAUCCGCGACUAGUGGCUGUGCACGCAGCCAGCUCCUAUCCGAUCCUCCAUGGUGUCCUUGUCGAGCUUUCGAAAACAUGUUGUGACCGGGAGCCAUCGAGCUUCGCAACAUAUUCUCCUGUUCUUGUCAUCACCGUUCUUGCCUUUGCAUGGUUGGCUGUUAGUUCUCGGUUGGAUCGGCCCGCUGAUGAACGAACCCAAGGACGACGUACGAAUAGUCCGUCACGUUAUAGUGCAUCCAAGAUCCAACUGCACCGGCCUGUUUUGAAGCCUCUCUGAUGCUCCCUCUCGGUCAGUCUCUACAGUGAAAUGAGGCCACGGCUACACAACAGAAAAAAUCAGUACGGGUGUGCUUGGUUUUUCUUGCAUGAGAGAGCGUUUUGGUUGUCUGCACGACCCUAUGCAACCAACCAAACAUCUGUUUUGGGAUUGCAGUAUUCAUCCAUACAACCAACCAAACUUUCCUAUUUUCGCGAUCAUUGCACGGGAGAAACCAAGCACACGUACGCUGACAUGAUGAAAUGGAUUAUUAUGAUCUGUGGCCGCAUUCCAGAAACAGCUGCUAUCAAUCUUUCUACUUGCAUAUAAUGUUGAUACAUAGAGUAGGACACUAUGACCGAUUGUCCGAAUGUGUUUGGUUGCGUCGUCGCUGUGUAAUAUUCUAUGCUAGCUAGUGCGUUCUUGGUGGUGGCGGCCAUGGUCGAUCGAUCAUGACGAACGCUACAACUUUUAGAAAAGGAGCGGACUUUGCGUGUGGCCACCAGCGAGGCAGCUGGUGCGGAGUGAUUGAGCGCCCGUUUUCUGAUCCGGACGUCGAUCUCAGAUCAGCCAGUUUUGCCGCUUUUGAUUCUUGGAUGAUCUCGACCCAAUGGUUAAAGAAACCGAUCGAGAGCAGAUAUAGGAUGCUCGUGGCUGGGCGCCUUCCGAUCCAUGGAGGUCACCUUCAAUUCGCUCCGUCUGCAGCUUUUCCGCAUUGGUUGUCCUUGUGCCCAUCGUUAACAGAGCAAGUAGAGAGCACGAUAGCCUGCAGCCCUGCUGCUUGAGGUGGCGGCACUCCGGCUCAUCGUGCAGCUGACGAGGGACGAUACUGAUGUUGCUUAGCUUGGUCGCGUAAAGGCACGAUCCAGAGCAAAAGCCGGCCGCCUGGGAACUGGGACUAAUUUUUAGGAGCAUACGUAUGUGAAAAUGCGUUCCACGCACGGAGAAGGGUGCGCGCGCGCAUCAUCUGAAAGUGUUGAGGAAGCACAUAGACCCACCAAGUCCAGAACCUGGUGGGAUCAGUCAUGUACAUUAUGCAUUUGAUAAAAGUAGUCAUAUCAAGAGGUGUUGCUCGUUAAUUACCAGUGUUUGGCCUACCAUUUUCAGUCAAAACUUCAGAGGAGGCCAGUAGAAUCUGAAGAUAAAGAAAUCAGACAAAAUUUAAUUUCGACAAAACGUUGACCCUGAAUUCAAAUUUAAUUUGAACGGUUUUUUAUCACAUGGUAUAUUCGAAUUUUGCCGAUUUCGACGACUCCAGUCGGAAUUCCGAAUCCUACUAAUAAUUACAAUAUGGCAAUACCCAUAUUUUUUUUAAACGGACAGCAAGAGCUAUGCCGAAAUUUUAUUAGAAGGAGAAAAGGGAAACAAAAACAGAACAAACAAUGACGAUGACAACAACAACUCGACCGGGCUCAGAAGAGCCCACAACUCGCGCCUACCAAAGAGCGGAAGAAAAAGAAGAAAACAGAAGACACAACAACUAGAGCGUAAGCUGUCCUGAGGUGUGUGUCACCAACUGGAAUUGUUGAAAAUCCUCUUUGGUGAGGUAAGCCACGGAAUUGUUGGAAAUCCUCUUUGGUGAGGUAAGCCGCUUCUUUGAUUGAUUUGCUCUCUUGUGGAAGGUUCUUCUAUUGCGCUCUUUCCAAAUAUUCCACCAGAAGUAUUUAAUGAGGCCAUCUAAAAGAGAUCUUCCUUCUUUAUCUAUGAUUCUUCUACUUUUCUUCCACCAAUGGUGUAUCGAGGUCGUCGUUACGAUGGCAAUACACAUACAACUGCUUAAAAUAGAUAAACCUGCGUUUUAGCUGCCAAAAUAGGCAACAACGGCUUUGGUACGUGCUACGGCGGUGUUAAGAAUUGGCCACCGCGGAUUCCUGUAAAUUUACAAGGUUGUCCCGUAGCCACGACUUAGAAUUAACAGAGACCAUAAGGUUCUUCCUUUUCAACUGGAUGGUAAAUCAUAGAAUUAUCUAAAAAACAAAAUCUGUCAUGAAUCUUGAAUACUUCACUUACUUGUUACGGCUAGAAUAGUAACAUCUGCAGGCUGAUUAGGGGUAUUUGGAUACUAGGUGCUAAACUUUAGCAGUGUCACAUCGGAUGUUCGGAUGCUAAUUAGGAGGACUAAAUAUGAGCUAAUUAUAAAACUAAUUGCAGAACCCCUAUGCUAUUUCGCGAGAUGAAUCUAUUAAGCCUAAUUAAUCCAUCAUUAGCAAAUGGUUACUGUAGCACUACAUUGUCAAAUCAUGGACUAAUUAGGCUUAAUAGAUUCAUCUCGCGAAUUAGACUCCAUCUGUGCAAUUAGUUUUGUAAUUAUUCUAUGUUUAAUACUCCUAAUUAGCAUCCAAACAUCCGAUGUGACAUGUGCUAAACUUUAGCAUGGGGUAUCCAAACACCCCCUAAGGUUACCUGGGCCAUAGAAUUGCGCAACAAAAGCCAAAGACUCGACAAAAGUGCAAGGUGAUGUGGGGCGUUUGGUUCCUCGAGCUAAAGUUUAGUCCGUGUCAUAUCGAAUAUUCGGAGGCUAAUUAGGAGGACUAAAUAUGAGUUAAUUAUAAAACUAAUUGCACAGAUGGAGGCUAAACGAUGAGAUGAAUCUAUUAAGCCUAAUUAAUCCAGCAUUAGCAAAUGUUUACUGUAGCAGCACAUUGUCAAAUCAUGAACUAAUUAGGCUUAAUAGAUUCGUCUCGCUGUUUAGCCUCCAGCUGUGUAAUAAAUUUUAUAAAUAAUCUACGUUUAAUACUCCUAAUUAGUAUCUAAACAUUUGAUAUGACAGGCGCUAAAAAUAAGUUAGAGGAAUCAAACGGCCCCGUACUGAGAUCAAUUAAUGGUCCAUCAGCGUUGCCCCCGAUCGUCGAUUCUCACGGAAGAAAGGAACACGCACGUACGCGGAACCUACGAGCAAGUGACCAACCUACCUAGGGAUGCAAGUUGUCCCCCAAGAAAAAAAAGGAGGAUGGGUCCGAGGCCGGAAUGCAAAGCAAACGGGUGGCGUAGGGUGGUCGGCGGCAGAAAACAAAGCUGCUAGCGCUAUCCGACCGCUGGUAAAGAAGGCGAUGCGUGACGUGACGCGCACCGGCCAGCGGUGGUCGAGCUAGGUAGCCUUUCCGCGCGCGGGGUGGUUUGCUGUGGUGCGUCGAGCUCCGACUCCGACCCGCCGCUAUCUAGCUAGGCAGGUAGCUACAAGCGGCGGCCCAUGAGCAGCGAUGCCGCCGGUGGUCCGCCGCCGCCGCCCACCACCGCCCGGGAUGGAUUAUCAUCGGAGGCGGAUAGGAUUGCGGCUGAGAAUUUUCAGAGACCCAUCCCGGAUCGUGCGUUUUUUUAUUUUUUUAAUUUUUUACGAACCCGCGGCUGCGGUUGCACGCCGACCGCGGAACCGAACCCGCAGAUGCCCUGUGUCACUGUCACCCCUGCUCCCGAUUCAGCCAUGGCCCCCGUGAGGGGAGGGAGGCAUUCGGGGGGGGGGGGGGGGGGUUCGAUCGGAGCUAAAGUUUAAUCCGUGUCACAUCGGAUAUUCAGAUGCUAAGUAGAAGGACUAAAUAUAAGCUAAUUACAAAACUAAUUGCAGAAUCCCUAAGCUAAAUCGCGAGACGAAUCUAUUAAGUCUAAUUAAUCCAUCAUUAGCGAAUGUUUACUGUAGCACCAUAUUGUCAAAUCAUGAACUAAUCAGGCUUAAUAGAUUCGUCUUGCGAUUUAGCCUAGAGGUUGUGAGAUUGAUUUUGUAAUUAGCCUAUGUUUAAUACUCCUAAUUAGUGUCAAACAUUUUGUGGCUGGCUCUGCGAACAGCGAUCCGCAGCGGUAGAUGCAGAUACCCACGUGAAGAUGCCCAAGUGAAUCCUCUUUCCAUGUGCUAUAUCGUGCAGUCCGUGCACGUGCUUGUGCUCACGUGGGUGCUGUUUUGUAUAACUUUGUAUCUAAAGAAAUCCAAUGGAAUCAGUGCUAAACUCUUCUCUCUCCCUUCUGUUUCUGGUUGAAGGAGUUUGUCCUGCCAUGAAUUCAGAAACUUUUCCUUUUAAUCCAUCUGUGUUCAGUGGCCCAACAAGAGAUAUCCAUCAACUCAAUUAAGUCCAGUUUAGUUUCGGCCCAGCAUACAACCUCUUGCGCGCACAAAGGAGCACGAGAGAUAUCUAGGAAAUCAACUAAGCCCAAUUCAGUUUUUUUUGGCCCAGCACGACAGCUCUUCUGCGCAUCAGAAGAAAAAAAAAUGUCAACACUCCCAGCUCCCUUCUCCGAAAGAAGAUCGAAUCUGUCUGAGAACAAAUCAACUAGGCGCAUGAAUGCAGAAUGCUUACAUAUAAUUAUCGGUCCAACUUAUACACACAUAUAAAACCCACAGUAUAUACACAAAUACUUCAUUCGUUUGAAAUUGUAGAUCAUUUUAUACAAUUUUGAACGGAAGAAGUAGACACUAGCCGUAGCAAGUUAACGAAACCUGAUACAAAGCAUCGUCCGUCCCCGAGCGCGCAGUUGGGGUGAUGCUGGGUUGCUGACACACAUACUCUUGAGGUUCGAUCACAAGCUACCUCUACUCGUCGUCGUCGUCCAUGUCGACCCGCGCGACGGCGGCCUUCUUCUUCCUGCCGCCGCCGGUCGACGACCCAGCAGCAGCGCCGCCGGCGUCAUCAGAACCGCCGCCGCAGCCCGGCGUCUUCUUGCGGUAGGCCUCCUCGUAGCGCCUGGCGUCGUGGACGCCGCGCUCGGCGAGGCCGCGGAGGUUUGGCACCUUGUAGUUCUGCGCCACGUACGCGCCCACCGCCGUGCCCAACAGGAACGGGAACAGACGCCGGCCCAGGCAAAACAUCUUGCCUUCUCAAAUCUCAGCUACUACUUCUAGUUCCUUAGCCAGGUAAUGGCACCAACCGAUCGACUACUAAUCCUUGUGUUAAUUUCUCGAAGCACCUGUCUUCAGCUCCUAGUCAUUGACUACUGUAUCGCAACACCAGUGGCAGUGCCAGUGAGUGAGUGAUGGAGGAGAGAACCGGGUGCUUUAUAUACUCUUACUCAAAGGUUGGGUUGGCUUGCCAUGACGUGACAGGAAGCACUCGCAGCCGGUUCCAUUUCUUGGACAGGGGUUCAAGAAAGAACUAUUGUCCGUAUGCUUUCAUGGACACCAGUGGAUACGAAAUAACCUGCACGUCUUCUUCUUCCUAGAUACGUGGAAUUCGAAUGGAAGGGUCCAAACAGAAAUCAUGCUGUACAAAUCAAAUCAAACCAAAUGAUCUCAAAAGCUUAAUUUGUUUUCACUACAACCCAAAACUGCUACUACCAAAGGCUUCAUCCACCACAGCUUCACCGACUUUCCAUACAACACUGCACAUGACAUGUGUACAUGUCCUGAUUAUUAAGAUUUAAGAGUAAUUUUUUUUCCUGUGAGUGAUUAUACAUUAAAUGGUAAGUGUGAUUUGUUAGGAACUACAAAACCAGCAGAUUUUCGCCAUAGAUUUUUAUAUACAAAGAAGUCAAUGGUUUCUUGGUAUUCAUGAUGAGGUAAGAAAGAGAUUGGGAAGGAGGUGUUUCGUUGAAAAUUGAAUUGUUGACAGACAUAUAAAUUAUACUCUUGUAGUAAAAUUGUUAGCCAAUUUGUUAGGAAAAAUACUAAAUAAUACUAAAAAUGUCAGCCACUCGCGGAUAACUGUACAGGGAAAACAACUCUUGCAGUGAGACGUCUCGGAAAAAUAUCAAGAAAAGAAAUUAAUUCUAUUCACCUUUUGCGCUCGUGAUUGGAUACCGAUGAUGGUGAUGAGAAAGACAUGAAAAGUGCUAGAUGGGCUAGUUUUCUUGAGAUCGAUAACAAUCUUUAAUUCUUGAUUUAUUAUUCAAUAAUGAGCAAAGCUAUCUAUCGACCAUCGACAUAUAACUUUUGGGAAAAUUAAACAUCUACCCAGUUUUAAUUCAUGCCAUGGCAAGGGUGGCAAAACAGAGAGAUGCAUGGGUUGUGUGAAAUUGGGAGUUGGGAGGAACCCGGUUCGUCUAACUGUUAAUUCACAAAUCUGUUAAUUCACAUCCAGUUCAACAUGGCGCGUGCAGAACAAAGAAAUGAAAUCUUCAUUCACCAAAAUACCCAAUUAUUCCCACACACUACAUAUAGUACAACACUGCACCACAUCUUUGGUAAUUAAGCUACAGCUAGCUACUGUUCGUCGUCGUCAAUGUCCACCUGCACCACCCUCUUCUUCGUCCUGCCGCUCCCGCUCCCACCGGCGGCGUCGCCCGCAGAAGAGGGCUUCUUGCGGUAGGUCUCCUCGUAUCGCCUGGCGGCGUCGACGCCGCGGUCGACGAGGCCGCGGACGUUGGGCACCUUGUAGUUCUGCGCCGCGUACACGCCGACGGCCGCGCCGGCCAGGAACGGGAACAGCCGCCGCAGCAAGCAACCCAUGGCUUCUUAGCGCAGAUCACGACACACACGCCCCGGCCGCUACCAGUCUGAUGAGCUAACAAAUCUAGCACGAGGCUAGAGUCAGUGAUGUGAGAGCUCAAUUCGAUGGCAGCAGAGAUGAUUUGUGUAUAUAUACAUAUACUUGCAAUUAGGUAGAGUCUGGCUUGCUUUCGAGCUGAAGCAUCUACUCGAUCUCGUUUCGUUUCUUGGACAAGGGUUCAAGAAAGAAGGGAAUAGUCAGGUCGUUCAGUUCCGUGAUCGAUGUGAAUAUGUGAUGUGCAGUGGCCAUGCUUCCGAGCGCUAACUUACUUUGCAAGUCGUUAUCACUUGCAACGGACUCACGCGGUUUCAAUAAUCCCAGUGGUAGGCAGGCAGAUGAGGAGGAGAUCGUGAGCAACUUCUUCUCCAAGGGUCAACGGUGGGUGGGCGUGCGUGUGCGUUGCACAAGCAACCUGCUGAGUCCUUUUUUUUUUCCUUCUCCUUUCUUCCCCCCUUUCGGUGAACCCAAAAUAUGAAAAAUUUUGAAUGCCACCAAAAUGGAUGAAUUUUGGAGAAUUCAAAAACUUUGGUCUGGGAUUUAAUUAGUUGUUUGACCAGUCAACUAAUUUACUUUUAAAUAAAAUGUGGCUACAGUUGAUGGAGCACUCAUGGAGAAGACGGUGGGGGAGAAGGAGAACUAGGCCCUGUGAAACAAGUUGUGGAAUCCUGCCCGGCGUGAUAGGCUACGGUGGGUGCGAGCGCUGCAGUCUGAACAAUCAGCAGUGCAGCUCGUUCGGCACUAGUAACGAUCGAGAUCGGUUAUGCUGACCGCCUGACCCCAGCAAAAUGGCAGGCAGGAAGGCUGGAUGCCUGGACGGGUGUCCCCAUCGCUCAAACUUUGAAAAGAAAAGGGAAGCGUGGCCAGCUUGUUAACACGUACUUCAAACGAACCGGAUUCUCAUUUCCAUGAAUCCGACUCCCUGUACCCUUGUGUAUCCUUGUGAUAGUAGCUAUCACGUACACAAUUCGUCUCAAUAGAAUAUCAUUUCCAUACAACGAAAUCAAAGUUCAAUAUUGAAUAUUUACAUCUGAAAUAACUUGGAGUACAAGUAUAUUACAAGCUCCUUGGGCUAAACAACAGGUAGAAGUCCUGCGUAGCAGUAGCUAAGGCUUCAAGUCUUCAUCUCCGGUCUUCACCACAGGCAUCCUUGAGCGAAGCAACACAACCCCUUUAACUAGCAGGAUCAACUCGAGCUCCAAGACUAAAUCUGCAACCCAUGAACUGUCCCAAGGAAGUGGGACAUGUCCAUGUCACCAUCCGUAUAUGGCAAGUUUUAAGGUGGCCUAUAUACUAGUAUAACAAAAUAUCAAGGAGUAUUGUCUUGGGUUUCCUAUGCAGCUACAGGAAAUGAAAGAAUAAAUCUUCAUCAUCCCAACUAUAUCACAACACCACAGCUGUCCUAUACAGGCCUCCGUUUCAAUCUCACCUCCAUGUCUCCUCGCGAGUUGAUGGGAAAGCUACCACCCUUCCCAUCUCAACGGCCAACGCCGGAUCCUACUCCUGAACUAGUAGCUCUCAACCCAUCCUAUAGUUUUAGAAGAGGGGGAGAUAGAAAUCCCAAAACAUAAUCAAUGUAACAGAAUGUAGGAGUGUAACAGAAUGUAGGAGUGUCCAUGACCGAGGAUGUGGUUAUACGUAUAGUUUUAACUCUGCAGAGUGUGUACACCUGGACCCACUCGGGCUGCAGACGAUGGCCGCUGUCUUGAGACACAGCCCACAACCAAGACUCUCUAGCCGGAAUGGUACCAUCCUGCAUUCCCGGAAUUGGACCCAUUCAGACGAACCGAACGGCCCGGGACUGUGAACCUCCAGCCAUAAACAUGGUGUCGAGGGACUCAGAAACUACGGGCUAGAAUAGCUAGGUCUCGGGCAUCCUGAAACAGCCUGGGCAUGCCCAGAACGACCCAAUCCUAACACACGACUCCUGCAGAGUUGGUACCCCCUAGCUAGGGAAUGGCUGGAACCCCCCUCAUAAUAGGUAAGUGGCGUGCACGUUCGACAAAUUCCCGCAAAUCAUAGUUCCACUGAUACAUACUAGACCAGAGCAAGCAAGUCCCCAAAUGCGUAUCCACCAAGUGGUUCGCCAAUCGUCACCCAUUACAGGCAUGGCCGCCCAACUCCUCAAAUCCAAUAUCAUCACAAUCUCAACUAAUCCAUAACCUGUACCCAUAGGAGGUGUCCAAGAUCACCUCCCAAACCCCGACCCUAAGGUCAAUUAAUGUUUGCUCACUCCAGCCGGGGGUUCGAAACUCUCCAAGUUUUCCCCAACCAAGAACUCACGCCAAGAGGUUUAAAAGCACAUAUAAUCCCAACACAUGCAAGCACAGCAUAGCAUAUCUUUUAAAGUGGAGUAGUGGGUUGGCAAGGAUAACAGAUAUAAAAUUAAGGCUGUGUAGGGGUUUAUAGCAAUCAUCCAUGCGAUAAAGUAAAGCGCUAGCAUUUCUACUUGCAAUGCCUAAUAGGAAUUCAAAUCGAGAUGAGCGUGGACCUAGAGCAUUGUCCCUCUCCUCCACUUCAACAUAGUCGAAGUCGUCCGAGGUCAUUGAAGUAGUCCGGGGUGUUCCGGGAAUCCUAUUAUGCGGAUUAUAAAUAAAUAACGAUAUUCUAAUAGCAAAUGAACUCCAAAUGAAGAGCAAUAAAGGAUCAAAUAACCCCAAACACUACCCUAACUGGUGCUCUACGAUUUUAGAAAAAUAAUGAAACUGGUUUCAUAUUUUUCUAAACUACGGUUGAUUUAUUAUGAAUUUUCAAUGAUGUAAAACAAUUUCUGGGUUUUAACUAAUUCCGAAAAAGAAGGGAAACUAAGGCCACGUGGCAGCUUCCUAUUCGAUCUGGUGUGGCAGACUUGGAACCGGUGUGGCUAGGCUGUUGUGGUCCGAUCUGUGAACUGGGCUUCAGCUUGCACACAAGGUGCUCGACGAAAGACCUCAGUAGCCUGCGUCGUUCGGGCGUGCGUUGCCGCUCCAGAGCAUGGGCACCGGUGUGUCCAGGGGUCUAGGCAUGGCCGCAUGGGUAAGGCAGCAGCGCAGCGAGGCUAGCAGGCCACGGCCGAAGCAAAGGCUCGGCCUUGCUGGGAUGGACGCACGCGACUUGACACAUCAAUGCAAGCAGAGAACAAGGCGACGACAACUGCAAAAAGGACGGCGGCGCGGCGGUCCUGGGUUGCACGAGCGCAGGCAAGUGGCACGCGGGUCCAGGGUGCUCCCUGGCCGCGGUCGGCGAGGUGGCGAGCUCGUGGGGCAGUGGCUCGCACCACGCCCGUGGCGUUCGGAUUCUGCAGGAAAACGACCGGCGCGAAGGCACGGCUCAGGCAAGCUGUAAAGCGAGGGCUCGGCGACGGCGAUCCAUGGCGGCGCAACGGCCGGUCAGGCAGGUAACAAAGACAAGAGGCGGCGGCUCACGCGGUGCUCCGGCUCGGGUGCACGCGGGGCAAAGGCAUGGCCUUGUCCGCGGCGAGGGCGACAGCAUGCUGCAACCCAGCAGGUUGUACAGCAGGAACAUGUACGCGGCUCGACGGUCGGGCAACACAGUCAACGGUGGCUCGCCAGCUCGAUGGCACGACACUCAGGCAGGCUAAAGGGGAGAAAGGCGACGGCUUGGAUGGCUCACCGUGGGGCUCGUCGGAGGUCAAGGCAACACGGGUAGCAAGGCGGGGCCGUGGCGAGGUGACACAAGCUCGCGGUGCAGCGGCGAUGGCGUGCUUGUGGUUCGACGUGUUAGAGAUAAGAGUUUGAAUGUAAUCGAAACAGGAAAUCUGGUGAGAUAUCUUUGGCCGAGUAGUUGUUGUAGUUUUGGUUAAGCUGUUGUAACAAAUAUAUGUUUGUAGAUUGGUUUGGCCAAAUAUAUCUCCUAGAGGCCCUAUAUAUUGUAAUUUCCUCUGUGCAGAUUGUGCACAACAUAUUAAUACGAAACCGUCGCACCCUUGGCUCUGGGGCGAUGUUCCAUGCAGUUCAAGCACCUCUGUUAUCUUUCAUGGUAAUCAGAGCUUAGAAUUAGAUCCAUGGCGUCAAGCUCAAGUGUCUCCAAUCCCAUGCUUGGCGUUCAGAUUACACAAAAGCUGAGCGAGAGCAACUAUGCGCUCUGGAAGGCGCAGGUGCUCACCGCCAUACUGGCGUGCAGAUGGAAGGCUACAUCACCGGCAAGACUGGUGCUCCUCCAUCUGAGAUCGACGACAAGCUACCUGAUGGCAAGAUCGCCAAGGUGCCGAAUCCGGCAUAUGAAGAAUGGUAUGCCCGGGACAGUAGGUUCUUGGGCUCAUCUUUUCAAGCAUGGGGAAGGAUGCACUCACGUAGAUCGCUGCCGCGAAUACGACAACGCAGGCAUGUCAAGAAGUUGAGAGCAUGUUUACCAUCCAAACUAGGGCUCGAUCAGUGAAUGUGCACCUGGCAUUGACAACCACAAAGAAAGGUACAUUGUCAAUUACUUAUGACGACCGACCCCAAAUCUCUCGAGUUAAAUCUUAAUCUGAGUCCCUUUUUCCCUGUCUCAGCUUUCCCGAGUUUAAGUGCUCAACCCAGUCCCGAUCCCGACCCCUGAGUAUCUGACCCCUUCCGCCGGUUUCCAGCUCCGACCCCUACCGACCCCAACCCAUACCGCCGCAUCCUUCUAAGUCUUCCCACAGUGCCUCUUUUCAAUCUGAGCAGUGGACCAACCGAGACUGACCGGUGGACCCACAAAAUCUUUCUCCCAGAUCUCCCGCGACAGACGCACUCGAGUGGCAUGCCCGCUUCAGAGUUUCUCCGCCGCGUGGCUCAUUUCCUCUGACACCCGCCGCUCCGCCCCGUCGCCGGCCGCGACCGGAUGGAUAUCCGCGCCCCCUUCCCCAAUCGCAGCGGAAGCCCCCUGCAACCCUUUCUGCAGCAUCUCGCAGCUUGCGCCCAUCAUCACCUCGCCGGACCCCCAGCCGCAAGGCCCGAUGCCGCCCGUCUUUUCCGCCGCCUCUCCACCGUCGCGCCACCCCAGAUGCGCUACGCGAUGAUUCCUCCUCCGCCAACCCCGGCCCCGGCCAUGACAGCUCCUUUCUCGCCCUGCCAGAUCUGCGCCCCGACAGAAUGUUGCUUCGCGCUCGCCCGCGCAACCGCAACCCGCCUGUCUUCUCACCUGUGCGCCCUAGUUCCAAGCGCCGUUCCCCUGGUCACAUCCAUCAAAUCCGCCGCACGACGACGCCCGCCUCCGCCCAACCUCAACCACUGGCAAAACCGCGCCUGCGCCACCCUGUCUCCAGUGCCCAAUGGCUGACGGCAUCAUCCCCGAAGUCCUGCUCCGCCGCCCAGCUGCUCAAUCGCCGCCCCGGCAGCGCCCUCCAUCAUCUCUUUCCGAUCUUUGUGCUGCUCCAGCCCCCCUCUCUCUCUCUUCCGCGCAGCUAUAAAAGGGGAUGCCAGAGCCCCGCCGGAAUUCCCUUCGCCAUCGCUGCCCUCCCGCCUUGCUCCCUGUUUCGUGCUUGAGAGCUACCACCCAAGUUCCUGAGGAACUCUCCUCUCCGCUCAACACCCGCCCUUUUCAAUCCACCCAGUCGCUUGCUCCCCCACGCUGUGCUGGAGCUUGCUUGGGUCCACAAGAAGCACCACCACCGCCGGAGCACCGCUGGGCAUCGCCGUUGCCCAAGUCUUAGUGCUUCCAUCCUUCCGCCCAAGUCUGCUCCUUCUCAACCCCAAGUUUCACCUGCGAGUCGAAGGUAAGCUGCCGACCCCUUGUCCACCUCGUCCGACUCUGUCUGUCCGCCCGACCCUAUCUGUUUCGCCGACCCUUUCCCCGCCUCGCCCGAGGGCUCGGCUGUAUCCUUUUUCCUUGACCCGAGGGUGUAUGUGUAAAACCGGGGACUUCUCUGCAUUAAGUCUGAGGACCCCCAGUACAGCUAUUUCUCUAGCCUAAGGGUCAGGUCACAAGUUUCUUCCCAUCCGACCCUUAUAUCGUGAUCUCCACCAACCCAAGUACACUUUCCCACCUUUUUCCGUAGCUUUGCUAUCAGUUUCUGGGCUAAAACUUGCAAGUGUUACUGUUGAAGUAACCGUCUAAAGUGCUAACCCUUGCAUUGCAUCCGUGUAGAGCUGCAUCUCGCCGACGGCUUCUACGAGCUGUACCCGGCGCCAGAAGACGAAGCUGUAGCCGAGCUCCCGCUUCCAGAAGCCGAAGCCGCCCCAGCAGAAGACCCGUUCCCUUCCUCGCUUGAAGGCAAGCCCCGAAGCAUGAACCCAGUUUUUCCCAAACUUGCGCAUGCCUUCUUCAUCUUGUUUGUGCAUUUACGUAUAGGAGCUGUUUGCAACCCUAGAUACAUAACUUGGAUCCCUUGAGCUGGACACUAGCUGUUGGACCGAGUAGAUGCUUUGCUUAAAUAGGAAGCGAUAAAAGUUGAGUGAUUUCCUGUCACUCGUGAGUUGUAGGAGUUGGUUGUUCUCCUCCUGUCACAACUAUAAGGACGAUGGACGGGGCAGGGUUUUGGUUAACUCUUUGGUGGUCGGCUGUUCGCCCCGUCUGUCUAUGGAACUUGCUAAGGCCAACAGUGGUGGUGUUCGUGAUCAAGUGUUUGAAAGUACUAACCUCAUACUCAGUAUGGGAUGAGGAAGCCUAGUACCGGAUUAAACCUAGACGUGAGCGGUCACCCCAUUGUCCUUGGAACGGAGUUCCCCUGCGGCCGCACGUGGUGGCAAGCGUGGUCACAGAACGGCAGAGGCCGGGUCUGUGGAACCUUGCACCAAAGGAAAUGGGCCCGACACGGGUUAGGGAAUUGACGGGGAAGGCCGACACAUGAAGCGACCCUCGGUGGUGCGCGGAUGUCGUGAGGUUAGGUUCACGAUGCAUGGUUAAAGAACUCGAAUCGAUUCGUCUGCCUCUCACAGUUUGAGACUGCUUGAUCGCUAUGCUACCCUGAGUAAUAAUGAAAUCUGAUGAUGACAUGGUCUUGAUGAUGUUACAUACCCUUUUGGUUGGUUCUAUAUUUGCUUAGAGUAAGUUGCUCACUUAGACCGGAUAAUGAACUUAGAAUCUGGGCUAAAACUUUGAAAUUAGGGAUCCACAUAGUGCUUUUGGCAAACAAACCCCUCAGCCAAAGAGCCCUGCAUGUCUAGAAGUGGUGGAGUAAGUUUACUCCCUGUCGGUUAAGUCUUGUUGAGCUUAGCAGCUCAGCCUUGUUUGUGGCUUUUCUUUUCAGGUGAAGUCGCUGCUCCUGAGCCUUCUCCUGUUGGCACUUGGCCGCCCCAACUCCCUCCGGGUUGGACGGUCGAGUGGGAUCCCUCCUCGGACAGCGAGGAGAGGGAUCACUGACGUCCUGGUUGGCCUCACCAGGGAUGUCCGACCCCGACGAAGUAGCUUCCGCUUGUUUCUUGUACUUUCUGUCUCUUUAUUUUGCAUCUUGUAAAACUCUGAUAUUGUUUCGUUGUUGAACUAAAAUGGCCAAUUUGUUAACUCAGUGGACUUGUUGUAUUCUCUGGAACCGCUCACCUUCGUGUGAGUUUGCUAACUCGGUCCUGUUCAAGUGGUUAAAUCGGAUGAAAUCCGACGGCACUUCGUGUUAACUUGGCUAAGGCAUGAGUGUCGCGUGUUAGGCGACUUAACCAUGUUUAAUCAAGCUAAUCCGAAGUGGAUCCGCCACAGCUGGUAUCAGAGCUGGUUUAGCAAGACAGAGAACACAAUAGGCCCUAAACACUUCUUUUUUUUAAAUAAAAGUUGCAAAGAAAAAUUUUCAAAAAUCUCGUACGAUCGUUAAGGAUGACCCUAGUACAAGAGGCCAUAGGGGAUUUUGGGGUUGUUUUUUUUGGUGGCUAAUACUUAUUUGGUUAUCUUGCUAACCUUCCAGCACUUCGCCACGUGUAUCAUACGUGUGCCGAGUCCGCAUCACGAGUAUGCGAGGGUUGAUAGGGAGUCUAUUCAAAGGACCCUAUCCUCACGGUUGUUUCGCCCACGUUUAUCAUACGUGCGCAGGUUCUGUGUGUUGAUUCAUACGAAGGAUGGUAUUGUUCGAUUUCAACGAGCCUAUCAUCACGGUUGUUCGCCCACGUCUAUUAUACGUGCGCUGAUUCCGCAUCACGAGUAUGCGAAGGGUUAUACGGUUCCAUUCAAAGGGGGCCUAUUUCCAAGGUUGAUUGUGCUGUCCAUGCAGCCUUGAACGCAUGGGUGCCGUUCCUAUAGUGAACAGUAAUGUUUGGGAAUGCUUUCGUGGGUGCUGGCACGAAAGGUUCAUGAGGUUGUGUUUUCUGCAGGUACACUAACCGCGUUCGCUUAGAAGACGCUACUAGAACCCGACUAGAUAUUAUAGGGAGAGACGUACUGGUUGCCUUGCCACCGGUACUAACUGCGUAAGUCCAAGUUUUGGCAGUUGUUUUGGUUGAAAAACGAGGUAGGCCGUGCAUGCGUCAUCAACUGAAAUCUGUGAAACCACCAUCCCUAAAGCAACCUUGCCUUGGGAAAAGCUCUCCUUCGGUUCUAAGGAUUUCUAGUUUCUUCCAGCUUGUGCUCGGUCAAACCCGAGUACUUUUCUGUCCGACCCCUUUUUCUUCUUAGAAAUUCUAUCUCAUGAUGUUCUAGUUCUUGGUUCCAGAUGGCCGCCCUCGGACACGUUCUGUACGGCGUCGAUGGCUUCUCCCACUCGAUGUGCUUACACUUCGAAGGUUUUCCCGCUAUUCUAUGGGACACCUUGAGGUGGUUCGGGUAUCAGUCCCCGCCUUUGUACAUGGGAUGGAUGUACCUGGAGCACGGCGUACAGAGGUGCAACGUGCAGGCGGUGGUACCUCCGCCUCCUGUGCGGCCUGAGUGGCCCCAGCUUGGAGUCUCGACAUACGGACACGCCCUGGAAGAUACAUGGGAGUCAGCUGCUCUACAACUCCUCACCCAGUUCUUUCAGCUGCACCCGCUGGAGGUCACCUUGGACCCAGUCGGCUUGUUUCCCGCCAGGGAUCGGCUAAACCCGGCAUGGCUUGAUCGCGUCAACAACAUAGAGGUGUUGGCCACAUCCCACUCGCUGGUCACCAUCUCCACCAUAGUCAGAUGCAUGUCAGCCUUGUAUCGGCUGAUCGAGCUUCAAGGCCGAGCCAUGGCGAUCUUGGCUCGGAUCGCCGUGGACACCCAAGGACACUUCAAUGCCGCCAAGAGAGACCUGGUGGGACAAACCUAUCAACUCAUCCAGAGAGGCAUCCAAAUCCACGACAUGCAAGACCGAAUCUCCAAACUCGAGGGAGAAGUGAUAGAUCUGGUGGAUGGCAUGAUUGAGCUGUCAGAAGAGAAGAUGGAAGUAGAGAUGGAGCUAGCAGUUGCUAACGCUCAUCUGCACGAGCACCACGCCGAGCUCGACGACAUGCACGCCCUUCAAAUGCAGUUGGAAGAGCAGGAAGACCCUGAGGAGGUCGUGGGAGCAUCCAGCAUGGACAUUGAGGAUGGCGAUGCCCCUUCUCCAACCCACAGUGUUCCCUCGUAGAUGGAGAGUUAUAGGGAACCAAUUCUUUUGUUGUACUCCUCGGCAACCUAAAUUUUGGAUAGUCAUGUAAAUAGGUUAGCCUCGAGUUGAGUACUUCCUCCUGUGUUUGAAGGCCAGCAAUGUAAUGAUCUCAGUUGAAAUCAGAUCUUAGCUUGACCUUUGACUCUUUCGCAACACGUUUGGAUGCCAGACUGUGUGAGUUUGUGCUGUGACCACACACCCGUUUUCUGUGGGUCUGUCCAAAGUUUGGCCGACCCCGGGUCGCAAGGUUGGACGCGCACGACCCCUAGAGGCGCUUCUCUGCCUCGCCCGACCCCUUCCUGUGCGGUUUGCUUCACCCGACCCUUUCUGGGCAGAUCGCUUCACCCGACCCCUCUUGUGCUGUUUCGCUUAAGUCCGACCCCUUGGCCUCAGAUCGGAUAUAUAUUGAACUCCUGGGAUAUGGUUGCGGUUCGCCCGAAGCCGUGUGCAGAACUAAGAUAGUUGUUAACUGAGAUGGCAGAGGAAGUGUGUAUCUCCUUUAUGAAGCUGUGUUGUGUUGCAUUGUGGCAAGAGUCGCACUUGAGGAUUUAACAUGCGCGUUCCCAUCUGCUUGGAAUACUUCUGAGGUUAUGGAAUUAAUGGAAUGUUAACUCUUGCAGAUGGCGCAUCGCACCAGAUCCGGCUCUGUGCCCAGCAGCAGCGAGCAAAGACAGGAUCUUCCCCCGCCCCCGCCCCCGUCUCCGCUGGAGGCGAUCUUAGCGGCUCAAACCAAGCUGCUGAGGCAUCUUGUACAAGGACAACAGCAGCAGCCCCAUGGGGGAAGGGCUCAGCACCCGCCUCAUGUUGCUCGCUAUGAGGAUUUCUUGGGGACGCAGCCCCCUUUAUUCCAGAAGACGCAAGACCCGCUCGACGCCGACGCCUGGGUUCGCACAAUCGAUUCCAAGUUUGAGCUCCUCACCGCCCCGUGCCCUGACCGUAGCAAGGCCCGGUUUGCAGCUCAACAAUUGCGUGGCUCCGCCAGGCUUUGGUGGGAUCACUAUCAUGCUAUGUUGCCGGCCGACCAUAUCGUCAGCUGGAACGAGUUCAAGACCGCGUUCAAAGGGCAUCACAUUCCGGAAGGUCUCCUGGAGCGCAAGCUCAAUGUAUUCCUGGCUCUUACCCAGGGAAACCGAGAUGUCCUGCACUACGCCCAAGCUUUCAAUGACCUGUGCCGUUAUGCCGGCUAUCAUGCGGACACAGACGAGAAGAAGCGGGACAGAUUCCGCAGAGGUCUAAGCUUGGAGCUCAGAGAGAGGUUGAACCCCAUUAAGGUGGAUACCUACAACGAGUUGGUGAAUCUGGCUAUCUCCCAAGAGGAUUGCAUGCAGGCUCUCAAAGCCGACCAGAAGAGAAAGGCCUCCGUAGCAUUUCCGAGCCCGCCCGCUCGAAGGUUCAGGAUGGUUCCACCACAGGCGCCCAGCCGACCCCAGCCGUCGGGAAGAUGGGUUGCCCGACCCCCACCAGCGGCAGUACCACGUUUUCCUGGCUUCCAACCACAGGCACCCCGGCCGACCCUACCACCACCACCACGCCCUGCAACUGGUAACCGCUGCUUCACCUGCGGCAAUGAAGGGCAUUUCGCUAAGGACUGCCCUAGGAACAGAAAUCAGCAGCCUGGCCAGAACUCCAUGACGAACAGGGGAAGAAGGCCCAAGGUACAAGUUCGCCAAGGACGGCUCAACUACACCAGCUUGACCGAACUCCCUGAAGGUGCGCCAGUGAUGACGGGUACUUUCCUUGUCUUAAAUCAAACUGUUGUUGUCUUGUUUGAUUCGGGAGCCUCCCAUAGCUUCAUCAGGAGUAAGACUAGAGAAAGAUGUGAGCUGAGUGUCGGUCACACAAAAGGGUCAUAUGUGAUCUCCACUCCUGGAAGGAAGAUAGCCUCAGACCAGAUCGUUACCCUUGUACCUAUCCCGCUAGGCCAAACUCUUUUCAAGGAAAAUCUCAUCAUCCUUGACCUGAAAGGAAUAGAUAUCAUCCUUGGGAUGGAUUGGAUGACCAGACACCAAGUGGUCCUAGAUGCAGCUGCCCGAACUCUCCACAUCAACUCACCCUUUCAUGGCAGUUGUACCCUACCCUUGAAACACCCUAAGUCCGCACUUCCUUGUGCGUACCCUCUAUCGGAAGCCCGGCUAGAAAGCCUUCCAGUUGUCUGUGAGUACCCGGAUAUGUUUGCAAAAGACUUGCCCGGCAUGCCACCCGAUAGAGAUGUGGAGUUUUCCAUAGAGUUGAUCCCCGGCACCACUUCGAUAUCCAAGAGACCCUAUCGGAUGCCACCUGCUGAGCUGGCCGAGUUGAAGACCCAGUUGCAUGACCUGUUAGAAAAAGGCUUCAUCCGACCCAGUACAUCACCCUGGGGUUGCCCAGCCCUGUUUGUGAAGAAGAAGGACGGGAGUCUACGUAUGUGUGUGGACUACCGACCCCUCAAUGCGGUGACUGUCAAGAACAAGUACCCACUUCCCCGCAUUGAUGUUCUGUUUGAUCAGUUAGCUGGAGCAAGAGUGUUCUCCAAGAUCGAUCUUCAUUCCGGUUAUCACCAAAUCAAGAUCCGACCGUGCAACAUCCCCAAAACAGCCUUCUCCACAAGAUAUGGACUCUACGAGUACCUAGUCAUGUCUUUUGGACUCACCAAUGCACCCGCCUAUUUCAUGUAUCUCAUGAAUUCAGUGUUCAUGCCCGAGCUGGACAAGUUUGUGGUGGUGUUCAUUGAUGAUAUCCUAGUGUACUCGAAGGACGAAGAAGAACACGCCAAUCAUCUCCAUGUGGUUCUCCGACGGUUGAGAGAUCAUCAGCUCUAUGCCAAGUUCUCCAAGUGUGAAUUCUGGUUAGAUAGUGUCAAGUUCUUGGGACACACUAUCUCUCGGAAUGGCAUAGCCGUCGACCCUAGCAAGGUACAGGAAGUCAUGGACUUGAAGCCGCCCACCUCAGGGCACCAGAUCCGAAGUUUUCUUGGACUAGCAGGCUACUAUCGGCGUUUCAUACCAGACUUCUCCAAGAUAGCUAAGCCGAUGACAGAACUGCUAAAGAAAGAGGUCAGAUUUGUGUGGAACGACAAGUGUGACGAAGCCUUCAAGACCCUGAAGCACUUGCUUACCACAACCCCGGUUUUGGCUCAACCCGACCCCUCUAGGCCAUUUGACAUGUACUGUGACGCCUCUGGCAUUGGACUUGGGUGUGUUCUUAUGCAAGACAACCGAGCCAUUGCCUAUACCUCACGGGCGUUACGACCUCAUGAGCUAAACUAUCCGACCCAUGAUCUUGAGUUGGCAGGAGUGAUUCAUACCUUAAAAAUAUGGAGACACUAUCUGAUGGGCACUCACUACAACAUCUACACCGACCACAAGAGCCUCAAGUACAUCUUCACUCAAGCCGACCUCAACAUGCGCCAACGAAGAUGGUUGGAGUUGAUAAAGGACUAUGAUUUGGAAGUGCACUAUCACCCCGGCAAGGCCAACGUGGUGGCCGAUGCUCUUAGCCGCAAGACCUUUUGCAACUGCUUGUCGGCAACAACCUUCACCGAGACUCUGUGUCAUGAGAUGGGAAAAUUCAGUUUGGAAAUUAUUUCCCAUGAAACCCUCGGCCACGUAUCUCUGGAGUCUGUUUUAGAAGAUCAAAUUGGGUCAGCCCAGUUAGAGAAUGAGGAAGUAAGGCGGAUCACCAGGAAGAUUUCAUUGAAGGAUGAAGGGUAUAAGCAUUUCCGACAGGAUGAGACUGGGAAGGUGUAUUAUGGAACCUGACUUGUUGUACCAGCCGACGCCAAUCUGAGGAAGCAAAUCCUAGAUGAAGCUCACCUCUCCAAAUUCUCAAUCCAUCCUGGCAGCAAUAAGAUGUAUCAUGAUCUCCGUCAGAUCUUCUGGUGGAGUGGAAUGAAACCAGAAAUUGCCCGUUAUGUUUCAGAAUGUGACAGCUGCCAACGUGUCAAGGCCAGCCAUCUAAAGGUAGCAGGUACCCUGCAGCCCCUACCUAUUCCCUCUUGGAAAUGGGAAGACAUCAGCAUGGACUUCAUUGUUGGACUACCUCUUACAUCGCAGCGACAUGACUCCAUCUGGGUAAUUGUGGACCGCCUAACCAAAUCUGCCCACUUCCUUCCUGUCCACACCACCUAUACGACCAAGAAGUAUGCGGAGUUGUACCUUGACCGCAUUGUUUCCUUGCACGGUGUGCCUAGGACGAUCAUCUCUGAUCGAGGGGUUCAGUUUGUAGCACGCUUUUGGGAACAGCUACAAGCAUCCAUGGGCACCAAGCUCAUCCGUAGCUCAAUCUAUCAUUCCCAAACCGAUGGUCAAACCGAAAGGGUCAAUCAGAUCCUUGAAGACAUAUUGAGAGCUUGUGUCAUCCAUUAUGACAAAAAUUGGGACAAGUGCUUGCCAUUGGCAGAGUUCUCCUAUAACAAUAGCUACCAGACCAGUUUGAAGAUGGCACCGUUUGAAGCCUUAUAUGGCCGGAGAUGUCGGACACCUUUGAAUUGGUCACAAACUGGAGAAAGACAAACCUAUGGUCCUGAUCUAGUGGUAGAAGCAGAAGAACAAGUAAAGGUGAUUCAAGCAAAUCUCAAGGCUGUCCAAUCUCGACAGAAGAGUUACUCCGACAGAAGAAGAAGACCCCUGCAAUUCGAUGUUGGUGAUCAUGUGUAUCUUCGAGUCUCCCCGACCAAAGGAGUGCAACGGUAUGGAGUAAAGGGAAAAUUGGCUCCCCGUUACAUUGGCCCUUAUGAGAUUGUGGAAAUUUGUGGACCUGUUGCUUAUCGGAUCUGACUCCCAGAACAGCUCUCAGCCAUACAUGAUGUUUUCCAUGUGUCUCAACUGAAGAAAUGUGUCCAAAUCCCAACCGAGAUAGUAGAGCAAGAACAAUUUCAAAUCGAACCUAACCUGACCUAUGCUGAGUACCCGGCCAAAGUUCUUGACCGUAAGGAGAGGCGCACCCGACGCCAAGUGGUAAAAAUGUACAAGAUCCUAUGGAACAACCACAUAGAGGAUGAAGCAACAUGGGAAACAGAAGAGUAUUUGAACAAGCACUUCCAAGGUUUUCUUUCUUGUCAAGGAUGUAAGGACUGUGCACCCCCACUGGUUACUCUUACACCUGAAUCUCGGGACGAGAUUCCUUUUAAGGGGGGUAGGCUGUGACGACCGACCCCAAAUCUCUCGAGUUAAAUCUUAAUCUGAGUCCCUUUUUCCCUGUCUCAGCUUUCCCGAGUUUAAGUGCUCAACCCAGUCCCGAUCCCAACCCCUGAGUAUCCGACCUCUUCCGCCGGUUUCCAGCUCCGACCCCUGCCGACCCCAACCCAUACCGCCGCAUCCUUCUAAGUCUUCCCACAGUGCCUCUUUUCAAUCUGAGCAGUGGACCAACCGAGAGUGACCGGUGGACCCACAAAAUCUUUCUCCCAGAUCUCCCGUGACAGACGCACUCGAGUGGCAUGCCCGCUUCAGAGUUUCUCCGCCGCGUGGCUCGUUUCCUCCGACACCCGCCGCUCUGCCCCGUCGCCAGCCGCGACCGGAUGGAUAUCCGCGCCCCCUUCCCCAAUCGCAGCGGAAGCCCCCUGCAACCCUUUCUGCAGCAUCUCGCAGCUCACGCCCAUCAUCACCUUGCCAGACCCCCGGCCGCAAGGCCUGAUGCCGCCCGUCUUUUCCACCGCCUCUCCACCAUCGCGCCACCCCAGAUGCGCUACGCGAGAAUUCCUCCUCCGCCAACCCCGGCCCCGGCCACGACAGCUCCUUUCUCGCUCUGCCAGAUCUGCGCCCCGACAGAAUGUUGCUUCGCGCUCGCCCGCGCAACCGCAACCCGCCUGUCUUCUCACCUGUGCGCCCUAGUUCCAAGCGCCGUUCCCCUGGUCACAUCCAUCAAAUCCGCCGCACGACGACGCCCGCCUCCGCCCAACCUCAACCACCGGCAAAACCGCGCCUGCGCCGCCCUGUCUCCAGUGCCCAAUGGCCGACGGCAUCAUCCCCGAAGUCCUGCUCCGCCGCCUAGCUACUCAAUCGCCGCCCCGGCAGCGCACUUCAUUGCCUCUUUCCGAUCUUCGUGCUGCUCCAGCCCUCCCUCUCUCUCUUCCGCGCAGCUAUAAAAGGGGAUGCCAGAGCCCCGCCGGAAUUCCCUUCGCCAUCGCUGCCUUCCCGCCUUGCUCCCUGUUUCGUGCUCGAGAGCUACCACCCAAGUUCCUGAGGAACUCUCCUCUCUGCUCAACACCCGCCCUUUUCAAUCCACCCAGUCGCUUGCUCCCCCGCGCUGUGCUGGAGCUUGCUUGGGUCCACAAGAAGCACCACCACCGCCGGAGUACCGCUGGGCAUCGCCGUAGCCCAAGUCUUAGUGCUUCCAUCCUUCCGCCCAAGUCUGCUCCUUCCCAACCCCAAGUUUCACCUGCAAGCCGAAGGUAAGCUGCCGACUCCUUGUCUACCUCGUCCGACCCUGUCUGUCCGCCCGACUGUAUCUGUUUCGCCAACCCUUUCCCCGCCUCGCCCGAGGGCUUGGCUGUAUCCUUUUUCCUUGACCCGAGGGUGCAUGUGUAAAACCGGGGACUUCUCUGCAUUAAGUCUGAGGACCCCCAGUACAGCUAUUCCUCUAGCCUAAGGGUCAAGUCACAAGUUUCUUUCCAUCCGACCCUUAUAUCGUGAUCUCCACCAACCCAAGUACACUUUCCCACCUUUUUCCGUAGCUUUGCUACCAGUUUCUGGGCUAAAACUUGCAAGUGUUACUGUUGAAGUAACCGUCUAAAGUGCUAACCCUUGCAUUGCAUCUGUGUAGAGCUACAUCUCGCCGACGGCUUCUACGAGCUGUACCCGGUGCCAGAAGACGAAGCUGUAGCCGAGCUCCCGCUUCCAGAAGCCGAAGCCACCCCAGCAGAAGACCCGUUCCCUUCCUCUCUUGAAGGCAAGCCCCGGAGCAUGAACCCAGUUUUUCCCAAACUUGCGCAUGCCUUCUUCAUCUUGUUUGUGCAUUUACGUAUAGGAGCUGUUUGCAACCCUAGAUACAUAACUUAGAUCCCUUGAGCUGGACACUAGCUGUUGGACUGAGUAGAUGCUUUGCUUAAAUAGGAAGCGGUAAAAGUCGAGUGAUUUCCUGUCACUCGCGAGUUGUAGGAGUUGAUUGUUCUCCUCCUGUCACAACUAUAAGGACGAUGGACGGGGCAGGAUUUUGGUUAACUCUUUGGUGGUCGGCUGUUCGCCCCGUCUGUCUAUGGAACUUGCUAAGGCCAACAGUGGUGGUGUUCGUGAUCAAGUGUUUGAAAGUACUAACCUCAUACUCAGUAUGGGAUGAGGAAGCCUAGUACCGGAUUGAACCUAGACGUGAGCGGUCGCCCCAUUAUCCUUGGAACGGAGUUCCCCUGCGGCCGCACGUGGUGGCAAGCGUGGUCACAGAACGGCAGAGGCCGGGUCUGUGGAACCUUGCACCAAAGGAAAUGGGCGCAACACAGGUUAGGGAAUUGACGGGGAAGGCCUACACAUGAAGCGACCCUCGGUGGUGCGCGGAUGUCGUGAUGUUAGGUUCACCAUGCAUGGUUAAAGAACUCGAAUCGAUUCGUCUGCGUCUCACAGUUUGAGACUGCUUGAUCGCUAUGCUACCCUGAGUAAUAAUGAAAUCUGAUGAUGACAUGGUCUUGAUGAUGUUACAUACCCUUUUGGUUGGUUCUAUGUUUGCUUGGAGUAAGUUGCUCACUUAGACCGGAUAAUGAACUUAGAAUCUGGGCUAAAACUUUGAAAUUAGGGAUCCACAUAGUGCUUUUGGCAAACAAACCCCUCAGCCAAAGAGCCCUGCAUGUCUAGAAGUGGUGGAGUAAGUUUACUCCCUGUCGGUUAAGUCUUGUUGAGCUUAGCAGCUCAGCCUUGUUUGUGGCUUUUCUUUUCAGGUGAAGUCGCUGCUCCUGAGCCUUCUCCUGUUGGCACUUGGCCGCCCCAACUCCCUCCGGGUUGGACGGUCGAGUGGGAUCCCUCCUCGGACAGCGAGGAGAGGGAUCACUGACGUCCUGGUUGGCCUCACCAGGGAUGUCCGACCCCGACGAAGUAGCUUCCGCUUGUUUCUUGUACUUUCUGUCUCUUUAUUUUGCAUCUUGUAAAACUCUGAUAUUGUUUCGUUGUUGAACUAAAAUGGCCAAUUUGUUAACUCAGUGGACUUGUUGUAUUCUCUGGAACCGCUCACCUUCGUGUGAGUUUGCUAACUCGGUCCUGUUCAAGUGGUUAAAUCGGAUGAAAUCCGACGGCACUUCGUGUUAACUUGGCUAAGGCAUGAGUGUCGCGUGUUAGGCGACUUAACCAUGUUUAAUCAAGCUAAUCCGAAGUGGAUCCGCCACAUUACUGAAUACUAUGCCAAGAUUAAAGGGUUUGCAGAUGAGAUGGUGGCCUUUGGAAAGCCGCUAGAUGAUGAAGAACUCAUCACGUACAUCGUCAACGGGUUGGAUUUAGAAUUCAAUCCUGUGGUGUCGGUGCUCAUCACAAGGGUGGAACCGAUCUCGGUUACUGAGCUCUACUCCCAGAUGCUCAGUUUCAAGAAUCGACUUGAACUCCAAGAUGGCUCGGAAUCCUCUGUCAACAACAUCAACAAGGGUGGCCGCGGCUCAUCUGGAGGUCGUGGCAGUGGCGUGGCCCUUGGCGUGGUGACAUGGCGGCUUUGGCCGUGGACGUGGCAACCAGAACCAGCCACGUACCAAUCAGCAUCAGCAUCACUCAUAUGGAAGCUCCAAUGAUAGUUGCCUGCUCUGCCAAGUCUGCUUCAAGAAGGGUCACCUCGCCUCUGAUUGUUGGCAUCGCUAUGAUUAUACCUACGUCCCCGACGAGCGCCUUGUUGCUGCUGCCUACAACAACACCUACAGUGUGGAUACCAAUUGGUAUACUGACACUGGAGCUACGGAUCACGUCACAAGUGAGCUAGAGAAGCCCUCCUUCUACGACAAGUACAAGGGAGGCGAGCACAUUCAUACAACAAGUGGUGCAGGUAUGGAGAUCAAACAUGUUGGUCAUACUAUUGUUCCAAUCCAUUCUAGAGAUACAGCAAGUGGCGUGUCUGGUACUCAGCUCUUCUCCUCUUAGCUCUAACGCAUUCAUCUCUACCAAUAUGUUCCUUCUCAACUGCCAUAGCUUUAUUCACCAUGUGCAUGACUGAGGGAUAUUCAUUUCCAUCCAAGAUUAGCCUAAUUUCAUAAUUCAAACCUCGGUGAAAACAAAACUGCUUCUUCUCUUCGAUGUUGGUCUGGUCAGGGGCAUAGCGCAUCAUUCUGGUGAAAUAUCGCGUAUACUCUUGCACCCUCAUUGUCCCCAGAGUCAUCUCAUGGAAUUCUUUAGCUUUGUUGAUCAACACUUGUUUGGGGAUGUCGAAAGCGCGAAAAGCUUCCUUAAACUCAUCCCAAGAGAUAUAGGUAGGGUUCUCGUGGGAUCUAUAGAAGCCAUCCCACCAUUCACUUGACACUCCUUCUAGCUGGUGUGCUGCUAGGGCAACACACUCUUCACCAGUGCAUGUGAUCAUGUAACGCUCGUAAAAUUUACUAACUCAAAUCACCCGCUAAAAAUUUUGUUUCAAAAUCUUUCGACCGUUGAGCUCCCGAAAAAUCUUUUCCUUCCCGGUGACCUCGUCGUCCCGGCACCCAACGUCGACAGUCAUCUUUUUUCGUUCCCCGCAAAUUUCGCCGCGUGCCCGUCAAAUCCGUCACGCGUGCCCGACCGAUUCCGCAACUUUCACCGAUUUUUCCCUUCCCUUUUUCCCCGUUUUUUUUCUUUUUCUCCCGUCCUUCCUUCUCCUUCUUCUCUCUUCCUUCUUCCUCCUUCUUCUCUCUCCUUCCUUCCUCCUCCGCCUCCCCCUUUUCCUCCUAGCGCCUAGCACCUGGUGCCUGGCGCCCGCCUCCUGGCCCGCACUGGCCCCGUGCCCGGCACCACCAGCGUCGAGCCGCCCCACACCGCGCCCCGCACGCCGCGUCGCGCCCGGCCCCGCCCGCGUCGCGCCUGGCCCCUCGUGCCCGGCCCCGCGUGUGCCGUGCCGCGCGCCGCCGCCCGCGCCGAGCCGCCCGCCUGACCGCCCGCGUCCCAUCGCUGGCCGCUGGUCGUCGCCCUGUGCUCCUCGUCGACCGAGCCGGCCCCCACCACGCCAUCCACGAGGAACUCCGCUCCGGCACGCCACCGGCCGGAGAUUUCGGCCGCCAUUAAUGCCGCCGGCCAUCGCCCACCCCAUCCCGCCGGCUAUAAAAGCCGCCCGAGGCCGGCCUCCUCCUCCCCCACCACAAGCUCGCCGCCCUCCCUACUCCCCUGCGCGCCACCCCAAAACCCCCGCCCGAGCCGCCUCCUUGCCCGCCGCCGGCGCCCCUUCUCCGGUUCCCCAUCGCCCGAGGUGAGACCUCAAAUGGGUUACCCACAUCCUCCUCCACCGCCCCUGCCGCUUGGCCUCGCCGUCGGCGAGCUAGUCCCGCCGGCCCGCCACUGGCCGUUCCUCUUCUCCCAUCCUCCUGUCACAGCUCAAGGAGGAAGAAAGCCUCCAAUUUCGAUCUAACCCCCUCCUUUCCUCUAUUUGCAAACCAGCCCUCCCACCUCUCUCAAAGAAGUCUCACAGAUACGCCCUUCCACCUUUCAGAAAUAAUUACAAAUAGGUCCCUGGUUCUCGCAGUUUAGUCCUAAACCUUGUUUUAAGCCCCUAACACUCCUUUAACUCGUCAUUUCAUGCGUCAAACUUCCUCCAAUUGAUCCCAAAUUCGACCACAGCCUCCUCCCAUAUACUUCCGCCGAGGCAUAUCCAAAUUUCAUGAAAAUACCCACUCCUUCAAUUUUCCGUUCGCAUUCUCUGUUCGUAGCUCAACGGGUAAAAUUUUAUUUCUCUUUUAUUUAUUGUGUGCUCGAUUGUGUGUGCCAUAGAUCGCGGAGUACCCGAGGAGGAGCACGAGGAGGAGUUUGACCGUGAGCUUGAGACCGAGGACCAGUACCGCGAGCAGGAACUCCUAGAAGGCUUUGAGAACGACAAGUCCAAUCUCACCCUUUGAUGCAUAUUUAUCCUAGUUUUUCAAAAACAACCUAUUGGCCUAUUUUAUAAAUUGCAUAUUAUUUUACCGCUAAAACAUGGUUGGAUAGCCACAUCGGAUGUUUGGAUACUAAUUAGGAGUAUUAAACAUAGUCUAAUUAUAAAACUAAUUGCACAUAUGGAGUCUAAUUCGUGAGACGAAUCUAUUAAGCCUAAUUAGUCCAUGAUUUGACAAUGUGGUGCUACAGUAACCAUUUGCUAUUGAUGGAUUAAUUAGCCUUAAUAGAUUCGUCUCGCGAAUUAGACUCCAUCUGUGCAAUUAGUUUUGUAAUUAGCUCAUGUUUAGUCCUUCUAAUUAGCAUCCGAAUAUCCGAUGUGACCCUGCUAAAGUUUAGCACCUCGUAUCCAAACACCCCCUCAUGGUACAAUAUACAUGCCCAAUAUAUGUAUUCAUACUCUCUUAGUAAAUAAUGUAUAAAUAUUUAUGUGCUCAUACUUGGUUUGUAUCAUACUGUUUUUUACUUAACAAUGGAAAUUGAGGAAAGGAUGGAGACAAGGACAAAAAGGACAUUUCGUAUUACUCUCAAGCUAAAAUGGAGCCCUCACAUCAGCACAAGGAUGAGUUUGACCUAAAAAUAAAAGUUGAGGGACUAGAUUAGCCGAUUUCAAAGUUGAGGGACAACCAUAACCUUCGGAGUAAAGUCAAGGGAUCAAAAUGGUCAUUUUGCCAAAAGAAAAGUAAGGCAAUUGCACCUCAACACGCUGACAAAAAAAAAA